This 117114-nucleotide long non-coding RNA is filed under the name Nicotiana tabacum (common tobacco). RNAcentral's name for it is "long non-coding RNA (NTAB_LNC010022)". Lineage: Eukaryota; Viridiplantae; Streptophyta; Magnoliopsida; Solanales; Solanaceae. The record is from RNAcentral.
AAGAUCAGAGGUCUCUUUCUCCAACUCCCCAAUCCUUUCAUCAAGCUUCUUUUCUUUAAGCCUCGCCGUCGACAAGUCAUUUUCUCAUUCAGAACGAAGAGUUAUAUUUUCCACUUCAAGGGACUCCGCCCUCCUCUGAGCUUCUGAGCAAGCAGACUCUGCCUUCUCUAGCUCCUUGUGCUUCUCGGCGACCUCACCACUAAGAGCCUCCACCUUGAAUUGACAUUUUUUGAGUUGGCCUCGCAGCAGGACCACUUGGGCUUGGAGAUCACUGCAUUGGGCUUCUACUCCCCUACUAAGCUCGAGAUGCUCCUUUUUGCUCCUCAACGUCCCUUCCAGGACACUACAUUUUUCCACAACCCGGAUCAGCUCCUCGUCCCUCUCUUUCAAGUCCUCCCUUAGUUAACGCACAUCACUGUCUUCGUGGAGCCGACACCGGAGCUCCCGAUACUUUUCAAGACAUUUAAAGCACUUGUCCUUCAACUCCACGUAAAUAAGUUUACGUUUCUUCUCCCGGCCGAUCUCUAGAAUAAACGUCUGCAAAAUGAAGAAAAAAAAUUAGAACUUACGAAAGAGAGCAAAACAUAAGAAAAAAAAUAGACAAUAGUUGUACUUACUUGGAGAGCAAGGCCAGCAAUGUUACUCGACAGGGUGCCUUCUUCUAUUGUCUCGAGGAUCGUACCCUUAAUUUCAGAACAAAAAGGACCAAGUGAAGAAACUAUUCCCUUGGAAUUUACAAGAAAAUUAUGAUCCAUUGGGAUCAUAAUAGUCAAGGAGCCCCCUUCCUACCUCACUUUGUGUUGAGUGAGUCCCUCAUCGAUCAUUAUCAACUCGUCCAUAUCUAUGUCAGAGUCAGAUCCAAUAUCCUUUUCAGUGACGUCCUUCCCACUGUCAUAGGUCGUAGAAGGGACGUCCACCGCGACCCCAGAAGACGAGGCCUCUUCUUGCCUCGGAAGUUCUAUAUUGUCUUCAUGCACCUCACCCUUGAUUGUGUCCCCCGCAAGACGCAUGCUCGCCUCCUCUAAGUAUGGGGCCUCAAGACCUGCCUCAAGGCUUACUCCAAUAUGUACUGUGGUCGUCUCUCGAAGAAUAAGGUCAUUGUCCCCCAAAUCGACGGCUACCUACCUCUCUCCCUCCCACACCCACGGCUCUCCUCUUACGAGGUAUUAGACCACCGUCAUCAGGAGAGAUGUCAUCCUCAUCAACUAGUGAAAGGAGUUGUGGAGCAGAAGCCAGAGAUGGAACAAAGAUGGGUUUUCAGACUGCGGCAACUGAGCGUAUGACUGGUAAGGAAGAUGUAGUAGUCGCAAUAGGGAUAGAAGAUGAAGGCGCAAUAGUCGUCCUUCAGAAAGAGGGAACCGGUGCCCGGCUCCUCUGAGAAGAUCCCCUGCUUGAAAGAAAGGCACAAAAUCAAGAUAGCAAAACAAAUCCACAUAGAACGGGAAGUGGGACGUCCACGAUCAAAGAAAAAAAUUACAUGUCGAAGGAAGAGCGGGUUUGAAUCUCUUGAAAAUACCCAGCCAAUCGCGGAUUCCUAUGAUAUAGGGGAGGAGUUGGUCGACCCAGUCAGAGAUGUGAGCGGCCAAAGGAGGAGGCUGGCUAUUGGCCGUAAAAGAGGAAAGUGAGAAAUCAGAAUUCAAAACCAAACAAAUGCAUAAAGAAACAAGGCACUCACGAGUGUAAUUCCAAACAUCAGGAAAGCUGUUGACAUUGGCUACAACGUCCUCGGUUCUGACGAAGAAGAAGUUAAGCCAGAACUGACGAUUGGUUUUGUCGUCCAUCCACCACCAAAUAUUUAACUCCUCGGUGGUGAACGUUCAGCAUCAUUCCCCUAUAGAAGCCAGGGACGAAUAGAUGUACUAAGUGUCGAAGCGUCCGCUCGAACCUAAGUAGCUCAGCAAACUUAGUCAGCAUCUUGAUAACCUUGUAGACGUAUGGUGCGACGUGAGCAGAGUAGACGCUAUUGUAAUGGAAAAAUUCUUCCACCAACGGAAAGAGGGGGAAAGAAUAGCCGAUGAGGAAGGGGUAGUCAUAAGGAGCACAAUACCCAGGGCAAUGAAUCUGUACCGUGUCCUCUUCGAUCGGGAUCAGCUCAACAUGGUUUGGAAGGCCAAAUUUGGCAAGGUUCCACCAAUUCCUUAGGCGUCAUCGUCGAUUUAAGGAGUCCAGGUGCGGUGUCAGGUACUUUGGUAAGGUCAGACCAAUAGUCAGGAUUACGGGGGAUUAUUUCCUCCACCGACAUGAAGGUUUCAUCCUCAACAAUGGCAGAAAUGCUCGGGGAAACACCAGUGCCAAGGGAGCAACACAACUCCCUUCACCGGCAUCAGAAGAUACGGUUGAUAUGUUUCAAGGUAUUGGAGAAAAAAAACAUUCGGGAGAGAAUGAAAAUGGAAUAGGUCAAUGACACAGAGAAAAGAGAUUCGGAGAAGAAGAAAGCAGGAGAGAAGUUUGGUGAUUCAAAGCGUUAGACGAUUUAAACUUCAAAACCAGGUCCAAAGGUCCCUAUUUAUAGAAGUCAUAGCAUCGAAACCAAAACCAGCUCAUCAUGGUUGGCACCAGAAUUGAAGCGGCAGGUCUGAUCAAAGGUCACACACAAAAUGAUGCUACGCAUCAGAAAUAUACGUCAUAAUGACGCAUGAUGUCAUGACGUCAUCCUAACCCUUGGAUAGGGUAACUCCAGAAAAUCACCCAGGAAAUUCAAAGCAUUUGAAAGAUGCGACUCACUGAGGGCCACAUCACCCUUUCGCCGUAACAACCAUAAUCCAUAUAGUCCGCUUGAUAGGAUCGACCACUAACAACAUAAUCCGCUCAUCGAACUCGCCCGCGAAGUCGACCUCUAUAAGCGAAGGGACUAACUAUAUGAGUCAAAAGUUAUCUCUAAAAUGUUUAAGUCAUGGUAGCAUCAGUGAGGCAUUUACAAGCCACCAUGUGUCGAAGUGGUUCAAGGACAAAUGAAGGUUGCGGUCAAAGAGUCAACAAGAAUUAAGGUCGAGAAGUCAUCAAAGGUUGAGUUCAAGGUCGAAUGCCUUUAAUAGAGUUAUAACGGCUAGUUUCAAGAUAGGACAUUAAAGAGAAUACUCUAGUGGAUAUUCUAUGCACUUAUGCUAUUAGGGUUUCUAGGUACAUGUUCCCUAUAAAUAGAAAGAGACACAAUGAUAUGGGAUGAGAGAUAUUCAUUUGUAAAGAACACAUUGACUUUGUAAGAGAUAAUCUGGUCUUAUCUCAUAUAUACAAAAACAACCUUUUUUACCAAGAUUCUUGACCAGUAUUUCCACCGGAUCCAAGAACAACCCAAAUAUUCAAAGGCUUAUCAAUCAUUCAUUAUUGUCAGAUAGAAUAACCACUUAUCUCAUCCCUUUUCGGGUGGUUCACACGCUUUUAUUUACCUAAAUGCCAUUUAUUUCUAUUUAUUACUAUUUAACGCCAUAUUUCAUCUUUUUGAAUCAUUGAAUAUUACUAUCAUUGCUCACAUUUACUACCAUCCGAAUAGAAUAUACUAGUUAUUUGGUCUUGAUACACAUAGCUUUAUCUUUUGGAUAUUAUUUUUAACUAAAAUUAACUCUUCUUUGUAUAAAUCUAUGUUGAGCCAAAAUCGAUAUUUUUUGGUCAAACGGCCUGUAAAUUCAAAUUUUUGUAUCGUGAUUCUAUAAUAAAUUUUUUUAGAUAGUGCACAAUUAUCCCCCCCCCCUAUUUCUUAGCUCAUAGAUUGUCAAUCUAUUUUGCCCCUCCAAGGGGGUGGGGGGAGGGAAGUGCAUAGUUAGCCACUAAUAAUACAUGUAUUUACUUUUAAGCCACUAUUUAAAAUGUCUUUAGUCUUUAGUCAUUGCUUUAAUAAACUUUACCCGCCCGGACGAAAACACCCUUCUGCUCAUAAAGUUCAGGACCAAGUGUCCUUAACUUUUGAACUUGCAACUCUAAGUUCAGGACUUCAGGAUUACAUGUCCUUAACUUUUGAACUUGGAACUCGAAGUUCAGGACCACCUGUCCUUAAUUUAUGUGCUUGUAACUCUAAGUUAAGGACUACUUGUCCUUAACUUUUGAACUUGUAAGUCUAAGUUCGGGACCUAUUGUCCUUAACUUUUGAGCUUGUUAGUCUAAGUUCAGGACCAAGGNNNNNNNNNNNNNNNNNNNNNNNNNNNNNNNNNNNNNNNNNNNNNNNNNNNNNNNNNNNNNNNNNNNNNNNNNNNNNNNNNNNNNNNNNNNNNNNNNNNNNNNNNNNNNNNNNNNNNNNNNNNNNNNNNNNNNNNNNNNNNNNNNNNNNNNNNNNNNNNNNNNNNNNNNNNNNNNNNNNNNNNNNNNNNNNNNNNNNNNNNNNNNNNNNNNNNNNNNNNNNNNNNNNNNNNNNNNNNNNNNNNNNNNNNNNNNNNNNNNNNNNNNNNNNNNNNNNNNNNNNNNNNNNNNNNNNNNNNNNNNNNNNNNNNNNNNNNNNNNNNNNNNNNNNNNNNNNNNNNNNNNNNNNNNNNNNNNNNNNNNNNNNNNNNNNNNNNNNNNNNNNNNNNNNNNNNNNNNNNNNNNNNNNNNNNNNNNNNNNNNNNNNNNNNNNNNNNNNNNNNNNNNNNNNNNNNNNNNNNNNNNNNNNNNNNNNNNNNNNNNNNNNNNNNNNNNNNNNNNNNNNNNNNNNNNNNNNNNNNNNNNNNNNNNNNNNNNNNNNNNNNNNNNNNNNNNNNNNNNNNNNNNNNNNNNNNNNNNNNNNNNNNNNNNNNNNNNNNNNNNNNNNNNNNNNNNNNNNNNNNNNNNNNNNNNNNNNNNNNNNNNNNNNNNNNNNNNNNNNNNNNNNNNNNNNNNNNNNNNNNNNNNNNNNNNNNNNNNNNNNNNNNNNNNNNNNNNNNNNNNNNNNNNNNNNNNNNNNNNNNNNNNNNNNNNNNNNNNNNNNNNNNNNNNNNNNNNNNNNNNNNNNNNNNNNNNNNNNNNNNNNNNNNNNNNNNNNNNNNNNNNNNNNNNNNNNNNNNNNNNNNNNNNNNNNNNNNNNNNNNNNNNNNNNNNNNNNNNNNNNNNNNNNUUAGUCUAAGUUCAGGACCUAUUGUCCUUAACUUUUGAGCUUGUUGGUCUAAGUAGUCUAAGUUCAGGACCAAGUGUCCUUAACUUUUGAACUUGAAACUCGAAGUUCAGGACCAAGUGUCCUUAACUUUUGAACUUGUAACUGUAAGUUCAGAAUCCAUAACGUAGCAGAAAAUCAAACGUUAUUUGUAUCUUUUCAUAAAAUAAUAAUAAUAAUAAUAAUAAUAAUUACAAUUUACAUAUAAGAUUGAUGUAAGAUUCGACUUGGAUGCAACAUUGAUAAGACAACUCUACAUAACCUUUCUAUUACUAGUCUGAUGAAAAUACAUGUGACGACGAUUUGUUUUCUAGAGAAUGAAACCAAAAUUCUCUUUGAUUACUCUCAGAUUCACAAUACAUGUUUAUUCCCUAGUAAGCUUACAUAAGGCGAAUUCGAAAUAGUCGCGUCAUUCGACUUCAAAUAACGGAUGGUUAAACAAAAAAAGUAAAAGGUUAAAUGCUAGAAAGGAACGAAAUAUUCUUUUAAUAAAUAAAGAACAACGUUCUAACAUUGAUAUUCAUUCGUAAGUCAAAUAUAUGUUUGAAUCAGAGUUACAUCAAAAGGGAAUUGAUCGAGUACAACUAUAAACGCAGGUGCAAAUGUAUUGGCCAAUAGUGGCGCCAGAACUUGAGCAAAAUCCAUUCCUGUUGUAUUUCUGAAAGCAUUCCAUUCCCAUUCAAUAUAGUUCUCCUCCCUAACAUGAAAGAGAUAGAAGAAAGGGUAACACAGUCUUUUCAUAUUAGUUUUAAUAGACUAGUGACUACUAUUGCUAAGCAUUAAAAAUGCUAGAUAAAAAGUAAAUACCACUUUAAAAUGUGGUUACCCCGCACAAUUUUUACCCUCCAAAGAGGGCUUAAGCCCAAUUCAAAUUUUAGACAUUUCACAUAUUGUUGAAGUUUUGGCAUCCAUUAAGGUAAAGAUAAAUUAUAUGCCAAAACUAAUAUGGUAAUUGCACCUUCAUGAAGUCUAUCAAUUGAAAAACGAUUAUUGACGAUUUUUACUAUUUCAUCAUGGUUUACUUGAUUCAGAGAUUAAUUAAGCAAGGAUUACUAUAGAUAGUCUAAACAAUAUAUAUGUAAGAAUUGUUAUACGAUAAACGAUAAUGUAGCGGUUCAUAUUGCCUAUUCCAGGGAAUUUUUUACUUUAAUAAUCUUAUCUAGAUAUUGCUAUGCACAUAUGCUUGCUCCACAUUGUAUCCCACAUAAAACACCAUAUCAAUUUCCCCAUAAGUUAGGUUGGUAUCAAUAAUGCAAAAUUUAAUAUCGAUAACCAAAUGUUGCAUUAGUUUUGCAGUUUUUUUUAAACUGAACGUUAAAUUAGUCAUUUGAAGAUUACACACCAAAUGUUGUAUUAGAUAUGCAGAAUUUUAUUCCGAAAUUAUUUUUCUUCUAUGACCAACUAAACAAACCGUGAGAGGUAUUCUUUUUUUCACUUAAAUGGCCCUAUUCUGUCACACUUUAUCUAUUCCUUAGGUUUGGUCUAAUUAUAAGCAUUUGAAAGUGCAUAGCAUAAUUCAAUACACAAUUUGGUAAUUUCAUCCACAAAUUAUAAUGAACAUGUCACCUAAAUAAGACCUAUUCUAAAAGGUUGAGAGUUGGGACCCGUGAAUUAUAUGGUUUUAUACAUGUUUGACUUAAUUUGCAUGCUUGUUUGACACUAUAGUUUAUAACAAUACGUGACACAUGAAACUAAAUCUUCUUAAUAUGUGGACGUCUCCGAAAGGACCAAAACCACAUGGUUAAAAUAAAGUUGAAAAAUAACUAACAAGUAUUGUGGUGCGAUGAUUGUGAUUUUGUUUACCUUAGUAUUGUCACACCUCCUAUUUACGGAGAAAUGAGUUUUUCAAGUUUAAAUAAUAUUUUUGAAAUGAGAUUUAGUUAUUUUAUUUUUAAAAGAGUCGUCACUUGGAAUAAUUUAAUUUUGGUGUUCCAAGUUACCAUUUAUUUUAAAUCUCAAUUCAAGAAAAUUUGACUCUAUUUAAGCCUGUAAAACACAGAAGUCCGGGUAAGGAAUUUUGUUAACCCGGGAGAAGGUGUUAGGCACUCCCCGAUUUCGUAGUUUUACCACAGGCGCUUUACGAUCACACUUGGCUUGAUUAUUUGUUAAUUACAUAUUUUUAGAAUUUAUGUGCGUUUUUUACUUUUCACCGCUUUUUAAUUACUUGAUUAUGGAGUUAUGGAAUUAUCUUGAAACGAACCAUGUGUGUGUGAAUUCGUUUUAUUUAGUAUGCUAAAAAAUAUGUCACGCGUACGUGUACAAAAUUAAUAGCACUUUAUUAUUUAUUAAGAUUGUUUGGCUAAAGUCGCGCAAACGCGUAUCUUGAUUUAUUUUUGGGAUCAUAACUAUGUUAUGCUGACAUAUACAUAAUUACGAUAGUAAAUUAAAACCACGCCUAAAGUAUUCUACGAAUAUUCAAGGGUUGAUUAUUUUUCUAUAGUUGGGACUGCAUGUGAAGGUUUAAAUAUUAUGGAACGAUAUGGAUGGAGCAUCGCGUUUAACUAACGAGCAUUACCGAGAUCAAUUGCAUUACUAAGUGAUUAGAAAAGUUCAUACUUUAUUUGGAGAAUUUAUCAUUUGGGCCUAAACUAAGAACUACUGUUUAAAUGAUUUUUAUUGACAACAAAAGGAUGAAACAGCCAAAUGGUAAUACAUAUUGGGAUAUGGUCUAGCAACCUAAACAUGAUGUUAAACAAUUAAACUAAAGCAAAAGAAGUCUGACUCAAGCGUAAAAAUUGCAUGGGGCGCCGUAUUUGGUCGCCCCCAUUUAACCUAUACCCAUUUUUUAAAAAAAUUUUAACUUGUACCUACUCUUUAAACAACUUCUGCCCUCUUUCUCCUCCUCCUCUCNCNCUCUCUCUCUCUCUCUCUCUCUCUCUCUCUCUCUCUCUNNNNNNNNNNNNNNNNUGCGUGAUUGCUUUGCUACUUCAGCCCCGUAUGCUGAAGUUACGCGAAAAAGUGAGUACGCUUGCAAUUUAUUUUGCAAAGCGGGCACAAGUUAAAACGUGACCCAAAAACGGGUAUAAACGCAAAUCCCCGACUCAAGCCUGUUAUACACGAAAUGGGCUUGAAAGAUAUUAGUGGGUUUUCGUGCUUUGGGCUGGCCUAAAGUUACUUUCAAAGUCCACCUAUUCUUAUUUCAUUCAUAGGCUCAAGCUGAGCCCAAAUAACACACUCAGCACUUUCAGAAGUACAUAGGCCCAUUAGCCUAUAUUCAACUAACAUGAAUCUUAAAUCCUAUGUUUAUGAACGUAUCCACAAAAGAAAUGUCAGUACAUGAAUCAUACAUAAACAGGAAUUUUAAAAUCAUAGAAGCAAUUACAUCAAUAACUAUUAUUUUUAACAACAAUCACUUUAGACCUGCCAAAUCUGGGACGAAUUACAAGAAAUUGAUUAUAAACAGAUUCCUAAAUAAAAAAAAUUUAACGAAGCAUUCUCCUAAUCGUUUUGCCUCCUUCUUUCAACGUUUCAUUAUUCAUUUUUGGUCCUCCUUUGGGAAACUCCAGAAUCAACUUCUCAUGAACUUACAAAAGAUAAUUACAUUUGCUGGGAACAUAGAAUCAUCAAAGGAUUACUAAUUAAACGACUAACAAUUAACAAAUUGAUACUAACGAGGUACAUUUAAAUCAACUGAUUAUUAACAAUUUAGCAUGACUGGAAUGCAUUUAGAUCUAGUAGUCAACUAAUCAAAGAACAAAAGCAUAACAUGAACAAUAAGUCAAAUCUCAUCAGGAAUUCAGCACUCCUCAUUUAAGCAAUAAAUGCAAGUUCAUAAGCAUGUACCUAAUGCAUGAAUCAGAGGUUGAAGUGGCCAAAUAAAGGCAAAGAUAAAGGAGUGAAUGUCACGACCCAAAAUCCAACUAGCCGUGAUGACACCUAACCUAACCCGCUAGGUAAGUCAAUUAACAACUAUCCAAUUCCAAUGAAAUUAAUAAAAAUAAUUAAAUAGAGAAGUUAACUGAAUCUUAUACAUUUCCCAAGAACUGGUAGUAAAAAUCAUGAGAUUUUAAGAAUAAAAUUUACAAGUUGGUAUGAAAUAAACACAUCAUCUGUUCGAAAUGUACAUAAACAGAUUUUUUAUGAAUCUAAAGCUACUAUGAAAAAGAGGCAACUAUAAUUGGAACGCAGGUACGUCUUUAAUUCUAGCUCCCAUCGAUCACAGCAACAUCAUCAUCCAACAUCUGCACGCAAGGUACAGAAGUGUAGUAUGAGUACAACCGACCCCAUGUAUUCAAUAAGUAACAAACCUAACCUUAGGUUGAAAGUAGGGACGAGUUGGAACAAAGGUCAGACCCAACAUGCAAUAGCCAACAACAGUUCAUAACCACGCAAAGCAAAAAAUAAAGAAGUAACUCAGAGAUAGAAAUGCUCAUCUUUUUCAUAGUUUCCCAAAAAAUAGUUCCGUUCAUCAAGUAUAUCAGUGAAAAAACCCAAAUCCUUUACCGAAAUCGUUAAAAAUAUGAGUAAGUUUGAAAACUUUAAAUUUUUCCCAAAAGUUCUUUCUACAAUAAAUAAGAUAUUUCAUUUUCUUUCCAGAUAGCAAGUGUGAAAUACCUCUCUAUGCCCAUAUAUGUCACGACCCGGAUUUCUCACCCUCGGGAGUCGUGAUGGCGCCUAUUAAUGUUAGCUAGGCAAGCCAAACCUUUAAUCUAAUCACUUCAUGAACCAAUUGUUUCUUUUUAACAAAUAUAAGACGAUAACGUGAUAACAGCGGAAAUUAAAAUUUAAGCGGAAGACAACAAUAAGAUAUAUGAAGACUGCAUCUAUUACAAAUACUUAAGCCUUAACCACCCAAAACCUAGUGUCACAGACUGUCUAAGAUUUCUAUAUACAAAGUCUGAAGAAAUAACAAUAUACUGUUUCUGAAUAAAAGGAAAAUGAAACAGGAAAUAGGGACAGAGGGAGACGCCAGGGUCUGCGGACGCCUGCAGGUCUACAUUAAGUCUCCGGAUGGACUGAAGGAAGCCUCCAAGCUACUAUCCAAAAGCUGCUCCGGGAUCUGCACAUAGUGUAGAGUGUAGUAUCAGCACAACCGAUCCCAUGUGCUGGUAAGUGUCCAGCCUAACUCCGUCGAAGUAGUGACGAGGCUAGGACAAGACUACCAAAUAAACUUGUGCAGUUCAAAUAUAUAUAUAUACAGCAGAAAAGAAAUACAGAAAUAAAUAAAUAAAGAUUGGAGGGGGGAACAUGCUUCGAGGAAUAACAGGUAAAACAGAAUAUCAAAAGAAUUAUAAAGGAAUCAAAAUCAACCACUAACAAGAAUAAGGAAAACAAAGGCAGAUUUCACUUUCUUUUCACAUCUUGUUGAAGGUGUGCAACCCGAUCCCAUUUCCUGUAUCUCGUGGCAGGCGUGGCACCCGCUCCCAUUUCAUGUAUCUUGUGGCAAGCAUGCCACCCGCUCCCAUUUCAUUUAUCUCGUGGUAGGCAUACCACCGCUCCCAUUCCAUUAUAUCUUGUUGUAGGCAUACCACCCGCUCCCAUUUUAUUAUAUCUUGUGGUAGGCGUACGACCCACUCCCAGUUACAAGCCAACAAUAAUCAUAAGGAAUCCCGGCAAGGGAACAUAAGCAAUAUAACAACUUCCCAGCAAGGGAACAAUGAUAUUUCAACAACAUCCUAGCAAGGGAACAAUACUAUCAAAACAAACAUCCCGGCAAGGGAACAUUAAUAUCAAACAAACAUCCCAGCAAGGGAACAAUGGUGAUAAUAACAUAUGAAGCGCAAUAAACCACAACGGAGUCAUAACAAUUAUAAUACAAGACUCACGAACAUGCUUGACAACAACGCCUAGAUACUCAUCACCAUGCCUAUACGUCGUACUCCACAAUUAACAUGUAGCAAAUAAGACACAACUCCUAAUCCCUGAAGCUAAGGUUAGACCAAACACUUACCUUAAAGCCACGAGCAUAAUCAAGCUUCAACUACUGCUUUACACAUUGGUUCCACUUCCAACUCGCUUGUAUCUAGCCACAAUUUACUUAAUUACAUCAAUAAACGCUAAAUGAAUCAACCCCAAUGCAUGAAAAUGAGUUUUUCUAAAGUUUUGCCCAAAAGUUAAAAAUCGUCCCGGGCCCACAUGGUCAAAACCCGAGGUUCGAGCCAAAACCCGAUUACACAUUCCCCCACAAACCCAAAUAUAUGAUUUGUUUUGAAAUCGGACCUCAAAUCGAGGUCCAAAUCCCCAAUUUUUGAAAAACCUAGGUUCUAUCCAAAAUACCCAAUUUCCCCCAUGAAAAGCAUUGAUUUUGAGUUGAAAUCAUGUUAAAAGAUGUUAAUGAUCGAAGAAAACGAGUUAGAAAUCACUUACCAAUGCUUUGGAGAAGAAAGGUUGUUUGAAAAAUCGCCUCUUAUGUUUUUGGGGUUUUGAAAAAUGAAAAAUAACUGAAAAUCCCGUCUUAAUAUAACCCUCUCAGACCCCCUGUGCGGACCGCACAAAAUCGAGUGCGUCCGCACAGCUCUCCCUGUGGACUACAGUGAUAUGCUUUAGUGUUUUGGCCAUAACUAUUUCUAAAUAUGUCCAAAUUGUUAUUUCUUUAGCUUUAUGGAAGCUAGACACGAAGGGCUACAAAUUUCGAUUUUGAAUCAUUUCAAAAUUCCUUGUAGAUCAAAUGAUAUAGGCUACCGAAGUCGGACCAGUGAAAUGUUCUUCACCGCGGACCGCACAGAAUCUAGUGCGGCCGCAAAGCCCUCACAGCGGUCCGCACAAAAUCCAGUGCGGCCGAACAGGCCCCUCAGUGGAAGCAUUCCAUUUUGUGCGGACCGCACUGGUUUGUUCAGAGGCCUUACACUUCUCUGAACCUGCAACAACUAUGUUUUUAAGCCUAAGACAUCCCGGAACCUACCCGAAACUCACCCGAGCCCUCGGAGCUCCAAACCAAGUGUGCAUACUAACUCAAAAACAUCAUAUGGACUACUUGUGCGAUCACAUCAUCAAAAUAACAUGUAAAAUCAUGAAUUAAAUCUCAAAACUCAACAUUUUCAUCAAGAACUCUCAAAGUUCAUAACUCUUCAACUGGAAGUCCAGCUCACGUCAAAUAAACUCCGUUUUCACCAAAUUUCACAGUUAUCUUUCAAAUACUAUAACAAGUUUGUACCGGGCUCCGGAACCAAAAUACGGGCCCGAUAACAAUGGUUUUAAACAUUAAUUCUUUUCUUCAUUUCUUAGAUAAUUCAGUAAAACAAUUUCUUUCAAAAAUUGAUUUCUAAGGCUUGGGACCUCAGAAUUCAUUUCCGGGCAUACGCCCAAAUCCCAUAUUUUACUGCGGACCUCCCGGGAUAGUCGGAAUAUGGAUCCAGGUCCGUUUGCUAAAUAUGUUGACCAAAGUCAACCAUAAUCAAAUUUUUGACUCCAAAAUUUCUAUUUCUCAUAUUUUCACAUAGAAGGCUUUCCGGAUAUAGGUCCGAACCAUGCACGUAAAUCAAGGUGGGGUAAAAAGGAGGUUUUUAGGCCUCGAAAUACUGAAUUCACUUGCAACACAAGUGAUGACCUUUUGGGUCAUCACAUUCUCCACCUUAAAAACAAUCGUUCGUCCUCGAACGGACAUAAGAAAGAAGUACCUGAGUCGGGAAAAAAGAUGGGGAUAACGACUCUGCAUAUCAGACUCAAACUCCCAAGUCGAUGCCUUGAUGGGCUGACCUCUCCACUAAACCCGAACAGAAGGAAAACUCUUUGAUCUCAACUGACGAACCUGCCGGUCUAGAAUAGCUACCGGCUCAUCCUCAUAAGACAAGUCCUUGUCCAAUAGGAUAGUGCAGAAAUCUAACAUGUGGGAUGGAUCGCCAUGAUACUUCCGAAGCAUGGACACAUGAAACACUGGAUGCACGGCCGAUAAGCUCGGCGGCAAUGCAAGUCUAUAAGCCACCUCUCCCACUCGAUCAAAAAUCUCAAACGGGCCAAUGAACCUAGGGAUAAGCUUGCCCUUCUUCCCAAAUCUCAUCACGCCCUUCAUAUUUGACACUCGAAGCAAUACCCGCUCACCAACCAUGAAUUCCAAAUCACGAACCUUGCGGUCGGCAUAACUCUUUUGCCUGGACUGAGCUGUACGAAGCCUAUCCUGAAUAAUCCUGACCUUAUCCAAGGCAUCUUAAACCAGAUCCCUACCCAACAACCGAGCCUCUCCCGUCUCAAACCAUCCAACCCGAGACCGACACCGCCUACCAUAUAAAGCCUCACACGGAGCCAUUUGAAUACUCGACUAGUAGCUGUUGUUGUAGGCAAACUCUGCUAAAGGCAAACACUAAUCCCACGAGCCUCCAAAUUCAAUGACACAAGCUUGGAGCAUAUCCUCCAAAAUCUGAAUGGCCCGCUCGGACUGCUCAUCCGUUUGAGGAUGAAAUGCUGUGCUCAACUCAACCCGCGAACCCAAUUCUCGCUGAACUGCCCUCCAGAAAUGGGAGGUAAACUACGUACCUCGGUCCAAAAUGAUAGACGCGGGCACACCAUAAAGGCAAACAAUCUCCCAGAUAUAGAUCUUAGCCAACCUCUCAGAAGAUAGGAGACUACCACAGGAAUGAAAUAUGCUGACUUUGUUAGCCUAUCAACAAUAACCCACACUGCAUCGAAAUUCCUCCGAGUUUGUGGGAGUCCAACAAUGAAAUCCAUAGUGAUCCGCUCCCACUUCCACUCGGGAAGCUAAAUCCUCUGAAAUAAACCACCGGGCCUCUAAUGCUCGUACUUCACCUGUUGACAAUUCAAACACCGAGCCACAUAUGCAACGAUAUCCUUCUUCAUUCUCCGCCACUAAUAAUGCUGCCACAAAUCCUGAUACAUCUUUGCGGGUCCCAGAUGAAUAGAGUACAGGGAACUGUGGGCCUCCUCCAAAAUCAACUCUCGAAGCCCAUCCACAUUAGGCACACAAACUCGACCCUGCAAUCUCAAAACUGCAUCAUCACCUAAGGUAACCUGCUUGGCACCUCCGUGUUACACUGUGUCUCUAAGGACACACAAAUAGGGAUCAUCAUACUAUCGAUCACGGAUACGCUCCAAUAAAGAAGAACAAGCGACCGUGCAAGCCACCACACGACUGGGCUCAGAAACAUCCAACCUAACGAACUGAUUGGCCAAAGCCAACACAUCCAAAGCAAGCGGUCUCUCACUGACCAGAAUAUAAGCAAGACUGCCCAUACUGGCUGACUUUCUACUCAAAGCAUCGGCCACCACAUUGGCCUAUCCCGCAUGAUAUAAGAUGGUGAUAUCAUAGUCCUUUAACAACUCCAACCACAUUCUCUACCUCAAAUUUAACUCCUUUUGCUUGAACAAAUACUAAAGACUCUUGUGAUCCGUGAACACCUUACAUGCCACGCCAUACAGAUAAUGCCUCUAAAUCUUCAAUGCGUGAACAAUGGCUGCCAACUCCAAGCCAUAAAUGAGAUAGUUCUUCUGAUGAAUCUUCAACUAUCGCGAAACAUAGGCAAUGACCUUGCCACCCUGCAUCAAUACCUCACCAAGUCCAAUACGAGAUGCAUAACAAUAGACUGUAUAAGGCCCCGAGCCUGUGGGCAAAACCAACACUGGUGCUGUAGUCAGAGCCGUCUUGAGCUUCUGGAAGCUCGCCUCACACUCAUCCGACCAUCUGAACUGGGCACCCUUCUGGGUCAACCUGGUCAUUGGGGCUACGAUAGAUGAGAACCCCUUCACGAACCGACUAUAGUAGCUUGCCAAUCCCAAGAAACACCGAAUCUCUGUAGCUGAUGCUGGUCUAGGCCAGUUCUUGACUGCCUCAAUCUUCUUCGGAUAAACCUGAAUACCCUCUACUGAUACAACAUGACCCAGGAAUGCAAUUGAACUCAACCAGAACUCACACUUUGAGAACUUAGCAUAUCACUAACUAUCUCUCAAGGUUUGAAGAACCACUCUAAGAUGCUGCUCGUGCUCCUCCCGGCUGCGGGAAUAAAUCAAAAUAUCAUUAAUGAAGACUAUCACGAACGAAUCCAAAUAAGGCCUGAACUCUCAGUUCAUCAAAUCCAUAAAAGCUGCUGGGGCAUUUGUCUACCCGAAUGGCAUCGCCAAGAACUCAAAAUGCUCGUACCGAGUGCAGAAAGCUAUCUUACGGACAUCGGAUGCCCUAAUCCUCAACUGAUGGUAGCCAGAUCUGAAGUCAAUCUUCGAAAAUACCUUAGCACCCUGAAACUAGUCAAACAAAUCAUCAAUCUUCGACAAUGGAUACUUAUUCUUGAUUGUAACCUUGUUUAACUGCGGGUAAUCAAUACACAUUCUCAUCGAUCUGUCCUUCUUCUUAAUAAAUAACACCAGUACACCACAAGGCGAAACACUCGGCCUAAUGAAACCCUUCUCAAGCAAGUCUUGCAACUGCUCCUUCAACUCUUUUAAAUCAGGCGGGGCCAUAUGAUACAGCAGGAUAGAAAUGGGCUGAAAGCCUGGAGCCAAAUCAAUGCAAAAGUCAAUAUCCCUAUCGGGUGGAAUACCCGGCAGGUCUGAAGGAAAUAUUUUAGGAAACUCACAAACAACGGGCAUAAAAUCAAUAGAAGGAACCUCAGCACUAGAAUCACGAACAUAUGCCAAAUAGGCCAAACACCCUUUCUCGACCAUACGCCGAGCCUUCACAUAAGAGAUAACACUACAGGUAGAAUGACUAGGAGUCCCUCUCCACUCUAAAUGAGGUAAACUUGGUAAGGCUAAGGUCACAGUCUUGGCAUGACAGUCCAAGAUAGCGUGAUAAGGUGAUAACCAGUCCAUCUCUAAUAUGACAUCGAAAUCGACCCUGUCCAGAAGAAGCAAAUCUACACGAGUCUCAAGACCUCCAUCCACAACUAUACAUGAACGAUGGACUCAAUCUACCACAAUAGAAUCACCCACCGGCGUAUACAUAUAAACAAGAUCGCUCAAAGAAUCACUAGGCAUGACCAGAUAUGGUGCAAAAUAAGAGGACACAUACGAGUACAUAGACCCUGGAUCAAAUAACAUUGAAGCAUCUCUAUCACAAACCAGAACUGUACUUGUAAUAAUUGCAUCAAAAGCCUCAUCCUCGGGCCCGACUGGAAGAGCAUAACAUCAGGGCUAAGCCCUACCACCCUGAACUACAUCUCCAAGAUGGUCUGCUGCUGGCUGGCCUCCACCUCUAGUGGCCUGAGCUCUACCUCUAAUACCUCUACCUCCACCUCUAGCACCUCUACCCCCACCUCUAGCUGGUUGGGCAGGCUGUGGAACACCUGGUGCCUGAACCAUGGCACGAAAACCCUGAUGCUGAGAGCUACUCGGUGCUCGAGGGCAAUACCUAGCAAUGUGCCUCGUGUCGCCACAAGUAAAACAAGCCCUCAGCUGCUGGGGCUGACGACCCUAGAAACUCUGAAGCAGCGGUGCACUAAUCGGAGCUAAUGGUGCACUGUAGGACUGCUGAUCAGAAUACUGCAUCUGAGAACCACAGCCACCUGAAGCACCGUGAGAAACCUGAAGUGCUGACUGGAAAGGCCUGGAAGGAUGUCCCCUACCAUAUGAAUCCCUACCUCUAAAUGAGGUACUAGUGAAUAUACUUGAAUGAAGAGGCCUCUUGUCCGACCCAUGACCACCUCCAUGUGACAGAACCAUCUCAACUCUCCGGGCCACAUUGGCCGCCUCCUGGAAAGAUAUCUUACUCCUAGUUUUCCUAGCCAUCUGAAGACGAAUCGGCUAAAUAAGUCCAUCAAUGAACCUCCUCUAUCUCUCUCUCUCGGUGGAAAGUAUGACAAGAGCAUGACGAGGUAGGUCGAUGAAUCUGGUCUCAUAUUGGGUAACAAUCAUAAAACCCUACUGGAGACGCUCGAACUGCCUCCGAUAGGCCUCUCUCUGGGUGAUGGGGAGAAAAUUCUCCAGAAAUAUCUGAGUAAACUGCUCCUAAGUCAAAGCUGGCGAUCCGGCUGGUCUAGCCAAACAAAAAUCCCUCCACCAAGUCUUGGCGAAUCUAGACAAGAGAAAAGUGGCAAAAUCGACCCCAUUGGUCUCAACUAUCCCCAUGUUCCUGAGAACCUCGUAACAGCUGUCUAGAUAAUCAUGGGGAUCCUCACUAGAUGCACCGUUGAAAGUAGUAGUGAAGAGCUUGGUGAGCCUAUCCAACCUCCACAAAGCAUCGGUAGACAUAGCCGCUCCAUCACCGGUCUGAGCUACCAUAUCCGGCUGAACUGCUCCAACUGGAUGAACCGCUGGAGUCUGAAUUUGGGGAGCUACCUGCUCUAGAGUGCGAGUAGCAGGAGUCUGGGUUCCUCCUCCAGCAUGAGAGACAGCUGGUGCUAUAGGAAGCAAGCCUGCCCGGGUGACACCCUUCAUAAGGCCCACUAGAUGGACCGGGGGUAGCAAUAAACCUCUCUGGGACCUAAGCUGGGCCCACCGGAAUUGCUGGGGCCGAAACCUCAUCAUCAAAAUCAACCUGAGGCUCCGUUGUAGGUGCUGCUGCUCUAGGCUGAGCUCUGCCCCUACCUCGGCCUCUAGCACGGCCUUGGCCUUGCCCUCUAGCACUGCCUCGGCCUCGCCCUCUGCCCCCUCAUGGGAGCUGUUGCUAGGGGCUUGGGCUGCUGGUCAGUGGAUGAGGAAGCGCGUGUUGUCGCCAUCUGCAAAAUAACAGAGUGGAAAUUCAAUUAGAAUUAAGAAACCAAACCGCACGAUAGAAAAGAAUAAAUGUGAAGUUUUUCCUAACUCUGUAGCCUCUGGAGGAUAAAUAUAGAUGUCUCUGUACCGAUCCCUCAGACUCUACUAAGCUUGUCUGUGAACUGUGAGACCCAUGUAACCUAGAGCUCAGAUACCAACUUAUCACGACCCGGAUUUCCCACCCUCGGGAGUCGUAAUGGCGCCUACUAAUAUGAGCUAGGCAAGCCAAACCUUUAAUCUAAUCACUUAAUUAACCAAUUAUUUCUUUUUAACAAAUAUAAGACGAUAAUAUGAUAACAACAAAAAUUAAAAUUUAAGCGGAAGACAACAAUAAGAUAUAUGAAGACUGCAUCUAUUACAAAUACUUAAGCCUUAACCACCAAAACCUGGUGUCCCAUACUUUCUAAGAUUUCUACAUACAAAGUCUGAAGAAAUAAUAAUAAACUGUUUCUGAAUAAAAGGAAAAUGAAACAGGAAAUAGGGACAGAGGGAGACGUCAGGGCCUGCGGACGCCUGCAGGUCUACCUUGGGUUUCCGGAUAGACUGAAGGAAGCCUCCAAGCUAUUGUCCAAAAGCUGCUCCGAGAUCUGCACAUAGUGUAGAGUGUAGUAUCACCACAACCGACCCCAUGUGCUGGUAAGUGUCCAGCCUAACCCUGGUGAAGUAGUGACGAGACUAGGACCAGACUACCAAAUAAACCUGUGCAGUUCAAAUAUAUAUAUAUAUACAACAGAAAAGAAAUAAACAAAUAAACAAAUAAUGAUAGGAGGGGGAAACAUGCUUCGGGGAAUAAAAGGUAAAACAGAAUGUCAAAAGAAUUAUAAAGGAAUCAAAAUCAACCACUAACAAGAAUAAGGAAAAUAAAGGAAGGUUUCACUUUCUUUUCAUAUCUUGUUGCAGGCGUGCAACCUGAUCCCAUUUCCUGCAUCUCGUAAUAGGCAUGCCACCCGCUCCCAUUUCAUGUAUCUCGUGGCAAACGUGCCACCCGCUCCCAUUUUAUUUAUCUCAUGGUAGGCGUACCACCUGCUCCCAUUUCAUUUAUCUCGUGGUAGGCGUACCACUCACUCCCAUUUCAUUAUAUCUUGUGGUAGGUGUACCAUCCGCUCCCAUUUUAUUAUAUCUUGUGGUAGGCGUACCACCCGCUCCCAUUUUAUUAUAUCUUGUGGUAGGCAUACCACCCGCUCCUAUUUCAUUAUAUCUUGUGGUAUCUUGUGGUAGGCGUACCACCCGCUCCCAGUUACCAGCCAACAAUAAUCAUAAGGAAUCCCGGCAAGGGAACAGGAGCAAUAUAACAACUUCCCGGCAAGGGAACAAUGAUAUUUCAACAACAUCCCGGCAAAGGAACAAUACUAUCAAAACAAACAUCCCGACAAGGGAACAUUAAUAUCAAACAAACAUCCCGGCAACGGAAAAAUGGUGAUAAUAACAUAUGAAGCGCAAUAAACCACAACGGAGUCAUAACAAUUUUAAUACAAGACUCACGGGCAUGCUUGACACCAACGUAUAGAUACUCGUCACCAUGCCUCUACGUCGUACUCCACAAUUAACAUGUAGCAAAUAAGACACAACUCCUAAUCCCUCAAGCUAAGGUUAGACCAAACACUUACCUUAAAGCUACGACCACAAUCAAGCUUCAACUACCGCUUUACCCCUUGGCACCACUUCCAACUCGCUUGUAUCUAGCCACAAUUUACUUAAUUACCUCAAUAAACGCUAAAUGAAUCAACCCCAAUGCAUGAAAAUGAGUUUUUCUAAAGUUUUGCCCAAAAGCCAAAAAUCGCCCGCGGGCCCACAUGGUCAAAACUCAAGGUUCGAACCAAAACCCUAUUGUUCAUUCCCCCACGAACCCAAAUAUAUGAUUUGUUUUGAAAUCGAACCUUAUAUCGAGGUCCAAAUCUCUAAUUUUUGAAAAACCUAGGUUCUACCCAAAACACCCAAUUUCCUCCAUAAAAAUCAUUGAUUUUGAGUUGAAAUCAUGUUAAAAGAUGUUAAUGAUCGAAAAAAACGAGUUUGAAAUCACUUACCAAUGUUUUGUAGAAGAAAGGUUGUUUGAAAAAUCGCCUCUUAUAUUUUUAAGGUUUUGAAAAAUAAAAAAUAACUGAAAAUUCCGUCUUAAUAUACCCCUCUCAGACCCCCUGUGCGGACCGCACAAAAUCGAGUGCGGCCGCACAGCUCUCCCUGUGGACUGCAGUGAUAUGCUUUAUUAUUUUGGCCAUAACUUUAUAUUUUGAAUCAUCUCAAAAUUCCCUGUAGAUCAAAAGAUAUAGGCUUCCGAAGUUGGACUAGUGAAAUGUUCUUCACCGCGGACCGCACAGAAUCUAGUGCGGCCACAAAGCCGUCACCGCGGUCCGCACAAAAUCUAGUGCGCCCGCACAGGCCCCUCCGCGGCAGCAUUCCAUUUUGUGUGGACCGCACUGAUUUGUUCAGAGGCCUUACACUUCUCUGAACCUGCAACAACUAUGUUUUUAAGCCUAAGACAACCUGGAACCUACCCGAGCCCUCAGAACUCCAAACCAAGUAUGCAUACUAACUCAAAGACAUCAUAUGGACCUACUCGUGCGAUCAAUUCAUCAAAAUAACAUGUAAAAUCAUGAAUUAAACCUCAAAACUCAACAUUUUCAUCAAGAACUCUAAAAGUUCAUAACUCUUCAACUAGAAGUCCAGCUCACGUUAAAUAAAUUCCGUUUUCACCAAAUUUCAUAGUUAUCUUUCAAAUACCAUAACAAGUUUGUACCGGGCUCCAGAACCAAAAUAAGGGCCUGAUAACAAUGGUUUCAAGCAUUAAUUCUUUUCUUUAUUUCUUAGAUAAUUCAAUAAAAUAAUUUCUUUCAAAAAUUAAUUUCUAAGGCUUGGGACCUCGGAAUUCAUUUUCGGGCAUACGCCCAAGUCCCAUAUUUUACAGUGGACCUCCCGGGAUCGUCAGAACAUGGAUCCGGGUCUGUUUGCUAAAAAUGUUGACCAAAGUCAACCAUAAUCAAAUUUUUAACUCUAAAAUUUCUAUUUCUCAUAUUUUCAUAUAGAAGGCUUUCUGGAUAUAGGUCCAGACCAUGCUCAAGGUGGGGUAAAAAGGAGGUUUAUAGGCCUCGGAACACUGAAUUCAUUUUCAACAAGGUCAUCACAAUAUACCAAUAUGUGCGAGAAGUCAUGAAUGACGUAAUAUCGUACAUCAUAUGAAAAAUGCAUCUCUAUGUCUGUACGUCAUGUGUGCAUGUCAAUGCCAUGUAUCUCAAAGAUGCACUCAUGUACUCACACUCUCAGAGUACUCAAUCUGACUGUCUCACACUUUCCACUCAUCAUGCUCAAUCACUCAGUACUGUAUAUGGCCGAUCCGGUCCAAGAAAGAUCCAUCCCGGAAUAUAUACAUCAACUGACCAACAAUCACUCAGUAUUGAGUAGGGCCAAAUCCAGCAUGUGGGGAAGAUCCAUCCCCAGGUAUAUAAAUACUCCGAACAAGAUCCAUGUCCAGGGAAAAUCCAACCCUCAAUAUAAUCAACCGCGCUCAUUGGGGGUGUGUACAGACUCCGUAGGGGCUCCUUCAGCUCAACCGCUAUCAUAAAUCAGUAUAAUAGUUGUGGCGUGCUACCCGAUCCCAUAUAUGUAAUCAAUAUAACAUACUGCGGUAUGCUGCCCGAUCCCAUAAUAUCACUCAUACUCAGGCCCUCGACCUCACUCAGUCAUCAAUCUCUCCAGUUUCUCGGGCUCACAAUGCCAUGAAACUAGCCCAAAAUGAUGAUAUGAUAUGCCAAUAAAUGGUAACAGAGACUGAGAUAUGAUAUGCAUAUGUAUACGUAUGACUGAGUCUAUAAAGCAAUGAAAGCAGAUAACUCAACAACAGAAAUGACCUUAGUGCGCCCAACAGGAUAAGCAUGUAGACUAUACAUGGUUUCUAAUAUGUGGAAAUUUCAUGGUUAAAGGUAAGAUCAGGUAACUAUGCAAUACCGCAGAAAUAACGGAGUCACAAUUCACAUGGUGCAUGCCCACACGCCCGUCACCUAGCAUGUGCAUUAACUCAACACCAAUCACAUAGCACAAAAUUCGGGGUUUUAUUGUCACGACCCAAAAUCCACUAAGGGUCAUGAUGGUGUCGGACACUACUGUCAGGCAAGCCAACACAAAAAAGUUAAUCACAUUCCAAUUUUAGUGUUUAUUGAAAAUCAUUUCUUUUAUACAUUAAACAAUAAAUAAUAAAAUUCACUAAAUAAACAAUGAUGUCUAUAACAAACUUAAAUAUUGAAUAGCCCAUAGUCAUCCCAGAACCCGGCGUCACAAGUGCAUGAGUAAUUUCUAGGAAACAAUAUAAUACAAUAACUGUCCGGAAUACAAAUUGGACAGUUGCGGGUCGUCUUAAGGGGUGCAGCUCACCUAAGCCUCCGUAUCAAAUAUACCACUGCGCCUGACUAGGCCACUAGUCGUACAUGUGCAUGUGCAACAAAAUGCACAACAAGUGUAGUGUGAGUACAAAAAUAACAUGUAUCCGGUAAGUAUCCUGUCUAACCUUGAAGAAGUAGUAACGAGAGACAUCGACACUUACUAGUGGUCCAAUAGUAAUAUAUUAAUAAUGUGAAAAAUCAUGGAUUUUAUAGGGCAUAUGUAAACUAAUUAAUCCUGAAGCAGGUAGACUAUUCCUUAAUAAUAAUAGAUUUCCAAAGAUUCAUAUUUCAUCAUCUUUUUAUCAAUUUAUCUUAGGCCAGGGAGGAAAUAUCAAUUUUGUAAAUCUCAAGCAAGCAUCACAAACCUGCGCAAGUCAUAGCCGAGGUCGUAUGGCCUGAUCCAACAUAAUAAUAAAAUGUGCACUGCCAGAGGGUCGAAUGGCGCAAACCAUAAAUGCAUCUAUUACCCCGUUCGUGAAUCAUAUGUGCGACGCGGUCAAAUAAAAGUAAUAGAGUCACCCCGCUCACGAAUCACACAUGCGACGUAGGUACCCAUAGAUACACACAUUCAAACAGUCAAUCAAGACUUUAUCAGGAAACAACUACCUAAGAAAUGAUAAUUUUCUCUUUUAACGGUCAAGAAAAUGAUGUUUAACUUUUAGAAAUUCAUUUUCCAGGUUCGAUAUGAUUUAAGCAUAUUAAAUUGACAAUAAAGUUACAAGUACGGUAAGUAAGCAUGCUUUUGGAUCCUAGACUACCCGGACUUAAGCAUUUUAGUACCUACGCACAGACUCUCGUCAUCUCGUGCGUACGUAGCCCCCCACAAAUAGAAGCACAUAUCCAAUUAUUUCACCUUUGGGGACAAUUCCCUCUUACAACGUUAGAAAGAAGACUUACCUCACUCCAAAGUUCCAUAACCGGUUUCAAGCCCUUCCGAUGACCCAAAUCGAUGCACAACGCUCCAAAACUAGCCAAUAAUUAUGCAAAACCAUUAAUAUAUGCUCAAACACUCAUUAUAAUCUAAUUUAUAACAAAUUUCUAACCCCGAUUGACAAGUGGAUAAAAAUCACCCUUGGGCCCACGUGCCUCGAUUUCGAAAUUUUUCGAAGAUAAAGUUUACCCAUAACCUCAUGAACUCAAAUAUAUAAUUAACUCUCAAUUUCAUGUCCAAAAUCGUUGUCGAAAUCCAAGAAUACCAAAUUCCUAGGUUUUCCUCAAAAACCCAAAUUUCUACUAAUUUUCAUACUUUAAUCCGUAUCUAAGUCAUGUAUUUAACUUGUAAUGAGUGGGAACAACUUAUCUUGACAUUGAUGACAAAGAAUGAGCUCCAAACUAGCUCCAAGACCAGCACUCAUGGAGGGAAUAAGGUGAAAAUGAGUCAAACCCUUGUUAUUAAAAGAAUACACUGCGUCCAGCCUUUCCGCACCUGCGGUCACUUGACCGCUUCAGCGGUUCUGCAGGUGCGGCGCCACUACCACUUCUGCAGUCUUUCACCAGACCCCUCACUCCGCUUCUGCGCUUCCCCUUACGCAGGUGCGGUACCGCUUCUGCGGCAAGAUGACCGCAUCUGCGGUCCUAGCAUUUCCCUUCACAACCGCAUUUGCGCUCCUUUGGCCGCUUUUGCAGCUCCGCACCUGCGGCCAAGACCUCACAGGUGCAUUUACACCAGAUGACAGCAGGCUUCCGCUCUAUCUCCCAACUCCCAUCCGAUUCGCUAACCACCUAGAAUCAACUCGAGGCCCCCGGGACCCCGUCCAAUCACACCAAUUAAUUCCAAAACACAUUACGAACCUAGUCGUGCCUUCAAAUUACAUCAGAUGUCAAAGCCAUGAAUCGCACUCCAAUUCGAGCUUUAUGAAAUUUUGAACUUUAAACUUCUUCAUUCGAUGCCGAAACCUAUCAAAUCACGUCCGAUUGACCUCAAAAUUUGCACACAAGUCACAUUCGACAUUACGGACCUACUCCAACUUCCGGAAUCGGAAUCCGACCUCGAUAUCAAAAAGUCCACUUCCGGUCAAACUUCUAAAAAACCUUCAAAUUUCUAACUUUAGCCAAAUGACUCGAAAAUGACCUACAGACCUCCGGAUUUACUUACGAUCGCGCUCCCAAUACCAAAAUCACCAUACGCAGCUAUUCCCAAAUGCGAAAUCCCAAACGGACAUCGAUAACAUUGAAAUGAACUUCAACCCAAAUUUAUGAGAUUCUUCCGAAAUGCUAACUUCCAUAAUAGGCACUGAAAUGCUCUCGGGUCAUCCAUAACCAGAUCCGGACAUACGUCCAAAUCCAAAAUCAUCAUACGAACCUAUUGGAACCUUCAAAUUCUGAUUCCGAGGUCGUUUGCUCAAAAAUUCGAUCUUAGCCAAUUCUUUCAACUUAAAGCUUCUGAAAUGAGAAUUUCCUUUCCAAAUCAACUCUGAGCUUCCUGAAAUUCAAUUCGGACCACGCGUACAAGUCAUAAUACGUGAAGUGAAGCUGCUCAUGGCCUCAAAUUGCCAAACGACACGCUAGAGCUCAAAACGACCGAUCGGGCCAUUACAUUCUCUCCCACUUAAACAUACACCGUCCUCGAAUGUGUUGAGAACUGCACUAAAGUUGUCCGAAAUCACUGUUUAACACCUCAUGCACCUACCCGUGUUACCACAGCUUAGUCGAGCACAUUAUCUCGAUCAAAUUUGAAGAUAUUCUCCUUUAUUCAAACAAAUAAGCUUAUAACACAAUUCCAACACCCGAAAUUCUCUGCCAUGCCUGCUUCCAACCUACGAAUGUCGUAUCAAUCACUACACGAUGUACCAAAACAUGACUGCAUACCUUUGCUGAAUUCUCACCAUAAAUAACAUCAUUCACGGACCAUAAUAACCUUCUCUUAUCAUAAUAAUCAACAUUUCCUGAAUCUUAUGCUCACAAUGCACCUCAUGACAUAUAUAAAUCUUGUCCAAAGUUUUGCAAUACCGCCACAACAGAGGAGAUGCGUAGAAAUUCAUUACCAACUAUCGAGUCAACAUAUCAUUGAGUCUAUACUACUGAUAAGAACCAUCACCUCAUUCUAAACCAAAUAAUGGUAUUUUCUCUUUGAUAUAAUUCAUAUAAUCCGAUCGCACUGAUCCUGGAUCCAAUAACCUUGCCUCACCGAGUAUGAACUGCUCAGGCAAUAAGCCACCCUAGACAUGGCCAAAAGUUUCUUAUGACGCCACAAUGUGCCAAUAGGCUACAAACGCGAACGUGGUACAUAAGAAAAAUGAUCUCUGGAAGGGACUACUCAACUCGCAACUAAUAUGACCUUUCCCCAGAAUAUGGGAAACAAAACACACAAAGAUUAGAAUAUAGAAAACUGUACUUAACAUUAUACUGUUGUGGCGUGCAACCCAAUCCAAACAAUAGCAUUUUGCUAAACUGAACCCGACACACAAAAAUUUAGUUUGCUAAUUUAGUUUAGUUCAGGGUCAACCUAGCUUAUAGGACAAUUAGCACUUUCAUUCAUGUUUUUGAAUGCAACGUUCAAUUAGCUUUUAGUUUGGUUUGAUUCCAUGUUAAUCUAGGGUUUAUUAUGAAUUAGUUUCAUGUGUCAAUUAAAGCAUAAUUGAAUAUGGUAGUUUAAUUGCUUUAGAUUAAUUAGGGCUAAUAUUAGAAGUAUAAACUAUUUGUUUGCUCUAUUCUUCUUUAUGUUUCCAUUUGUUGUCUAAUUGAUGAAAGCAUGAAUUAGAUUAACUAGGUUUCUGUUAUCAGUUCAAUUUGGUUUUAGUGUCGUUUAGGGUUAAUUAAAUAAGAAAUUCUUAUUGAUGAAUUGGUUAGCUUUAAGAUAGAAUGAAAUCAACAUGUUUUGUUUCAGCAUUAAUUUGGUUUUUUGAUGCUUUUCUGGUUCUAUUUAGCUUGAUUUGAAAAUCAAUGGAACCUUAGGGGUUCAUUUGAAUUUAAAAGAGUCUAGGAUGAACCAGAAAUAAGUAGUAACCUAAAGGGUAGAAAAGGGUUUUUUACUUAAGAUGAAAAUCAGAAAUAUACUAGAAAAGGGUACAGAUGUCCCAGCUGUUAAAAAGAUGCUGAAAUAAUAGGAUAGUUGUAUCAAGGACUGUACUAUUAUUUCCUAAGAUAAGGAAUAUGCUAAGAAGAUACCUUCCCCAUAGGCAGCCUAUAUAUGGGCUCAAUCAUUCUGAAAAAUACAUAUUUGGAUAGACAUUUUUAGCAACAAUUUACUGCACAAAAAUCACUCCUUCCUUUUCUGAAAAGUUUAUGUUUCAGAAAUUUUAGGAAAAAACUUUCUUCUUUGGUUCUAUUAAAAGCUGAAAAAUGACUUGAAGUAGGGCAUUCUCUCUUGGUUUCUGUGGCUGAAAUCUCUGAGUUUUCAAAGGAUGAGUUUGGUUUUCCUUUGCUGGGCUGGUUACCGUUGAUGUUGCUCCCUCUCUUUUUGGAAGUUCAGUAUUAUUCUAGUGACCUCUAUUUGGUAUCUUUUCUUGAAUCAUCUUUAGGUAUGUAAUCAUGCUCUAACUAUGAAAUGAAUCUAUUUGUUCAAACCUGAAGUUCUUCAUGAAUAUGUGUGUAUGGCUGAAGGCAAUGUGUGUUUAUUUCUGUCAAGUUUGUUUGGUAUUUUUGUAUACACGAAAAAUGUUAUUAAAAGUGGUAUCGAUAGCUUUGGUUCAUAGUAAAACACUUAGUUGAGAUUGUUGUAUAUGGUUGUCUUAAGUAAUAUUUUCUCUUCCUCCAUCUGAUUUCUUCACUUAAAUACCUUUUCUCUGUUUUUUUCUUCUUAGUUGGCCAUGAGCUAUAACAUGUUGGUUCAACCACUAGUUGGUUGGAUCAGUCAGUUUAGAAACUCUAAGGUGGGAUUUACAAGUUUCUUUAACAAAGGAAGAUGAAGCUACUACGGACAAAGCCAUGUUCAAAAGAGGCAGGGAUGUUCUACUAGUAUACAAAUUUGUAAUAGUUUAGCUCGAGAUUUGGUUAGUAGAUUAGUGUCGGAUUAUUUUGUCAUUUAGAAUAUUUGUUUCAAAAAAGCAGUGUCAUGAAUUAACAGUAAUACAAAACUCGUUUAUUGGUGUAAAGGUUGUCAUUCAUACUGGGAGUUUUGUAAUAAUUGGACUGUCCAAGAGCUUCGUUAAACAAGUUCUAUUUGUAAGUUGAAACUUACAUUUCACAUGCUGGGUUGCAAUUAAUGCAUCUAACUGUGUGUUCUUGGUAAAAUUUAAGGUGUAAAUUUUGUAAACAACACUGAUUUAAAUUAAGAUGUCCAUUGUUUGAUUUUUUUAUUAUUCUAUCAUGAGGAGAGAUUUGAGUGUUUGGUUUGGGCUUGGCUAAGGUCCAGUCAAGGCAGCCUGGUGAAAGUCAGCUUGGGCUGCCUUUAUCCGAGUUCACUCUUUGUCUUUGGGGCUCGACUUCAGGCCCAAAUGGCCUUGAGCUCUUGUUCCAUUUCCUCAACAUAAUAAAUGUUUUUCUUGUCUGGAAUUGGGCUGGAAUUGGCCCAACUAAAAACACGCCUUUGUUUUCUGAUUGUGUGCUCCUAUGAAUAAGUAAUUGUACAUUUUAAGUUCAGCCAUGUAUAAUUUAUGUUUGCAAAUCGUAUGUAUUAUGAUUAGCAUUCAAUUUUGUGAUUGUGAAUCUGAAUCUCUUUAAUUCGGAAAGAAAGUUCAUUUGUAGUUCAUGAUUUAUGCAUAUACCAUGGCUAAAAAUGCAUAAGGUGGAUAGGCCUAGCCGAUGCCAAUGCACAACUGGGCCCGCCUAAAAUUUAAGCCCAACGUGGGCUAUUUGUUUCCGGAUCAGCGAUUGUAUUUUGAGGCCUCUAAUUUUUGGGCAAAAUAGUGAGCCCAAGUAAGGUUUUCAAAUUGAUUUUUCAAUAGGCCACAACCGGCCUUGUUCAAAAAUGAUCAAAGGCCCAAUGCUUGUUUCUUAAAACCCGUCCAUAACUAUUAGCUCCCGAUAAGUUUAGGUUGGCUUUCAAAUAAGAAUAUCUUUAGGUGGUGUUAAAUUAAAUACCUUCUUUUAAAAUUAUUUGAGGUGUGCCAUGCUAAAUAAAACCCCUAAGCCCAUGACCUUCAUAAAACUAGUUAGCUCCUAUAGAAAAUUUGAGGUGUGCCAUUUCUCAUUAGAUAACCUAUGGCCCUCAUAUAAUUAAUUCAAACCUUUUUAAAAUCGAGGUGUGCAAUCAAUAGAACUUUCCAUGGCCCUCAUAAACGUUGUUAUUAAUAUUGAACCCUCGUAGUUGCUUUAGGUGUGUUCUUUAAAUUGAUUUUUAAUUACUAAAUUCGGGUGCACAUUUCAUGUGACCCAACUCCAACUCUCAACAAUGUUAAAUAGAACGUGUCGCGAACCGCGGGUGCAUUUCAUGUGGUGUGGUUCAAGGCAUGUUUUAAAUGACAUUUAGUCUUCCUAAAAGCGGUUUACAUAAUUAAAAGCGGUUAAUAAGCUAAAAAUGCACCAUAGGCUAAAACAUGUUAUAAAUCAGAUAAUAGGCCAAUUUUAAUAGUUUAAGCAACCGUGCUCGAACCACGGAACCCAGGAAUGCCUAACACCUUCUCCCGGGUUAACAGAAUUCUUUAUCUAGAAUUUCUGGUUCGCGGACUUUAAAAAAUAAAAAUUUCCUCGAUUUGGGAUUUUAAAAUAAAAUGGUGACUUGGCACACCAAAUAAACUAUCCCAAGUGGCAACUCUAAAAAUAAAUAAAAUAAUCUCAUUUCGAAUAAUGUCACUUUAAUUGGAAAAACUCCCUUAUAUACCCCCUCGGAUGGUAAAAAGGGAGGUGUGACAGCUCUUGCGACUCUACUGGGGAAUCAAACCCAGAACUUUUGUUCAGGGUUUAAGAAUUUGAGCUUAGAAUAACUGUUAUAGUUGGCUUGUUUUAUCUGAUUUUUACAUGUUGAGCCUAAUGUGCUAAAUGCUGCUUUUACCGCUUUGAUAUUGUUUGGACUGUAUAUAAAUUGCUACAAAACCGUCUUCUAUCUGAGUCUUCUAAAUCAUCUAGGAAGUGUACACUUCAUGUAACUUCUUUUCUGUUAGAGUCAUCCCAAUUUUAGAACGAGGUUCGGACAGGUUGCAAAGCCGAUGAAGCUUUUGUAUUCUCGGUACGCUCGCCCCCCCCCCCCCNNNNNNNNNNNNNNNNNNNNNNNNNGGCUCUAGCUGUCCGCUCGGGUAAGCUAGGUCUAGAACAAUACACCUAGGUUUUUAAACCUAGUAUAACAAAGUCUCAUGCCGGAUCCCUAGUAGGAACGCUUGUUUGCAUCACGUGCAUUUGACUUUGGAGGCUCAAUACAGGGGUUGGGUCUGUCUAGGACAAAUGUACCCGAAAUGAAAAGACCAUCCUGAUGCAUUCUACUUGCUACUUGUGCAUUUAUUUGCUUCGUAUUGCAUGUUGACUAGCUUAUGAAUAAUGGAGAAAAGUUGGGAAAGAGAAAAAUCAAUUUGAGGGCUGAGAGAGAUAAUUACCUAUUUUUGGAAAAUCCGGUAUCCAAAAAGUACCGAAACUUUGACGAAAUUUUGAAAAAAAAAAGAAAGAAAAUUUGUUUCAAGAAAAUAUAUGGUAUUAUUUUUAUUAUGCCCGAACUACGCAAGUUUGAUUCUCACCGGAUGUGGGAUACGUAGGCAACCCUUACUGGGUCCAACUCCAUUUUUGCAAAAAUAACCCAAAAAGAAUAAAAAAUUUAUUGUUUUGUCAUAAAUAAGUUAAGUGAUGUCAUUCUUGUCUAAAUAGCCAAAAUGUCCCCAAAAGGGGGCCGAAAGGCUACUUUUGCAAGAACAACCACCUAAGGUUUCUUUUUCAAAAUUUUGGUUGAUUAGCAAACACAGCCUUAAAAUCUUCUUUCCUGAAGUGCUGAAGGGUCGUAUUUGCAAGGCCUGGUCUUUGUUUUGAAAUGAAAAAUUUUGAAAAAUUGAUAACUUCCUCUUGAGUCAAAAUAAAUCAUGAUCUUUUAACCAAAUCACCCUAAUAAAUGUGUAGGAUGAGCACAAUUGAAAAUGAACCCUUCACAAAUUUUGAGGAAAUCCCAUUACAGAUCCAUGUGUGGUGGAAUGACUUAGGAAAAGUCAGCAGAGAGAUUGUGGUAAAAGUUUUGGGCGGUCUUGUUGGACUUCUAAAAAUCAAACCAAGGUUGGAUGUGAUUGAAGCUUUGAUACCUUUCUAGGACUUGACGCAUAAUGUGUUUCACUUUUCUGAUUUUGAGCUCAUCCCCACGCUGGAGGAAAUUGCGGGCUAUGCCGGUCUUAGUGGGAAUCUUAGAAGUCGGUACCCAGUGGCACCAAGAACAGUGACUCCUCACAAGUUUCUAGAUCUGUUGAGCAUCAGUCGGGAGGUUCAAGAUGGAAAUCUAGCCAAGGGAUUUUGCACAUUCCAUUUCUUGUACUAGCGCUGUGGCAAUCCCCACAGUUUUAACGCACCAAAUACUGGCCUGAUCCAUUCGGGAAACAAGGAUAAAUGGGAGGCAUGGCGGGGUUUGGCUUUUAUAGUGGCAUUUUUGGGUGUCAUAAUCUUCCCAAUAAAAGAUGGGAACAUAGAAUUGGUUCUUGUAGGAAUGGUCGACAUCAUGAUUAAAAAAGCUAAUGGCACCCUUGUUCCAAUGAUCUUAGCGGAGAUUUACCGAGCUUUAACCAUCUGCCGAGAAGGGGAAAGAUUCUUCCAAGGUUGUAACCUGCUCCUACAACUUUGGAUACAAGAAAAUAUUUGUCACCGCUUGGGGUACAUGAACUACGGCAUGACUGGUCGGAAUUGCAUUGAAGAUUAUGAAAACUGAGUGGUGGGUUGUGAAUUUCCAGAAGGUACAGAGGCUUGGUUUGCGCAUUUGAGUUUCUUAACUUCAGACAAAAUUGAGUGGACUUUCGGUUGGCUCCCUGUCACUAAAGUCAUUUGCAUGUCAACCGAGGUGUGUUAUCUUCUCUUAAUGAUUCUCUGGAGCAUUCAGUCGUACGCUCCACACAGGGUGUUGCGCCAAUUAGGCAGGUUCCAAACUAUCCCAUAUGAUGAAGAUCUGAGCCGACAAGUCAUCGAAUUGGGUCCCAAAGCUGUAUUCCCAGAAGGAAAAGUUCGUCAGAUUUGGAAUGAAUGUAUAUUUCUAGAGCCAAAGACUCGGGUGCGGGAUCUAGCUAAAGGCGAGUUAGACCCUAAUUACAUAACUUGGUUUGGUAAAAGGUUUCAAGUCCCUCAGGAGCCCGAACAACCUGCUAAAAGACCUCACGUCCAGCAAUUCACUAAUAAUUCAUGAGAGCAAUGGGAUUUGUUGGCGAAGGAGGCAAACUACAGGGCCAAGAUAAGCAAAUUGGAGGGACAAAUCAGAGAUCUCAAAUUUGAGAAUAGUGUACAAGCUGCUGCCGAUGAAGGGGAAAAGAAGAAACUGGCUCAAGAAAACAAAGCCCUUCGAGCCCAGAUCCAAAAAAUGAAAAUAGUUGCUGAGAAUCAGGAAAGAAGCCAAGCAGAUGAAAGGCUCAUAAGUGGUCUCAGAAGGAAAGUAUCUGAGUAUCAGGAUGACUUAGAGAAAUCUAAGGUUAAUCUAGCAAGAGCCCGAGCACGGAUGGCAAAGAACACAGAGGGACGGGCGGAGUUUGUACGGCAGCUGAAAAGGAAAUAUGAGGGAACAGUCACAGAGUUGAAGAAAAAGCUAACUACCCUCGAAAAUGAGAUGGCCAAACAAGCUAAGAACUUUAAAGCAGAAAGGGAACAUUGUUAUGCAUUAAUGUCCCAGCUAGAGGAAGAUAUGCAACAACUGCAAAGUCAAAACAAUCAUGACACCCAGGUGCUAGAAGCUAGGUCUCAACAAAUAGGGCAUUUGCUCCAAGAAAAGGGUAUCAUCAGGGAGAGGGUUAGAGCAAUUGCUGAUUACAUCGUCAUGAAGUGCCAUGAAUGUGAAGACAUGACUAGAACCACUUUCUUUGCUGUAGUAAUGACCCUUGUUUUUUUAAAUAAUGAGCGAAGUGGAGUGUCUUCAAGGGGAUCUUGCAUGCAGGCCCGUGGCAAGACCGACUAAUAUCCCACGGGCCCCUGGAGUAGAAGCACUUAUGUACUCUUGAUUUCCAUUUUUGAGUCUGUAAUUCAGUUUUUAGUUUUAAAAUAUGUUUUGAGUCUGUUUGUAGUUUUAAAUUCCUAGAAAGUGUAUGAUGGAGUCUUUUGUAAUAGAGAACAUUGGAGUUUUAUUAAUGAAAAUUGGAAAAUCCCAAAAAUUGUUUCUUUAUUUUUCAUAUUCAUUUCUUGAACUAUGUGAUGAUCUGAUUCACACGGCAUCGUGAUACGUAGGCUAUCCUCAUCUGAUCCGGUCAUGGUUUUUGUAAAUAACUCAAAUAAAAGAAAAGAGAGAGCCAAAGAAAAAUCAAAAGAAAAGCGAUAAAAGCAAGAAAAGAUAAAAAACAAGAAAAGGAAAGAGAGGAAAAUAGGAAUAAGAGGAGAAACAUUAAAGAGCCAAGGUGGAAAGAAAAUAUGACCGGGGAGAUAAACAAAAGUCGGGAUGAGACAUGCAAUUAUUGCAAAACAUGUAGAAACACAUUUAACUGUAUAGGUGCAUCACACCCCAAUGUGCGAUUCCCUACAUGUUAAUUGCUUCAAACUAACCGGUUUGUUGUCUACUAUUGAGUAUAGGUUCUGUUUUUAAGGUGGUUGGUUUGUGGUAACCUGGCUUCACACCUAUACUUCACAAGAUGAAAAGGCAGUGUAGAAAUGUCGUUAGAAGGUCUUCCACCAACAAUUCAUAUCUCAGAUGAUAGCCCGCUAUCGGUUAUCUCAACCUCAGAGUCAGCGGUAGCUGAGGAGAAUAAGGCACUGCGCCUCCGCAUGCUAGAAAUGUGGGACGCCUGGUCCAAUGGUAGAGAACCGCCAAGUGCCAUACCCAGUUUCACCGAGUUACUUCCCAGGGAAACUGGAAAUUCCAAUAUUCCGAUAAAUUACCCGAAUACCUCACUUGGAUAUCCCACCAUCUCAGCUCAUUUCACCAGAACACCUUCUGAAGUUCGCCCCCAAGUGGUUUCGGGAGUGGACUCCAACAUAUUUACCACACCACUAACCUCGGAUGCGGUGCAACCCACUUUACCUAGGCCAAGCUUUGAUCCAUCAUCCUUCACCUUCCAAGUACCAUCUUUUCCACCAGAACCUACCCAGUUCACCACCAAUUCUUACCCUCAACAACCCCGGUAUGAGUUUACCGUGGGACAGGAGAAAACUACCAAGAACCCCGAGCAGGAGGAAAUCACUCAGAAGAUGGGGAGAAUGCAACAGAGCCUUAAGAAUAUACAAGGUUUGAGCGGACAAAAGAGCGUAUCUUAUGCUGAUCUAUGUAUGUUCCCGCAUGUGCAUUUGCCUUUGGGUUUCAAGACCCUAAAAUUCGAAAAGUAUGAAGGGCAUGGGGAUCCCAUACACCUUAAGAGGUACUGCAAUAAACUGAGAGGAGCAGGUGGAAAAGAGGAGCUUAUUUUGGAGAGAGUUUAGUGAGCAUUGCUUCCGAGUGGUACAUGGAUCAGGACAUGUCUCGUUGGCACAUUUGGGAUGAUCUGGCCUAAGAUUUUGUCAGGUAGUUUCAGUAUAACAUAGACAUAGCUCCCGACAGGAAUUCUCUGUCGAAUCUCAAGAAGAAGUCAUCGAAAUGUUUCCGAGAAUAUGCUGUUAAAUAGAGCGAACAAGCGGUCAGGAUCAAGCCCCCGAUGGAUGAAAAAGAAAUGGUGAGUAUUUUUCUUCAAGCCCAAGAGACUGACUACUUUCAAAAUAUGAUGUCUGCAAUGGGGAAACCAUUUGCUGAGGCCAUCAAGAUUGGUGAAAUGGUCGACAAUGAUCUGAAUACAGGGCUCAUAUUGAGCCAAUCUUCCAUAAGAGCUACAUCCCAAGAAAUUCAAGAUGGGUCCGGAGGUGUAGCGAAUAGAAAGAAGAAAUAAGAGGUGGUAAUGGCAGCCCCAAGUUUGAGAAACCUCGUUCACCCAUAAGUUACUUCCCUCCAAGUACCCCAUAACAUUAUUAUCCCCAUCAGGAUGUGGCCUAUGCUAUGGCUCCUCAGCUAUACGCAGUAAUGAACGCCCAGCCAUACGCUCGGCCACAACAGCAGUUUAACCAAAAUAGAGCUCCACCUCCUAGAAAUAAUCCUCCCAACCAAGCUUAGUAUAAUCCCUAACUUUUACAAAAUAUUUCCCCUACAAUGCUCGUGUUCGAGAGACACCCAGGAGAACAAACUUCACGCCUAUUGGUGAGUCAUAACCUAGCCUUUUCCCUAAAUUGGUCCAAAUGGGUUUGCUACAACCCGUACCCCCGAAUAGGCAAAAUCCAGAGUCACCUUCUUACCGACCUGGCACCCAAUGUGCCUACCAUUCUGGGGUGGAAGGACAUGAUACUGAAGACUGUUGGACUCUAAAAAGGGCUGUUGAAAACCUCAUAGAGCAGAAAUGGAUAGUGCUAAAGGAUGAAGAAAUUCCUAAUGUGACCAACAACCCAUUACCAGCUCACAACAACGGACCGGUCAUUGGAAUGAUUUGUGAUGAUAAAGAGUUUGAUCCUACCUUGAAAGCCAUCAUUGCAAUCGCUAACGUUGAGAAAACGCUAAAGGCUGAUUCAAAGAAAGAAAAGGGACAGAAGAAGAGUAAACCCACCCCUCAAAGCACAGAAAAGGUAGUGGAAACCAAAACUGAGGACGUACCAUCGAAAUAUGCCAUUCUUUAUGUUCCCCGGGGUCACAGGAAAGAACAAAUGACAUUGACCCCUCCAAGAAGGUUGGAGCUGAACAAGGGAUCUAAAAUGUACGUGCCUAAAUGGACCUAUGUGGUACGGGGGCCGGUAAUUUCACCAAGGCUGAAUGAGCCCGUGGUUAUUGGUCGCGUACUGCAGAGGCCCAUAACAGACCCCACUAUCAUCCCGUGGAAUUAUAACAAAGUGGUAGUAACCUACAAAGGAAAAGUGGUCCUGGGAGAAGCAAAUGAAACUAACCUAGCUGAGAAAUACCUUAACGUGGGAGAAGUGAACAAUGCCAAGCAGAAACGCUUCCCGAUCAAAAGGCUAGUUAGUGCUGAAGAAGCAGAAGAGUUCUUCCGAAAGAUGAAAACUGUGGACUGUGAGGUAAUAGACCAACUUUGGAAGUCUCCUUCACAGGUUUCACUCCUGUCUCUGCUGGUGAGCUCAACCGAGCAUCAGAAAGUGUUGAUAAAAAACCUCGACGAAGCUUAUGUUCCUAUUGAAACCACUAUUGAAUAACUGGAGAGGAUGGUGGAAAGAUUCUUCGUAGUCAAUCAAAUUUCCUUUAGCAAGAAUGAUUUUCCCCCGAAAGGUGCCGCCUACAAAAAAGCCCUCCAUCUGAUAGUUAAAUGUGAGGGGUACUAUAUGUAAAGAGUCAUGAUAGAUGGCGGAUCCGGAGUUGAUAUCUGCCCUCUCUCAACUUUGCAAAGAAUGGAGAUUGGGACUGAGAGAAUCAGGCCUAACAAUGUCUGUGUGCGUGCCUUUGAUGGCAUCAAGAGAGAUACCAUAGGAGAGAUCAAUUUGAUUUUGACUAUUGGUCCUGAGGAUUUUGACCUACCCCGAUUAUCCCCCUGUCCAGCAAAAACAAAGGAAAUUCAAAACUGAUAUCAGUGACAAGAUCAAAGAGGAGGUCACGAAACAGUUGAAGGCGUGGGUGAUCCGAGUGGUCUGAUACACCACAUGGUUGGCUCAUGUGGUUCCCAUACCAAAGAAAGAUGGGAAAACUCGAGUGUGUCUUGACUACCGAGAUCUAAACAAAACAAGUUCCAAAGUCAACUUCCCAUUACCAAACAUCCACAUCCUUGCUGAUAACUGUGCCAAACAUAAGAUACAAUCUUUGGUGGAUUGUUAUGUAGGAUAUCAUCAGGUGUUGAUGGAUAAAGAUGAUGCGGAAAAGACGGCCUUCACCACACCCUAGGGCACCUAUUGCUACAGAAUCAUGCCUUUUGGUUUGAAGAAUGUCGGGGCAACUUAUAUGAGGGACAUGACUACCAUCUUUCAUGACAUGAUGCACCAAGAAAUCGAGGUGUAUGUGGACAAUGUGAUCAUCAAAUCCAAAACACAUGGCGACCAUUUUCGGGACCUGAGAAAGUUCUUUGAGCGGCUGCAUAAGUAUGAUUUGAAGCUAAAUCCGGCUAAAUGUGCAUUUGGGGUUCCGUCUGGCAAACUCUUGGGAUUUAUAGUCAGUCGGAGGGGCAUCGAGCUAGACCCAACAAAGAUAAAAUCCAUUCGAGAUUUGCCUCCUCCAAGAACAAAGAAAGAGGUUAUGAGCCUACUGGGAAGGUUGAACUACAUCAGCCGGUUCAUCGCUCAGUUGACAUCUACAUGUGAACCCAUAUUCAAGUUAAUGAAGAAAGACGUGGCAACUAAAUGGACAGAUGAGUGUCAAGAAGCCUUUGACAAAAUCAAAGAAUAUUUGUCGAACCUACCAGUCUUGGUCCCACCUGAACCGGGGAGGCCUUUGUUUUUGUACCUGACAGUCUUGGAAAAAAUUUUCGGCUAUUUCCUCGGGCAACACGAUGCAACUGGGAAGAACGAGCAUGAAAUCUACUAUUUGAGCAAAAAGUUCACAAGUUAUGAAGCCAAAUAUACCCUGUUGGAAAGGACUUGUUGCGCCCUAACUUGGGUCGCUCAGAAGCUUAGGCAUUACCUGUUGGCCUAUACCACUUACCUCAUCACUAGGAUGGAUCAUUUAAAGUACAUAUUCCAAAAGCCGAUGCCCACAUGGAGGUUAACAAAAUGGCAAAUCCUACUAACUGAAUUUGACAUAGUCUAUGUCACCCGCACGGCAAUAAAAGCCCAAGCUUUAGCGGAUCACCUAGCUGAAAACCCUGUUGAUGAUGAAUACCAGCCCUUGAGCACCUACUUCCCGGAUGAAGAGGUAAAUUCAAUCGAGGUAACAUCAGAAGACACCAACACUUGGAAAUGUUCUUCAAUGGAGUUGUGAACGCAAAAGGUGUCGGGAUUGGGGCAAUUUUGAUCUCACCCACUGGUCAACACUAUCCAUCCAUAGCCAGGCUCCGGUUUUUCUGCACAAACAACAUCGCCGAGUAUGAAGCCUGCAUUAUGGGUAUGAAUAUGGCAAUCGACCAAGAUGUUGAAGAACUAUUGAUCAUGGAGGACUCAGACUUGAUUAUCCGACAAGCUCAAGGUGAAUGGGAAACUCAGGAUAUCAAGCUUAUUCCAUACAGGCAACAUGUGGAAGAUCUUAGCAAGCGGUUCAAGUCAGUGGAGUUCAGGUACAUCCCUCGUUUUCAUAAUGAACUGACCGAUGCACUCGCUACUUUGGCCGUAUCCAGGAAAUCUCCACAUUGACCCGUUGGAAAUCCAAAUCCGAGAAAGGCACGGUUACUGCAAUACGGUUGAGGCUGAACCGGAUGUUCAGCCAUGGUAUCAUGAUAUCAAGAGAUUUCUGAAAACUAAAGAAUAUCCCGAUCAAGCCAGUGGAGACCAAAAGAGAACCAUUAGACGGCUUGCAAGCGGUUUCUUCUUGAGCGGUGAGGUCUUGUACAAAAGGACUCCGGAUCUCAACUUUUUACGAUGUGUUGACGCCGAAGAGGAUGAAAGAAUCAUGUAUGAAGUGCAUGCAGGAAUGUGUGGACCCCACAUGAAUGGCUACAUUUUGGCAAAUAAAAUCCUUCCAGUGGGCUAUUACUGGAUGACUAUGGAAAAAAAUUGCUUCAGUUUUGUCCGAAAAUGUCAUCAGUGUCAGGUGAACGAUGAUCUGAUUCAUGCACCACCUACAGAACUGCAUCCUAUGUCAGCACCAUGUCCAUUCGUUUAUUGGGGAAUGGAUGUUAAUGGGCCAAUCGAGCCAAAGGAUUCAAAUGGGCAUAGAUUCAUAUUGGUGGCCAUCGACUACUUCACAAAGUGGGUUGAAGCCAUUACUCUCAAAGUUGUCACUAAGAAAGUAGUGGUAGACUUCGUGCACUCCAAUAUCAUCUGCCGUUUUGGUAUUCCUGCAACUAUCAUUACGGAUAACGCUGCAAACUUGAACAGUCAUUUGAUGAGGGAGAUAUGUGAACAAUUCGAGAUAACGCAUCGGAACUCUACCCUUACCGACCAAAAGCUAAUGGUGCCAUUGAAGCAGCAAACAAGAACAUCAAGAAGAUUCUGAGAAAGAUGAUCCAAAGUUCCAGGCAAUGGAAUGAAAAGUUACCAUUUGCAUUAUUGGGAUAUCGCACAACUAUGCGCACAUCAGUCGGAGCAACCCCAUACCUAUUGGUUUAUGGCACAGAAGCCGUGAUACCCGUAGAAGUCGAAAUCCCUUCUCUUCGGAUCAUUGUGGAAGCUAAAAUUGAGGACAGUGAGUGGGUCAAAACCCGGCUAGAACAGUUAACCCUGAUUGAUGAAAAGCGAAUGGCCGCAGUCUUCCACGGGCAGUUGUAUCAAUAAAAAAUGGCCCGUUCCUAUAACAAGAAAGUGCGGCCUAGAAACUUUGAAGUGGGGCAACUCAUUUUGAGGCGUAUCCUCCCUCACCACCAGGAAGCAAAAGGAAAGUUCGCUCCUAACUGGAAGGGCCCAUACAUUAUCAGAAAAUUGCUACCAAAAGGGGCGUUAUACCUGGGAGACAUCGUAGGGAAUGACCCCGAAACAACUGUAAAUGCAGACGCAGUCAAAAGGUAUUAUGUCUAGUCUUUCUGCAGAAACAACAUUAUCCGAUUGGGAUGACGAAGGCUUUCAUUCUCGCUACCCCAAAAUACUCCACUCCUUUGCUAACCCUUUGAGCCGGUUACCUUUCUUUCAUUAUCCUCUUUGGAACUUGAAAACGUUUGUAAAAAAAUCAAAAUAAAAGAAAAGGAAAAAACAACACAACAAAAUGUUUCCCUGAACAACGUUCGACUUGAUUCCGAAAGUAUACGUAGGCAGCCUCUCUCUGGGGUUCAGUUACACCAAAACAAAAAUCCAAUUUCCCCCAAAAGUGAAACUGGGGCAGAUGUUAUAAUGGUUUGGCGAUGAUCCUGCCUGAACGGUUCCAAAUUUAUAAUUUGAUCCAAUUUGUUUUUACCCAAACCUUGUUCAAGUCCUUCCGAUCAAUCGAUAAAAGAUGUUCACAAUCGGAGAACGCAGUUGUUUGGAUCCAAUGCAAUCAGGAUGAGAGAAAUAAAAUGAGAGAGUCUUAUUGGUAAAAAAUCCACGGGCACCAUAAGACGAUGGAGAGCAGAGAAAUUUAAACGAGAGAGUCUUGUUAGUGAAAACUCAUAAAAGAGCACUAUAAGGUGACAUUAAGAAGAGAAAUGAGAGAGGUCAAUUGGAAAAAACCCACAAAGGGCGCCAUUGAUUGAAAAGAGGGAAUUCCUUAAGAUCAUCGGUAGACAAGAAUCCUAGCAAUGUUCCUCGAUUUUUGAGAUAUGGAUUAUGAAGGGUUUCUCCAAGAUCGAAUGGCUGCACAAAUCGGGUUUCCAGUCCAAGAAGCAUGUCAUGUCUAUUGAAUUCUAUAUGCACACCAUAUAAGUCCUUCUUUCUCUCCCCCGAAAUGGAUGCUUCUCGUUAAAUUUAUUAUCAUGUCCUUUGUUUACUUUUCUUUGAGUUCCUUUCGGUCUAAUCCCUCUUCAAAACUGAUACAAAGAAAAAAUAGCAAGAAUGGUUUACAAGUUUCUGCUUAGCAAAAUCAAAGUUCAGGAAAAGGCAUUCAGCCUCAAUGGGUGCAUCUAGUCGGCCUUGACUGGCCAUGAUGGCCGAUGAUCCAGAGUCGAGAAUGCUUGAAAAAGGAAAGAUUCAAAGUCAAGUGCCCAUAAGGGCGAAAUGAAAUAAAACCCCACGGGUUAACCGUUCUGGGAAAAGUCACGAUACCUGGUUUUAGAAGAGAAAUCAGUCUCAAGAAAACCAGCAAGCAGUAAAAGAUCUCAGCAAAAGAGUUGGGUCGGGAUCAAGUGAUCAAAGAAAUCAAGGCCACAAAACCAACCACCGUUUCAAAUUGACAAAUUGUUCUUUGAUUUGAAAACAGGUGCAAUCUAAGAUAACCCCGCAAGAAGCAAGUGCAAUAAAAGCAAGGUGCGCAGAGACCAAAAUGGUACUGCAGCAGAAGUUAACCCAAAAAGGGAAGUCCCUUUCAAACCCUUCACGCAUUCUCUUGAAUAAAGUAUUAAAAGUGAAAUGAAAAGAAGGAAGAAGAAAAAUUCAAAAACCAUGGUAGCCUAGGGUCUCCAAUCUCUAGCUAUGUUUUUCCAACAUAGGGUCUCAUUCUCUAAUCACUGCCAGCAUAACCUGGUGGUCUUUUCUAGUAUAGGGUUCCACUCCCUAGUUAAUCCCUGGCAUAACUCAGGGACCUUUUUCUUUUCCGGCAUAACCAGAUGACUUUCCCGGCAUAACCCGAGGACUUUUUUCUUUUCCAGCAUAACUGUCAUAACCCGUGGACCUCCCCGGCAUAACCUGAGGACAUUUUUCUUUCUCGGCAUAACCCGUGGACCUCCCCGGCAUAACCUGAUGACCUUUUUCGUCAUAACCCGUGGACAUCCCCGGCAUAACCCGAGGACCUUUUUCUUUCCCGACAUAAUCCGUGGACCUCCCCGGCAUACCCCAAGGAACUUUGCUUUUCCGGCAUAACCCGAGGACCUUUGCUUUUCCGGCANNNNNNNNNNNNNNNNNNNNNNNNNNNNNNNNNNNNNNNNNNNNNNNNNNNNNNNNNNNNNNNNNNNNNNNNNNNNNNNNNNNNNNNNNNNNNNNNNNNNNNNNNNNNNNNNNNNNNNNNNNNNNNNNNNNNNNNNNNNNNNNNNNNNNNNNNNNNNNNNNNNNNNNNNNNNNNNNNNNNNNNNNNNNNNNNNNNNNNNNNNNNNNNNNNNNNNNNNNNNNNNNNNNNNNNNNNNNNNNNNNNNNNNNNNNNNNNNNNNNNNNNNNNNNNNNNNNNNNNNNNNNNNNNNNNNNNNNNNNNNNNNNNNNNNNNNNNNNNNNNNNNNNNNNNNNNNNNNNNNNNNNNNNNNNNNNNNNNNNNNNNNNNNNNNNNNNNNNNNNNNNNNNNNNNNNNNNNNNNNNNNNNNNNNNNNNNNNNNNNNNNNNNNNNNNNNNNNNNNNNNNNNNNNNNNNNNNNNNNNNNNNNNNNNNNNNNNNNNNNNNNNNNNNNNNGGACCUUUUUAUUUCCCGGCAUAACCCGUGGAACUCCCCGGCAUAACCCGAGGACCUUUUAUAUUCCGGCAUAACCCGAUAACUUUCCCGACAUAACCCGUGGACCUACCCGGCAUAACCCGAGGACCUUUUUCUUUCCCGGCAUAUCCCGAUGACUUUUCCGGCAUAACUCAUGGACCUCCCCGGCAUAACACGAGGACCUUUUUCUUUUACGGCAUAACCCGGUGACCUUUCCUGGCAUAACCCAUGGACCUCCCCGGCAUAACCUGAGGACCUUUUUCUUUUCCGGCGUAACCCGAUGACCUUUCCCGGUAUAACCCGAGGACCUCACCGGCAUAACCCGAGGACCUUUUCUUUUUCGGCAUAACCCGAUGACUUUUCCAGUAUAACCCGUGGACCUCCCUGGCAUAACCAGUGGACCUCCCCGGCAUAACCUGACGACCUUUUCCUUUUCCGGCAUAACCCGGUCAUCUUUCCAGCAUAACCUGGCAAUCUUUCCAAUUUAGGGCAUCAAUCCCUAGUUGAUUUCAUUAUAGAUAUAGGGUUCCACUCCCUAAUCUCUUUCUCCCAAGGAUACACAAUCAUGAUUUUAUUGCUUUCAAUAAAGAAAUAGUUUAGAUUUUGUUACAAUAACUCACGAAAUUUUCCUACUGAAAACUGGGGCAGAAAAAUUUCGUUCGUUUGUUUGCUUUGGUGCCCAAAAUAGGUUUUCACCGUGAGGCACAAGGUUGAAAUGACCAAAAAAAGAAGUCUUAACCCAAAUAAAAGAAAAGGAAGAACAAGAAAAGAAGUGAACUCAAGUGCAGAAGCGGAGAAAAGAUGCGGACUGCUCAAGAUAUGAUUGAAGUCGUAGGCUUAGCAUGUCCUGCCUUGUUCCAAAAAGCUGAAGAAGAAUGAACCAGCGGUCGCAACUAACGAGCAUCAAGAUGCUGAUCAGAGUCUGUAGGAAGAACCAGCCAAGACUCAAGAUCAAGCUUAGGAGGUUUAUAGAUAGGAACCUGGUAACUCAUAGUUGAUAGGUUUUAGCUAGACUAGAUUCUUAUCUUUCAUUUUGGUGUAAUAAGGAGCUCAGCAAGCAGAAACAGCAGCAACAACAGUGAAAUCACAGUUUCUCGGUAGUCCCAACUACCAAAACUUCCAAAACUACACUGACCUGAUUCCUUUAUAGCCAAGGAUAUGUAGGAAACCUCUGAAGCAAGGUUCGGUCAGGCCCUUUUCAAAAAUGCUUCUCAUGGAGUCUCAAACGGGCAAAAAUCUCUCAUAAUUGCUCAUUUUGUCUUUGCCCGAAAACCAUUCGUGUUUCCGAGCAAAGAGGGCUUGCUAUGAGCAUGUGAUUUUUGCCCUAUAUAAAUUACUCCUAUAAAAUUCCCAAAAAAUAGGUCUUCUGUUAAUUAUUUGCCAUUUUUAGGAAUGUUUCUAGAAUUUUUCUUAAUUAUUUGCAUUUCUAUGCAUGUUUAAUUUAUUUAAAUCAUGAAAAAUACCAAAACAUAUCAUGCAUUACCUUUACGAUUUGUUUUUAUAUUUUAAUAAUUAAUCAAGAAUUAUUUGUUUUAUAGAAAUUUGAAAAAUCACAAAAAUAGCUCAUUUUUACAUUUUUUGUUUUUUAAUUUUUACUUUAUCGAUUUGUCUCUUUUAAUUUAGAAUUAAGUGGUGUUUGUAAUUUUUUUAUAAUUAGCUAAUUUUUAAUUUCAUAUUUUAGAUAGUUUAGAAUUUUUAAUUAUUAGGAUUUUAAAUUUAAAAACGAGGAAAAAAGGAAAACAAAGGUUUAAUUGAAAAGGGGGAUUUUAUUCAAAUUUUGGCAAUUUUUAAAAGCCAAACCCGUCCAAAUUGCCCAAGAACCCAAGCCCAAACAAUUGCCAAACUCGGUCCAACUCCCACAGUUCCCAAACGACGCUAUUUCAUUUUGAUUUGAUCUCAGCCGUUGGAUUUUAUCAAUCCAACGGCUCGGAACUGAACGAUUCCUCACAAUAUAAGUAUCUCAACUGAGUCAACCCCCCCCCAAACCAAAGAUUCAUUUCAUUUUUGCUCUAUAUCACACCCUCACCAGUAUAACCCUAGUUGCCCUCAUUUUCUUCGCCUCGCCCACCGUAAACCACCACCGAAAAUCGCGACACAGUAGUUCCGAUGGUUCAAUCGCCCCCAAAAUGACACCAUAAACUCCCCUUCACCUCUCCAUUCCAAAUCUCCACUCCUUUUUCUUCGAAUCAUCCCCGGUCUGUUUGAAUCUUGAAUCAAAAAAUCCGGCCAAAAUCCUAGUUAUUCCAAACCUCACCAUUUUAACACCCCAAACUCCAUUUUCCCUCCUUGUCUUAGAUCCCUGACCAGUUUUUCCAGAAUUCUCGCCUAAUUGUUUGAAUUUCAGAUCUAAGAGUCAAACCUAAAAACCCUAAUCUUCCCCCAAAUUGACCACAAAGCUCCUCUACUUCUCUUUUCCUUCAAAGUUAAGGCUCUCAGAAGUCUUUUAUUUCAUGGAGAUCCAGUCAAAGCCAUGCAAGGCCGGAUCUCUUAAAAGAAAAGACCUUUUUUGGUCAAGGCGAAGACGGACCUCUAAAGGCUUCUGUUGUUUGUUUCUUCCAGUCCCCAUGGUAAGGCAUCAGUCACUUUUACCCCUCCACUUCUUCUCUUCUUUCUUUCUUUUUCUUGCCAAGUCAGUAGUCUUCAUAGUUUGAUUUUCAGUUUGAUUGUUCUCUGGACGUGUUUAGUUAGCAAUUUUGUGCUAGGAUGCAUCAGUUUGUUCGUGUUGGUUUGUUUAUUCAAAAUUUUGUUUAGUUUGCUAAUUUAGUUUAGUUCAGGGUCAACCUAGCAUAUAGGAUAAUUAGUAGUUUCAUUCAUGCUUUUGAAUGCAUCGUUCAAUUAGCUUUUAGUGUGGUUUGAUUCCAUGUUAAUCUAGGGUUUAUUAUGAAUUGGUUUCAUGUGUCAAUUGAAACAUGAUUGAAUAUGGUAGUUUAAUUGCUUUAGAUUAAUUUGGGCUAAUAUUAGAAGUAUAAACUAUUUGUUUGCCCUCUUCUUCUACAUGUUUCCAUUUGUUGUCUAAUUGAUGAAAGCAUGAAUUAGAUUUACAAGGUUUCUGUUAUCAGUUCAGUUUGGUUUUAGUGUCCUUUAGGGUUAAUUAAAUAAGCAAUUCUUAUUGAUCAAUUGGUUAGCUUUAAGAUAGAAUGAAAUCAGCAUGUUUUGUUUUAGCAUUAAUUUGGUUUUCUUGAUGCUUUCUGGUUCUGUUUAGCUUUAUUUGGAAAUCAAUGGAACCUUAGCGGUUCAUUUGAAUUUAAAAGCGUUUAGGAUGAACCUGAAAUAAGUAGUAACCUAAGGGGUAGAAAAGGGUUUUCUACAUAAGCUGAAAAUCAGAAAUAUCCUAGAAAAAGGUAUAGAUGUCCCAGCUGUUAAAAAGAUGCUGAAAUAAUAGGACAGUUGUAUCAAGGACUGUACUAUUAUUCCCUAAGAUAAGGAAUAUGCUACAAAGAUACCUUCCCCAUAAGCAGCCAAUAUAUGGGCUCAAUCAUUCUGAAAAAUACAGAUUUGGAUAGACAUUUUUAGCAAUAAUUUACUGCACAAAAAUCACUCCUUCCUCUUCUAAAAAGUUUAAGUUUCAGAAAUUUUAGGAAAAAACUUUCUUCUUUGGUUCUAUUGAAAAAUGAAAAAUGACUUGAAGUAGGGCAUUCUCUCUUGGUUUCUGUGGCUGAAAUCUCUGAGUUUUCAAACGCUGAGUUUGGUUUUGCUUUGCUGGGCUGGUUACUGUUGCUGUUGCUCCCUCUCUUUUUGGAAGUUCAGUAUUGUUCUAGUGACCUCUAUUUGGUCUCUUUUCUUGAAUCAUCUUUAGGUAUGUAAUCAUGCUCUAACUAUGAAAUGAAUCUAUUUGUUCAAGCCUGAAGUUCUUCAUGAAUAUGUGUGUAUGGCUGAAGGCAAUGUGUGUUUAUUUCUGUCAAGUUUGUUUGGCAUUUUUGUAUGCACGAAAAAUAUUAUUAAAGUAGUAUCGAUAGCUUUGGUUCAUAGUAAAACACUUAGUUGAGAUUGUUGUAUAUGGUUCUCUUAAGUAAUAUUUUCUCUUCAUCCAUCUGAUUUCUUCACUUAAAUACCUUUUUCUGUUCUUUUCUUCUUAGUUGGCCAUGAGCUAUAACCUGUUGGUUCAGCCGCUAAUUGGUUGGAUCAGUCAGUUCAGAAGCUCUAAGGUGUGAUUUACAUGUUUCUUUAACAAAGGAAGAUGAAGCUACUAUGGACAAAGCCAUAUUCAAAAGAGGUAGGGAUAUUCUACUAGUAUACAAGUUUGUAAUAGUUUAGCUCGAGAUUUGAUUAGUAGAUUACUGUCGGAUUAGAUUGUCAUUUAGAAUAUUUGUUUCAAGAAAGCAGUGGCAUGAAUUAACAGUAAUACAAAACUCGUUUAUUGGUGUAAAGGUUGUCACUCAUAUUGGGAGUUUUGUAAUAAUUGGACUGUCCAAGAGCUUGGUUAAACAAGUUCUAUUUGUAAGUUCAAGCUUACAUUUCACAUGCUGGGUUGCAAUUAAUGCAUAUAAGUGUGUGCUCUUGGUAAAAUUUAAGGUGUAAUUUUUGUAAACAGCACUGAUUUAAAUUAAGAUGUCUCUUGUUUGAUUUUUUUUAUUAUUCUAUCAUGAGGAGAAUUUUGAGUGUUUGGUUUGGGCUUGGCGAAGGUCCAGUCAAGGCAGCCUGCUGAAAGUUAGCUUGGGCUGCCUUUAUCCGAUAUUACUCUUUGUCUUUGGGGCUCGACUUCAGGCCCAAAUGGCCUUGAGCUCCUGUUCCAUUUCCUCAGCAUAAUAAAUGUUUCUCUUGUCUGGAAUUGGGCUGGAAUUGGCCCAACUAAAACCACACCUUUGUUUUCUCAUUGUGUGCUCCUAUGAAUAAGUAAUUAUACAUUUUAAGUUCAGCCAUGUAUAGUUUAUGUUUGCAAAUUGUAUGUGUUAUGAUUACCGUUCAAUUUUGCGACUGUGAAUCUGAAUCUCUUUAAUUCGAAAAGAAAGUUCAUUUGUAGUUCGUGAUUUAUGUGUAUACCACGGCUAAAAAUGCAUAAGGUGGAUAGGCUCAGCCGGUGCCAAUGCGCAACUGGGCCCGCCUAAAAUAUAAGCCCAACGUGGGCUGCUUGUUUUCGGAUCAGCGAUUGUAUUUUGAGGCCUCUAAUUUCUGGGCUAAAUAGUGAGCCCAAGUAAAGUUUUCAAAUUGAUUUUUCAAUAGGCCACAGCUGGUGCGAACCGCGGGUGCAUGUGACCCAACUCCAACUCUCAAAUAGGCCACAGUUGAUUUUUCAUGUGACCCAACUCCAACUCUAAAAAAUGUUAAAUAGAAUGUGUCGCGAACCGCGGGUGCAUUUCAUGUGGCGUGGUUAAAGGCAUAUUUUAAAUGACAUUGAGUCUUCCUAAAAGCGGUUUAAAUAAUUAAAAGCGGUUAAUAAGCUAAAAAUGCACCAUAGGCUAAAACAUGUAAUAAAUCGGAUAAUAGGCAAAUUUUAAUAGUUUAAGCGACCGUGCUCGAACCACGGAAUUCGGGAAAGCCUAACACCUUCUCCCAAGUUAACAGAAUUCCUUAUCUAGAAUUUCUGGUUCGCGGACUUUAAAAAAUAAAAAUUUCCUCGAUUUAGGAUUUUAAAAUAAACCCGUGACUUGGAACACCAAAUAAACUAUCCCAAGUGGCGACUCUGAAAAAUACAUAAAAUAAUCUCAUUUCGAAUAAUGUUACUUUAAUUGGAUAAACUCCCUUAUAUACCUCUUCGGGUGGUAAAAAGGAGGUGUGACAAUCCACAUACCUCAAGCCAAUUCUAAUUGCACCAUACUAGGCAAAUAACCUUUCAAGGAUCUAUAAAUAACUUUUUCCUAUAACUCACAAGAAUAACCAUCAUAACCGGAGUAAGACUCCAUAAUCCACAACCCAAUAAAUCGAGUGCCCUUUAGGCAUAAAUUCUCAAAUUGGCAAUAUUACCACAAUCUUUAUACUUGGUUUAAAUCUCCAAUCUGUCAAGCGACUACAUGUCAUACUUAUACAAUCUCCUCGUGAGACAUGCUCCCACGAUCUUCUGCACCAGAUAACGAGUCUGCAUAUCCAUACCACCGGACGCACUAACGCUGUAAAGCAAAUCAAGAAUCCAUAACUAGGUUGCAAAGCCUCCUUCACAAAACACUGGUCUCAGGUGACGCUAAAGACAAUACCAACUUACUUUAAACAUUCGAAUCCAUUUCCAUCUCAUCCGAGCUCGUGACAUCCUUGCCAAUACCAAACCGCAACCUCGGUUCCUCACUUUCAAUUUUCAUACUGCUCACUGCACCUAACAUACCAAUAUGUGACAGUAUAAGAAUUUCAUCAUGACUUCUGAACCACUAAUAGGGUAUACACUUUAUCAUACAGAAACCUUUUACCUAACUCAUUCCAAGAGAACCAUAGCAACACGCGAGUGAAUUCUCAUAACCAUAGAACAUGCAAAUCCUCAAGUAGUGGUCUAAGCCACCAUAACCCUUCCAGGAUCCGCCCACACAUAACAGGCCAAAAUACUUGAAUACUCCAAAAAAAAAUCAAUUACGGUGGCCAUCAAACCUCGUAUGGAUCGUCACAAAUCACAUACAUAACUUAUUCACGCUGAGGAAACUGAUCACCGCCACCAUUGUGCCAAUUCAACCAUGGCUAACCAAUCUAACUCCUUCUAAUUCAUCCUUAACUUGCCUUAGAGAUAAUAAUGACUCCAUUUAACCCAUAACGAACUCAAUCUGCAUUCAUCCCGAGUGGCCUUGUAUCACGAGACCACACAAUUUCAAAUCCCACGAACCAUCUCAUACCUUCCUUGUGCGCACAUUCGCAUCCUCAGCUGGUAUGCCCAUUCUGAUAACUUCUCUACGAAUCCAAAGUCAUUUCCUCUCAUUCUUCCAAAUGCUACACUACAAAUCGGAAAUAUCAUAGAACAUCUCAAGCCUCUUAUCAUAAUACACCACAAAAGCUCGAUUCUUAACCAUACCGUGGGCUUAAAAUCUUUAGGCACCGCAUUUUAACCUUUGAAUUCACUAGGGACAUUGUUGAGAGUCACCCACUCUGGCUUGGUCCCGAAUAUAAUCACUUCAAGGCUCCGCUAGCACAUGGACACCCAUUUUCAUGGAGCACCCGAUUGAAUCACUUCCUUAUAAACCACCCCAGCACGGAACAGAAAUCCUGAGUCUUCCCAAAGUCCGAACAAGAAUCGAUAAGGCCAUUUAUGGCACACAUAUCUCAAAUCAUUUGCUCAAAUUACCACUUAUAUUCUUUUUCCUUAGCUAAAAUAUUUUGCCAUUAUACCGAUAGCCAGAAACCUCACAAGUAGAUAACCAUGCAACCCAAUCAUAGGCGGUAGGACAUUCCCACUUAGCUUAGAGCCACCUGUUACAUUACUCUGGAACCUACCAAGAUUCUUUCUUUAUUAUUGACAUGAUCUUACACAUCCAACCCACCAUAUUCCUCGAAAUCCUUCUGUUAGCAUUUCAUGAACACUCUGAAUUUCCGGCAACAUUCACAUAUUUGACUUCUUACUGGAUAGCCAAUAAAAUCUUCCGUAGAAGCUUCACCAACCACGCAACCGUUGACCUGCUCACAGGAGAUAACCCCCCGUGGAAAUUACACUCCGACAUCUUCCAACAUCGUUGCACGGGGUACAAUCACUAUGACAUCAAAUAACCCAUCCUGAGCCUGUGCUCAUUCACCAACUGUACUAGUCCGUUCACUUCUUAUGGAUAUCAACUAACUGUGCGACAAUAUCUUCCAAUUCAAAGUCAUAUAGCAUCCUUCUUCGUAUCAAGCAACUACCUUUUUGUCGCAUCCAAUCCCCCGCCGUAUAAUAGCCAAUAUUUCAAAUUAAGCCCGUCUACCCUAUCACCGUCCACUAAAAUUCCCAAAUCACUCAAGUCUUUUCCUCAAGGGGUGUAGUUAUCCUGCUACUGAACCCAUAUGCUACUCUACCACUAUCCCACUUUGGUCAAACCCACUCCUUUAAGCAACUACUCAACCUUCGCUUCUUACACCUGGCCUUCUAGAAAUUUAACCACCGCCUGACACUUCCCACAUGUCCUUCCUCAUCAUUUGCUUGCCAGUUGUUGCCUUUGAUCAAUAUCUAUCUAUGUAGCACUUGAACCAAUAGACUGCUACUAACUUCAACCCUUCCCAAAGAUCCUCCUUCUCGAGCCGUCAGCAUUAGAAAUACCCAUUCAAUCUUGAACCACCACACCCUACGAUCUCGUUACCCUAUUAACCCAAACCUGAACAUUUAUAGUCCGAUUGUCUUUCCUCCAGCGGAAAUAAAAUACCGAAUCUCUUUAUCGUGCUCUAAGUAAACCUCCUUUCAAGUCAUUCACUGCCCUGACACAUAGGCAAGCAUCCUACCAUCACAUUAAUUCUGUGCGAUAACCGAUCAUAAGCAUCAUAGCAACCUGCACAUAGACUCAAGCUCUCAGAAGUGCAGCUACCAAGCUGAAAUGCCAUAAUAUCCUUCCGCAAUGCGACGACAACAGCCCAACCAACUAUGUCAGAAGAAACAUCCUGCACCGCAUCUGUAGUACCAUUAAAAUUCCUCAAUUCCUGAUUUAUAAUAAGUGUUUUGCAUCAAAUAAGAUUGAAUAGGAAGGAAACAAGGGCAUAAGCGUCAAAGGAAUCAAAUUGCACGAUGAGGAAUCAAGAAGGGAAGUGCUCCUAACAGCCCUAUAGCCUCUCGAAGAUAAGUACAGACGUCUCUGUACCGAUCCACAAGACUCUACUAGACUCGCUAAUGACUCGUGAGACUAAGGGAACCUAGGGCUCUGAUACCAUGUUGUCAUGACCCAAAAUCCACUAAGGGUCGUGAUGGCGCUUGACACCACUGUCAGGCAAGCCAACACCAAGAAGUUAAUAAAAUUCCCAUUUUAGUGUUUACUAAAAAUCAUUUCUUUUAUACAUUAAACAAUAAAUAAUGAAAUUCACUGAAUAAACAAUGAUGUCUUUAACAAAAUUAAAUAUUGAAUAAGCCCAUAGUCAUCCGAGAACCCGGUGUCACAAGUGCAUAGGCAAUUUCUAGGAAACAAUGUAAUACAAUAACUGUCCGGAAUACAAAUUGGAUAGUAGAUAAAAUACAAUACAAUACUCUGAAGGAGACUCUACCGGUUGCGGGUCAUCUCGAGAGGUGCGACUCACCUAAGUCUCUGUAUCAAACAUGCCAUUGUGCCUGACUAAGCCACUAGUCGUACAUGUGCCUGUGCAACAAAAAUGCACAGCAAGUGUAGUGUGAGUAUAAAAAUAACGUGUAUCGAGUAAGUAUCCUGUCUAACCUUGAAGAAGUAGUGACGAGAGAUCGGACUGCGACACUUACUAGCGUUCCAAUAGUAAUAUAUUAAUAAUGUGAAAAAUCAUGAAUUUUAUAGGGUAGAUGUAAACUAAUUAAUCCUGAAGCAGGUACACUAUUCCUUCAUAAUAAUAGAUUUCCAAAGAUUCAUAUUUCAUCAUCUUUUUAUUAAUUUAUCUCAGUCUAGGAAGGCAAUAUCAAUUUUGUAAAUCUCAAGCAAGCAUCACAAACCUGCGCAAGUCAUAGCCGAGGUCGUACGGUCUGAUCCAAUAUAAUAAUAAAAUGUGCACUGCUAGAGGGUCGAAUAGCACGAACCAUAGAUGUAUAUAUUACCCCGCUCGUGAAUCAUAUGUGCGACGCGGUCAAAUAAAAGUAAUAGAGUUACCCCGCUCACAAAUCAUACAUGCGACGCAGGUACCCAUAGAUACACACAUUCAAACAGUCAAUCAAGACUUCAUCAGGAAACAACUACCCAAGAAAUGAUAAUUUUCUCUUUUAACGGUCAAGAAAAUGAUUUUUAACUUUUAGAAAUUCAUUUGCCAGGUUCGAUAUGAUUUAAGCAUAUUAAUUUGACAAUAAAGUUACAAGUACGACAAGUAAGCAUGCUUUUAGAUCCUAGACUACCCGGACUUAAGCAUUUUAGUAGCUACGCACAGACUCUUGUCAGCUCGUGCGUACGUAGCCCCCACAAAUAGAAGCACAUAUGCAAUUAUUUCACCUUUGGGGACAAUUCCCUCUUAAAAGGUUAGAAAAGAGACUUACCUCACGCCGAAGUUCAAUAACUGGCUUCCAAGCCCUUCCGAUGACCCAAAUCGACGCACAACGCUCCAAAACUAGCCAAUAAUUAUGCAAAACCAUUAAUAUAUUCUCAAACACUCAUCAUAAUCCAAUUUAUAACAAAUUUCCAACUCUGAUCGACAAGUCGAUAAAAAUCACUAUUUGACCCACGUGCCCGGAUUCUGAAAUUUUUCGAAGAUAAAGUUUACCAAUAACCCCACGAACUCAAAAAUAUAAGUUACUCUCAAUUUCAUGUCCAAAAUCGUGGUCGAAAUCCAAGAAUACCAAAUUCCUAGGUUUUCCUCAAAAUCUCAAAUUUCUACUAAUUUCCAUACUUUAAUCCUUAUCUAAAUCAUGUAUUUAACUUGUAAUGAGUGGGAACAACUUACCUUGACAUUGGUAAUGAAGAAUGAGCUCCAAACUCGCUCAAGGACCUGCUCUCAUGGAGGAAAUGAGGUGAAAAUGAGUCAAACCCUCAUUUUUAAAAGAACACACUGCCUCCAGCCUUUUCGCACCUGCGGUCGCAGGUGCAACCCCACUACCGCUUCUGCGUUCUUUCACCAAGACCCUUACUCUGAUUUUGCGCUUCCGCUUCUGCAGGUGUGGUCCCGCUUCUGUGGCAUGAUGACCGCAUCUGCGGCGCCAACAUUUCCCUUCUCAACCGCAUUUGCGCUCCUUUGGCCGCUUUUGAGGCUCCGCACCUGCGACCAAGACCUCGCAGUUACAACAGAUGAUAACAGGCUUCAGCUCUAUCUACCAACUCCAAUCCGAUCCGCUAACCACCCGAAAUCCACUCGAGGCCCAUGCGAUCGCGUCCAAUCACACCAAUCAAUUCUAAAACUCAUUACAAACCUAGUCGAGCCUUCAAAUCAUAUCAAAUGACGCCAAAACCAUGAAACACACUCCAAUUUGAGCUUUAUGAACUUUUGAACUUCAUACUUCUUCAUUCGAUGCUAAUACCUAUCAAAUCACGUCCGAUUGACCUUAAAUUUUGUACACAACUCACAUUCGACAUUAUGGACCUACUCCAACUUCCGGAAUCAGAAUCCGACCCUCAUAUCUAAAAGUUCACUUCCGGUCAAACUUCUCAAAAACCUUCAAAUUUCUAACUUUAGCCAAAUGACUGCAAAAUGACCUACGGAGUUCCGAAUUUACUUCCGAUCAUGCUCCCAAUACCAGAAUCACCAUACUAAGCUAUUCCCAGACUUGAAAUCCCAAACAAACAUCGAUAACAUUGAAAUGCACUUCAAUCCAAAUUUAUGAGAUUAUUCCAAAAUGCUAACUUCCAUAAUAGGUGCCAAAACGUUCCAGGGUCAUCCAAAACAUGAUUCGAACAUACAUCUAAGUCCAAAAUCAUCAUACGAACCUAUUGGAACCUUCAGAUCCCAAUUCCGAGGUCGUUUACUAAAAAAUCCGAUCUUAGCCAAUUCUUUCAACUUAAAGCUUCCAAAAUGAGAAUUUCCUUUCUAAAUCAACUCCGAGCUUCCCGAAAUUCAAUUCCGACCAUGCGUACAAGUCAUAAUUCCUGAAGUGAAGCUGCUCAUGGCCACAAACUACCAAACAACACGCUAGAGCUCAAAACGACCGUUCGGGUUGUUGCAUUCAUACCCUCAUCACCAAGUUUUGAAGUGUUACCUACCUCGAACAAGCCAAUUUUAAUACCGAGCAAGCCAACCGAUGCUCCAAAAAUGCCAUCUCGUGCGUACCGCCUCCGAAUGGCUCAAAACUAGCCAAAAGCAACUCAAAUACAUCAAAUAAUGCCAAAGGAACCAAGCCCAGUCAAUAAAGGUCGAAUCUUUAAUCAAAAGCCCAAAAUCGGCCAAAAAGUCAUAACUCGGGCCCGUGCCUCAAAACCCAACAAAACUCACAAAAUUUGAUAACACAUUCAACUACGAGUCCAACCAUACUAGUUUCACUCAAAUCCGACUUCAAAUCAAUGUUCAAAACUCAAAAAUUCAUAUUAUGAAACUUUAGGCAAAAAUCCUCCAAUUUUCUCUUUGAAUUCACAAACCAAUUACCAAAAAUGAAGAUAGAUUUAAGAAAUAUUAGAGAACACUUACACAAAUUCACAUGGUGAAAAUCUCCUCAUAAACUACCCAAUUCCGAGCUCCCCAACUCAAAAUAUGUUAAAUGAAUAAAACCCUCGUUUUAACAUCAUUCUACCUCGUUUCUUGUGUCAAAUAAUCUCAAAACUCACUUUUGACGCAUCCACUGGAUUACUUGUAAAAUUAUAGUCAAGUCAAGCUCUUGAAUAACUCUAUUUGACCUUAUAUUGAAGGAGAUAUGUUGGUUUCAUGGAAAUAGUGCAGAUUUUUAAAUACGAAGUCAGUAGCAAUUUUGUGAUUAAUCUGAAAAAAUCUAACAACCCAAUUCUUAAUAAAAUGACCAUAAACUCUUUAUACGAUGUCCAAAUUAGACGAUUCUUUUUGCUAUGGAUCCGUAAUUAUGAUAUGGAUCUAAUGCUUCAAUAAAAAAAGAAACUGGAGCUCAUUUACUUAAUGUAGUACCAUUUAUACUUGAAGAAACGAUGUCGAAACAUAAAAAACGAUCGCAACACAAUCCAAACCUAUCUAAAACUCACUCGCGUCCCUCGGGACCCCGUCCGAACAUACCAACAAGUCCCAUAAAAUAACACUGACCUACUCGAGGCCUCAAAUCACGCAUAACAAUAUCGAAAUAACGAAUCACACCCCAAAUCAAACUUAAUGAACUUUUCCAACCAUCAAAUUCCAAUUUUCGCCAAUUAGUGCUGAAUCCUUCUAGAAAUAUCCAAUUGCAAAUUUGGGCAUACGCCCGAGUCCAAAAUUACCAUCCGGACCUAACAGAACCAUCAAAACUCCAAUCCGAGAUCAAAUGCUAAAAAGUUCAACUUGGUCAGCUCCUCCAACUUAAAGCUUCAAUCAUGAAGUUCAUUCUUCCAAAUCAAUUCCGAACAACCUGAAAACUAAAAUUGACGAUUCACAUAAGUCAUAAUACAUCAUGUAGAUAUACUCAUGCCCUCAAAUUACCAAGCAAAGUGCAAAUGCUCAAAACAACCAAUCGGGUCAUUACAUCCUCGAACGUGCCAAGAGUCAUCCCAAAGUCAUCAAAUCGCCGUGUAACCUAUCCAUUCACAUAUCCCGGGGUGAUCCCAUGUCACCCUAUCCCAUAUAGGUCUGAUAACCCAACAUAACUUAAAUUUCUUAAUUCAACCUAGCUUAUAAGUCUUAGAAUUCAAUUUCUAACAUCCAAAAUUUCUAUAAAGUAAGAAUCUUGCAUCUAAAAACUGUAUAAGUCUAAACAAACUGCAUUAAGCCAUAAUCAUAACCCAAAACAUAAUCACAUGAUAUACCUCAUAACUCAAAUACUCAUAGCAAUACUUCCUAAUUACCGUAGCUGUUUAAAAAUAAAUUCGGUACUGGUAAUAAACCUCAUAUCAAGCAAAACAUCGACUCUAAAACCUUCGUAUACUGCCGAUAAUGAAAGAAACACACAGAACUCAUAACUAUUCAUCAAAUCAACGUCUUGGAGCUCUAUCUCCUUCGACAAGAACUACAACCAAAUUAUCGGUCGAUCAGCAAUAUUAUCCUUCCAAAUAUACCCCAAUCAGAUCCGAUAGCACCCAUUCUAGGUCUGAUGACCUUAUUUCAUCCAACACAACCACUCCAAUGACAUGCCAUAUCAAUACAAUCUAAAGCCACAACCCGUGCAAUCUGUGCACCAAUAAGCAACAAUCCAAGUAUACUCAAAUAUAGAAAAUGAAUCAAACGAGAGAAUCGUCCCCAAGCUCAACAAGUACCACCAUAACCGAAAUGCUACAAACCCAUCAUACCUAGUAGAACCAAGACACACGAAUCUAACACAAAGGAUCAUCUCCCGACAUAACCCAGCUGCAAUGUAUGACCCCACCCAAACACUGGUCCAUAUGAAAUACCCCAGCCACCACGCGGAAUUCGACAUCAAUUACCCAAAGUGCAUUACCAUAACCAUGUAAAAGCAAAUGAUACAAUGCCAUACAAAACCCGAAAGAACAUAACUAAUACGCAAUCAAUCAUGUAAUACCCAAAUACCCAUCUCGUUCAAAUUAUGCUAUAAAGCCCAAGUAGAACUGCACCAUGUGUGCAUAUAACCAACGAAUCACAACCCUCAUAGCAUAGAAUAGUAACUCACAGAUCAUAUCAAAACAUGAAUAAGCUCAACAACAACCCAGUAUAGAAUACACAUCCUAAAUGGGCCUACUAAUAGGCCCUAAAUCAACUUUUGUCGUCCAUAAAUAGAUAAAUAAACCUCUGAAGGUCCACAAUGACCUAACCAAAACACAUACUAUCAUCUAGCUAGCUACAAUCCACGAAACAUUCUACUCCUGAGAAUUCCUAGUCUUCAAAUCCAUAUAACACACGAAUCACCAUAUCUGAUCCCAACUACACUGACUGAAUGUCUAACAUAUCUCUCAUAUAUGAUCAUACCGCGAGGAAUACUUAUAUAAUCCUUUCGUGCCAUAUAGAAAAAUCUGAAUAUCAACAAUCGAUCAACAAGGCGAGUACCGCAAUACCAAUGAAGCAUACGUAAGUCAAAACAUAAUGCGCCUUCCGAAAUGCACACCCUUCUCAGGCAAAACCAAACAGUUAUAGCAUUCAUCUAAAAAUCAAAAACCGUUCAUGUUGUCUAUAAAUUUAUGACCUUCCCUUCAAAACUAAAUUGUUACCUUGCACAUGCAAACCUUAAUCCCACACAACACAUAACAUCUAUCAUGCCAUCACAUGAAAAAUACGAGAACCUCAUAAUACACUCUGACUAACAAGUCCAAUACAUACCCGAUUAGUCAGGAACCUUCCAUUUGAUCUCAUCCAGGAGAAAAUAAUUUGAAACUUGUUCCUCAUGUCAUUAGGAAAUACCCAUAUCAAAUCAUGGUAGAAAUUAUUGAGAACUCUUUAGAAUCCAUUUGCACAUAACCAAGUUAUCAGAACUGAAUCUCUCUAACUCAACCAAGCCAUGAAGGUUUCCAAACCCAAGAUUAUUGCCACAAAAUGCUUGUAGAGACUCACCUCACCAUAAGUACGCAAAGAACUGAUCAUAUCUAUUACGGUGUUGAUCCAAUCUACUACUAAGCUGUCCUGUUUCUCCGAGUUCCUUCUGAAUUGCCUUCAAAUCGACACUUCUCCUUGCUAGAACACCACGAUCCUUAACCAAGACUCACCCCACAAACUCUAGCAUAGAACUACACUGCUUUAAGGCCCAUAAAUCGUUGAAUUCUUCCUUAAGCACCCCAAAAGUACCACAAUCGAGAUACCUACUCUGAAGAGGCCAUCUGUGAAUCUAAAGUCGUUUCCUUCACCUUCCUGAUAUUGAUAUGUAUAAUCCAUAAGGAUAUAUAAAUACCACGAGUCCCGACAUCAUCCAAUGUAAAUCUCAAUUUCUAGCCAUAUGCAAAUAUUGAAAUUUCCCAAUUGCUACAAAUAAAUCGUGAAUCAAUUCGAACCAUUAUCAAGAGUCUUCCACUCUGCUCAAAUCUCAAUUAAGCCGACUAAAUGGACUGAACAACCUGUGCCCCAUUAGCAUACCAACACCCAAGGAAGUAACCGCACCUUAAUGCAACCAAAACAACUCCUACUCCAUGCACACUACAUCCUUCACGAAUAACCACUAGAUCAUUCCAUGAUUUCCAUGUACCCAUAGAGUGUAAUACAACCCGUAUCAAGAAUUUCCUUUACUCGAGUCAUCGUCGAUCUCAACCUCUGCAAGUCAUAAUUAAUUCACAAGUAUUCAUCAAAUCGAAACUAAUACAACACAUCACCGUGCGAUCAACUCGUCAAUAGAAGACUCCCCCGCUUGGCUCAAAGCCAAGGAAUAAAGCAUCUGAUAACUUACAAUAACCAUAACCCAUUACUACCAUAAUACCGCAAUGAGAUUCAACUAAAUCCUUCAUAAGCUUAUGUAACACAAACCAUCUAAUACUUCAAAUUGUUUACAAAUCUCGCAUUCACCCUUGUAACAGUCAAUCCAACUUCCACAAGCAAUCCAAACUCAAAUUGCAAUACAUAUAAUUCACUGGUAAAAAAGAACUCUCUACAAAACCACAUAGGAAUCACACAACCUCUGGACACCCCGCAGGAGAUAACCCACAUGUUUUGCCUCAAACUGACAUCUCACUAUACCCUUCUACAGCUACAAUUAUUACUCAAUCACUUAAUCUUCCAGAGUCUGAACUCACAACAACACACGAAAAUCUACUUCACUCCACAAUUAAACAACAUGAAAGAUCCCUUAACACACCCAUAAGUCGAGCCAAUACGUCAAAUCAAGACAGAAAUCAAGCACCCAAUAGUCUUUGUUACAUCUCAACCAAACUCUUCUCGUCACAUUCUAUCCAUCUGAACACUUCCUGCAAUCACAUUAUGCUCACCAUAUAGCCAUCCAACCCUUCAUCGAGCCAUAAAUUCCACUAAUAGGGACACUACCGGACUUAUAAGUGCAAAAUCAUGUGCUCUCACAACCGAAACCCUCGCGCUCAAUCUAUGGUCAAAACCCAGCCUCAAGUCUUCCAGACUAUCCCACCAUCUACACACCAAAAUCACAUCUCGCACCUCAUCCAUGAAAUCACAAGCCGAUAAUGUAGAGCUGAUACCGAGCACUCACAUACGCAUACGAAUGUGUGGAAGGAAUUCAAAGAGUUAUGCUUCGAGUUGAAUCAAUACAACACGAUAAGGAAAGUAAGAUGGCAAGUAUAUCUUAAAUGUCUUGUAGCCUCUCGAAGAUAGGUAUGGACGUCAUCAUACCGAUCCACAAGACUCUACUAGACACUUGCUUAUGACUUGUAGAACCUAUGAACCUAGAGCUCUGAUACCAAAUUGUCACUACCCAAAAUCUAACUAGUCGUGAUGGCACCUAACCCAACCCUCUAGGUAAGCCAAUUAACAACUAUCCAAUUUCAAUGAAAUUAAUAAAAAUAAUUAAAUAGAGAAGUUAACUGAAUCUUAUACAUUUCCCAAGGACUGGUAGUACAAAUCAUAAUUUUUUAAGAUUAAAAUCUAUAAAGCUGGUAUGAAAUAAAUACAUCAUAUGUUCAAAAUGUACAUAAACAUAUUUUUUAUGAAUCUAAGGCUACUAUGAACAAGAAGCAGCUACAAUCAGAACGCAAGUACGUCUUUAAUUCUAGCUCUCGUCGAUCACAGCAACAUCAUCAUUCAACAUCUGCACGCAAGGUGCAAAAGUGUAGUAUGAGUAGAACCAACCCCAUGUACUCAAUAAGUAACAAACCUAACAUUUGGUUGAAUGUAGGGACGAGCUGGAACAAAGAUCGGGCCGAAUAUCCAAUAGCCAACAACAGUUCAUAACCACGCAAAGCAGGUAAUAAAAGAAGUAACUCAGAGAUAAAAAUGCUCAGCUUUUUCAUAGUUUCCCGAAAAUAGUUCCGCUUUUCAAGUAUAUCGGUGAAAACCCCAAAUCCUUUACCGAAAUCGUCGAAAAUAUGAGUAAGUUUGAAAACUGUAAAUUUUUCCCAAAAAUCCUUUCCACAAUAAAUAAAAUAUUUCAUUUUCUUUCUAGAUAACAAUGUGAAAUACCUCUCUAUGACCAUAUAUUAAUAUGUAUGAGAAGUCAUGAAUGAUGUGAUACUGUACAACAAAUGAAAAAUACAUCUCUAUGCAUGUACAUCAUGUGUGCAUGUCAAUGCCAUGUAUCUUAGAGAUGAACUCAUGUACUCACGCUGUCAUAGUACUCAAUCUCAGUGUCUCACACUUUCCACUCAUCAUGAUCAAUCACUCAGUACUGUAUAUGGCCGAUCCAGCACAGGGAAAAUCCAUCCUGGAAUAUAUAAAUCAACUGAGCAACAAUCACUCAGUAUUGAGUAGGGCCAAAUCCAGCUGUGGGGAAAAUCCAUCCCCAGGUAUAUAAAUAUUUCGGACAAAAUCUAUGUUCAGGGAAGAUCCAUCCCUCAAUAUAAUCAACCAGACUCAUUGGGGGUAUGUGCAGACUUCGGAUGGGCUCCUUCAACCCAAGCGCUUUCAUAAAUCAGUAUAACCGCUGCGGCGUGCAGCCCGUACCCAUAUAUGUAAUCAAUAUAACAUGUUGCGGCAUACAGCCCGAUCCUAUAAUAUCACUCACACUCAGGCCCUCGGCCUCACUCAAUCACCAAUCUCUCCAGUCUUUCGGGCUCACAAUGCCAUAAAACUAGCCCAAAAUGAUGAUAUGAUAUGCCAAUAAAUGGUAACAUAGACUAAGAUAUGAUAUGCAUAUGAAUACAUAUGACUGAGUAUAUAAAGCAAUGAAAGCAGAUAACUCAACAGCAGAAAUGAUCUCAGUGGGCCCCAAUAGGAUAAACAUGUAGCUUAGACAUGGUUUCUAAUAUGGAUCAUAGCUCAAUAGCUCAAAUGCGUAGAAAUUUCAUGAUUAAAGGUAGAUCAGGUAACUACACAAUACCGCAGAAAUAACGGAGUCACAAUUCACACGGUGCACGUCCAUGCUCCCGUCACCUAGCAUGUGUGUUACCUCAAUACCAAUUACAUAGCACAUAAUUCAGGAUUUCAUACCCUCAGCACCAAGUUUAGAAGUGUUACUUAUCUUGAACAAGCCAAUUUCAAUACUAAGCAAGCCAAGCGAUUCUCCAAAAAUGUUAUCUCGUGCGUACCGUCCUCUGAACGGCUCAGAACUAUCCUAAAGCAAGUCAAAUACAUCAAAUAAUGCCAAGGGAACCAAACCCAAUCAAUAAAGGUCGAAUCUUUAAUCAAAAGCGCAAAAUCGGCCAUGUUACACCUCCUUUUUGCGCGCCCGCCCCGAAGGAUUAAAAAUGCUCGGGGGGGGGGGGGCGGGGGGGGAUUCGGAUUUUCAAUUAAGUGACAAUAUUCGAAAUGGGAUUAUUUAUUUAAUUCAGAGUCGCCACUUGGGAAAGGUUUGGCUUUUGGUGUCCCAAGUCACCGGUUUAUCUUGAAUCCCAAAUCGAGGAAAUUUUCUGCUUUUCCAAAUGAAGUCUGCGAACCAGAAAUUCUAAGUAAGGAAUUCUGUUGACCCGAGGGAAGGUGUUAGGCACCCUCGAAUCCCGUGGUUCUAGCACGGUCGUUUGAAUUGUUAUAAUGGCUAAAUAUCUGAUUAAAUACAUGUUGUGACUUAUGUGCUUUUAUUAAGUUUAAAACCGCUUUUAUUAUUAUCAUUUAUUUUUAUAGAAUUGCAACGUCGUGAAAAUGCAUCUCGAACCACGUCACAAUCAAUGCACCCGUAAUCGUCAACACAUUUUGACUCCGUUGUGAUUUGGAUUUGGGUCACAUCAAUGUGCACCCGAAUUUAAGAAUAUAAUUUAAUUAAGCCGCGCCUAAAGAGUCUAACGCGUUAUUAUUUUUGGAGAAGGCCAUGAGAUUCACUAAACGGCCUGUCCUGAAUUCUAAAUAUUUAUUAUGGUUAGUUAUUGAGGGCCCCGCAAUUUGCAUUUUUAUUUGGCGAGGCUCGUCUCAUUAUUUUUUAGAAAAAGGAUAUCCUAAAGCGGCUACAUUUCUGUUAUAUUUGUCUCUAAAAGUAAAAGGGAAAGACCAAACUUACUUGUUUAAGCAACUACAUACUAAAUAUCUACUAUGUUUAACGAAUCCGAAUUUUGUUUGAUUACCUAAUUGGUUGUUUAUGAGAUGAGAAUUACCUCAUGCCUUGUCUUCAAGGAGUGAAUGCGCUUUGUUAAUUUGCUAAGGGGGAUUGCAAGCAAACUAAUAACACAUACUAAAUUUACAUUAAACAACCCUCAAGUUUAAAUUUUAAAAUUAACUUAUUUAGGCUCGAUAAAUGAAAUCGGCUAUUUAUUAAGAAAACUACUACUAAUUGGAUUCGAAAAUGCCUAUUAGUUUUCCUCAAAAGUCAUCGCAUUAUUUCGAAACAAUGAAUCUAUAUUGAAGCCCAUAUCGAACCUAUAUAGGAACAAGUAAUCUAACAAGAGGGUUGACAUACAUUAUCACCCUGUUAACGUAACGCCGCAUGAGAACUAGUUUGGGGUACACUUAUCUUGAAAUUAAAUGGAACCGAAUAUAACAGAUUUGACAAUUCAAAAGUCUAAACAAGAUACAUAAAGAUGCUUACCACGAUUCUAUAUUAUACUGUCAUAGCUAAAUCGAAACCUAAUAGUUAUACACAUUGAAAAUACGUCUGAUCUAACAAACAAUAUUAUCUGAUAUGUCAAUCAAGAUGUGCAUAAUUCAUACAGAGCAAUCGUGGUUGGAACUAACUUAAACAAAUACAGACCAAGCUACCAUUCAACCUAUUUUUGAACACAAGGAUCGUAAAGUAAACAGAUGNNNNNNNNNNNNNNNNNNNNNNNNNNNNNNNNNNNNNNNNNNNNNNNNNNNNNNNNNNNNNNNNNNNNNNNNNNNNNNNNNNNNNNNNNNNNNNNNNNNNNNNNNNNNNNNNNNNNNNNNNNNNNNNNNNNNNNNNNNNNNNNNNNNNNNNNNNNNNNNNNNNNNNNNNNNNNNNNNNNNNNNNNNNNNNNNNNNNNNNNNNNNNNNNNNNNNNNNNNNNNNNNNNNNNNNNNNNNNNNNNNNNNNNNNNUUUUUUCAGAAUUUCCAAUUCUCAAAUAUUCAGUCCCCUCUGUCUGUAUCUAUCCCUCUCAAUGUGUAUCUCCCCCUUUUAUAAGCCUAACAUUAGGCUAUUCCCCAGCAUGUUCGAACACCUCAGAAACUAUUCCUUUUUAGCUGUUUUUCCACUCAAACUUUUAAAAUUAGGAACCCCCAUCAUAUUCCCUGACAGUCCCCUUUUAACAUUUAUUAAACUAAAACAGGCCAUGGGCAGCAAGAAUAUAAUCUGACAGCAUGUGCUGUCAAACUAUUUUAAUCAAAAAGGGCCUUUAUGCACAUGUUGUGCACAAGUACACAUGCCCUCCAAUUCUGACUGCAACUAAACAAAAUCAAUCCCUUUAUAUUUCUGAUUCAACUACAUCAAUUGUAAGUAGCUAUAGUUGAUUCUCAAUUUGAUUCAAACAAGGUUCAGCAAGACAAAUCAAGUUGUUACCAUUCAAACAGCUAAAACUAUUUGACGACAUGUAUCGAAUCGACUAUACUAAUUACAACAUAUACAAUCAAAGCCAAGGAUUAGAAUCAAACAGUAUCAACAAGGGGUUAGAUUGCACUUGUCAAUACAGAGGUUAACUUGGGGAUUGAUUACUCAAACAGUUUCAAUUCAGUCAAUUAUGCAGUUUACAUACACACACAUUAUCAGUGAAUGAGGAAACAUUUGAUCAAAUACAGAGGUCCAGGCAAGGUGUGCAAAAACAGUUGGUAAAAUUCAAAACACAAUUUGAACAAGACGUUUGGCCAUACGAAUAGACCUUUAACAAACACACGAACUGAAAUAAAGAAGAGAAAACAAACUUACCUUAAAAUCUUUGAAAGAAAAAUCAGAAAAAUCGACUUGUGUUUGAACAGACCCUUCUCAAGGUUGAACGGACUUUAAUCGAAGUGUUUCUCAAAUGAGAAACACUUCGAUUAAGGUCCAUUUGACCCUAAUCUCUGGGUUUAAACAUGCACGGAACAGGCACGAGGAACCCUAGGGUUCAAAAAAUCAGAUCUGGGAUUCGUGUUUCCCUGGUUAGAUUUGGACCAAACCAAGUAUGGUUUGGUCACGAGGGAGGUUCGGGGACUGUCUGGUGCGAAGCUGGGGUGGAUCGGUGUGGAUCGAGUUUUGCUCGAAUCUUCAAAUGAAGAUUCGAGAAGGUGGGAUAGGAUUCGAGCUGAAAGGUUGGUGGAUUCAUGUUCAGGGUGUCAAGGUGGCCCUAGGGUGUUAAGGUGAAGGCCACCGGCGUUCAUGCCGCCGGAAUUAAUGGUGAGGAAUAAGGGGCGGCUAGGGUUUCGUGGGGAAGGGGAUGAGGACGAAGGCUGGGGUCUUGGAUAGGGGGCAGGGUAUGGUAGGAAGCUUAUAUUUGGAAUGGGUGGAUUGAUUUCAGCCGUUGGAUGAGGCGAGAUGGAAGGCCAGGAUCCUUCAGUUAACGGGAAACGGUGUCGUUUUUAGACUAAAGGGGGUUGGGUCGGUCUAGGUGAAAUGGGUCGGGUUUUGUUUAUGGGUUAUGAGGAAGUGACUUUGGCCGUUGAUCAAUCUGAGAUCAACGGCCUAGAUCAGACUAGGUCACUACGACGUCAUUUGGACGUUCUGGAUGUCAGCUGGUGUGGGCCGGGUACACAUGGGGUUUUGGGUUUGAUUUUGGGCCUCGAAUUAAAAUGAAAACAAGCCCAAACCGAUUUCAACCCAAUUCUGCACUCUCUUUUAUUAUAUUUUUUAUUUUAAAAACAAAACCUAAAUAAAUCAAAAAUAGAAAUUCAUUAAUUAAACACUUAAUACAAUUAUUUGCACACAUAUAUUAAAAUAUUUAAAGCAGGUAAAAUCAAACAAAACAACAAUCACGGACAAAGAUGCUUAUUUAUGAUUUUUCUAUUUAAUAACCGGAUUACGGUUCAAACUGCAUAUGACACACAUUUUUUUGUAUUUUGUUUCAAUAAUAAUAAAAAUGGACAAAAAUCAUAGAUAAUUAACAAAAUGCCACGUGAAAGAUCCGAAAAUUGUACAGCAAGACCGAUCGCUAUUAUUUUUGUUUCUUUUGGAGCGAUUGUCGCGUAAAACAAAAAUCACGUGCUCACAGGCCAAAAAGUCAUAACCCAGGCCCGCACUUUGGAACCCAACAAAACUCACAAAAUCUGAUAACUCAUUCAAUUACGAGUCCAACCAUACAAGUUUUACUCAAAUCUGACUUCAAAUCGAUAUUCAAAACUCAAAAAUUGACAUUAUGAAACUUUAGGCAAAACCCCCCAAUUUUCUCUUUAAAUUCACAAACCAAUUACCAAAAACGAAGAUGGAUUUACGAAAUAUAACCAAAAAUUAGUGAAAAUCGCCUCAAAAUAUGCCCGAUUCUGAACUUCCCAACUCAAAAUAUGUUAUAUGAAUAAAACCUUCAUUUUAAUACUGUUCUGCCUCGUUUCGUGUGUCAAAUAAUCUCCAAACUCGCUUUUGAUGCCUCCAUUGGGUUCCUUGUGAAAUUAUAGUCAAGUUAGUCUCUUGAAUCACUCCAUUUGACCUUGUAUUGAAAGAGAUAUGUUGGUUUCAUUAUUUAAAAAUAGUGCAGAUUUUUAAAUAUGAUGUCAGUUGCAAUUUUGUAAUUAAUCUGAAAAAUCUGGCAACCCAAUUCUUGGUAAAAUGAUCAUAAACUCCUCAUACGAUGUCCAAAUUUGACGAUUCUUUUUUAUAUGGCUCCGUAAUUACGAUACGGAUCUAAUGCUUCAAUAAAAGCAGAAAUUGGAGCUUAUUUGCUUAAUGUAGCACCAUUUAUGCUUGAAUAAACGACGUCGAAACAUUAAAAACGAGUGCAACACAACCCAAAUCUAUUUGAAACUCACCCAAGCCCCUCGGGACCCUAUCCGAACAUACCAACAAGUUCCAUAAACUAAUAGGGACCUACUCGAGGCCUCAAAUCACGCAUAUAAACAUCGAAAUGACGAAUCACACUCCAAAUCAAACUUAAUGAACUUUUCCAAACCAUCAAAUUCCAAUUUUCGCCAAUUAGUGCCGAAUCCUUCUAGAAAUAUCCAAUUGCAAAUCCGAAAAUACGACCGAAUCCAAAAUCACCAUCCAGAUCUAAUAAAACCAUCAAAACUCCAAUCUGAGAUGAAAUGCUAAAAAGUCCAACUUGGUCAGCUCUCCCAACUUAAAACUUCUAUCAUGCAGUUCAUUCUUUCAAAUCGAUACUGAACAACCUGAAAACCAAAAUCGAUGAUUCACAAAAGUCAUAAUACAUUAUGCGGAGAUAUUCGUGCCCUCAAAUUACCGAGCAAAGUUCAAAUGCUCAAAACGACUGGUCGGGUUGUUAUAGUGAAAGCUGAUCCAAAGAAACAACAUAGCUAAACGGGUAGCAUCAGUGAUACAACAAUUUUCAGCUUAACCAAUUUAGAAAACCCAGAGAAUCAGCAGCAGCUAAGUAUAACUUAGAAAAAAUAGUUUUAAUCUCUUUUUGUGACUGUUUUUGUUUUUCAAAUAUGGGAAAUUAAAAUUUCUAGAAGUUGAUAGGAGUAGAGUAUUUUGCAAAUGCGUGAGAAUGAAUCAAUCAGUUAGUGUGAAUGUGUUGGGUGUCCUUUUAUAACAGAAUUCACCAUUUUUUCUGUUGUUUCCUUUUCCUUCUAUUUUCGGUUUCUUACCUCCCAUCUUCUGUUUAUUACUCUAAAGUCUCUAACAAAGAUCCCUUUCCUCUUCUCUUUUGCUAAGUAGUCUUUAAGACCCCCUUUCUAGAAACUUCAUAAAUAAUUGACUCAAAAAAUUCUCUCAAAAUUUAUCCCUGAACUAACUCUUAAUCUUUCAGUGAUUUCUAGAGUUAACUCAACUGCCAAUAUGAAUUAAAAUUAACUACAACCUAAGAACAAUAACUAAUUACUAAUGAUAAAACAACAAAAGAAUUCGAACAGGCCAACUCAUGAUAUCAACUAAAUGGCUAAAGAUGAAAUCAAACUAACUGAAGAAUGCCCUUAAUUUCUAAUGCUAUUUGAUCAAAGAUUAAACAUGUGAUUGUUCAACUACGAAUCAAAGCAAACAACACUCAUAAAAAUGAAAACAAAAUGAAUGAAACAGAGGGAAACAGUACCUAUUAGAUUAACACAAGCGGCCAACAAAAAUUUUGGUGAGCCGGGGGAAUUAUUAAACUUGCACUAACCGAAAUUAUUUUACGCCGGCCAGUUCUAUAUGUAGAAAUACCUUUCGCUAGGUCGGAGGAGAUGAUGCAAGGUGAUGAGGGGAACUGGACGAUCAACCAGGGUUUGAUAGGAUUCUAGCAGCCACAAAAUGGGAUAAGACUAACACGAAUUGACAGCACUCAUCAAGAUACAUCGAUUGGUGUGAGUUUUAACUUCAUUCGGGCAAAGAUUAAAGAGAAAGAAAGGUGAAGUUUUAGGUUUUGGUCCGAUUCUAGAUCUACUAAAUGAAAAUAUUGGAAGGGAUUUCUGGAAAACUAAUAAUGGAUUUGAAAUGAGGAAAGGCUGGUGAUUGCAGGGUAAUGAUUUGGAGUUGUUUGGAGGUGGCCCCCCGACGUGAGAUGAUUUUCGGCGGGCGGUGGAGAGAGAUGGAGGGGAAAUGGGGGUUAGAGAGAGUCCUGUGGGGUGGGGUAGGCCGGGUUGGGACAGCUUUAUGUGGAUGGGAGAUCAUUUUGGAGCCAUUGGAUCAAAUUGGCUGAAGGGUGGAGGUUGAACGUGUCACGACCCAAAACUCACUAUAGGUCGUGAUGGCAACCAACAUCGCUGUUAGGCAAGCCAAUAGUGAACUACCAACUUAAUUAUGCAUUUUAUUUUUUUUUGAAAUCGUGAAUUUUAUUAGAUAAAGAAAUCAAUGCAUUAAAAUCAUAAAAGCUUACAACUUAAAUAGAAUAGAUAAUAAAAUUGUGUAAAUGCUAAGCAAAAACACAAAUAACUUCUAGAACAUCCCAAAAUCCGGUGUCACAAGUGCAUGAGNNNNNNNNNNNNNNNNNNNNNNNNNNNNNNNNNNNNNNNNNNNNNNNNNNNNNNNNNNNNNNNNNNNNNNNNNNNNNNNNNNNNNNNNNNNNNNNNNNNNNNNNNNNNNNNNNNNNNNNNNNNNNNNNNNNNNNNNNNNNNNNNNNNNNNNNNNNNNNNNNNNNNNNNNNNNNNNNNNNNNNNNNNNNNNNNNNNNNNNNNNNNNNNNNNNNNNNNNNNNNNNNNNNNNNNNNNNNNNNNNNNNNNNNNNNNNNNNNNNNNNUUUGCAUUUGUCUGUGCAUUUCAUUUUACUUAAUUAAUGAAAAAUACAAAAUAGUGCAUUUGCAUUUAGGACUCAAUUUUAUAUAUAUUUUUUUUAGGAUAAUUAGUUAUUUAAUAUUACAAAAAAUGAAGAAAAAUCACAAAAAAAUAGUUCACUUUGCAUUUUUAAUCUUUACUUUUCGAAUUUGUCAUAGUUUUCUUUUAAAUUAAGACUUAAUUAAUUUUUGAGGAAACAAUUAGUUUAGUUUUGGAAUUAAAUCAAGUUUUUCUAUUUUAAUUUGUAUUUAAUAAAAAUCUGAAAAUCAAAAAGAAAAAAAAGAAGAAAAUGAAAAGAAACAAAAGGUCUUAAUAAAAGACCCAAUUUUUGGGCCAAAUUCACCCAGAUGCCCGUCCAAAUCACCCCUUACCCGGCCCAAAACCACCCUGACCCGGUCCAGUCUCCCCACUUAAUCAAAAGGACCCUGUUUCACUUAGGAUGGAUCUGAGUCGUCGAGGUUAAUUAAUCUAACGGCUCAGAAGCUAGCGUCGUUUGAUAUAUCAGUGUCCGAAUGGAACCCCCUCCCUCCUCUUCGUCCCUCACCAUCUUAGAGACCCCCCUUUAGCCCCGCGCUAAACCACCGCCUGCCGCCCGCCGGAAAUCGCCCACGGCGGCGUCCGGCGUCCAAACCCUACCAAAUUUACACUCCUGACUCCUCUCCACCUCCCCAUUCCAAAACCCCAAACUGUUUCUCUCAAAUCCCAGCCCUAUUUCUCGAAUCUUCAAUCGAAAAUCAAACUAAAACUUGACUUCUCCCAAAUCAUUUCGCACUAACACUCUGGAACCCUCACACCCCCCUCUUCCCCAAUCUCUAUUCUAUUCCCUUCCAAUCAUCUUAGAUUCCGUCAAAUCUUGAUUCAAAGGGAUGAACCCUAAAACCCCAAAUCGCUUUUGCGGCAUACAUCAGCCUACGCUUCCGAUUUUCACGUUUCGAAGCUCGAUUCAAUGCAAAAGUGAUGUUGUUCAGUUGUUCUUAACAAAGAACAAGUGAUUAGAAUUAAUUUCGUUAAAUUGAAGGUUCCAGUGUUGGCUUUGAGUUUAUCCAGUGUUGGCUUCGAGUUUUACUUGGUGAGUCUUUUUUCCUUUUGUGUCCGUUAUUGUUCAUUUUGAUUCUCCUUAUUCUUCUUUCUUUCUACGACUAUUUGAGUGACAUGUCCUCCAUCUGAAAUUGAUCAAAGAGUUUUGAGCUUAGUCUCUCCCUUUAAAUUAAUUUGGGGUUCAUUUUUGUUCUGUUCAAUUUUUAGUUUUCUUUUCUAAGUUCUCAACUGAUGUUCUCUGUGUUUUUAUGAUAUUUUCUGAUAAUCAGCUUAGGUUAGACUUUUGUUAAAUUGGUAAUUCAAUUCCGGUUUAGUAUUUUAGCUUAAAAAGAAAUCAGUCGCUUAGUUUAGAUUUUGAUUUUGAAGUCAUUUAAUUGUUUCCCUUUUCUACUUCUCAUCGAUUUAGUUGAAUGAAUUUUUUCUGAUUUUGUUUGGGCCUUGGGUUUAAUUCUGACAAUUUAUUUGGGGUUCAAACCAUUGGGUCAAUUUGACCCAGGUUCUGCCUAGCCUCAAGGGUAAAUAACAGGGGGGUUUAAGGGUGAUUUGGGAAUUGUAAGUGAAGAAUCUCUUUGUAACUGAAAAGGAAGCUUCUAGGAAGCUAGGGAGGGGGACUGAUUUGAAGUUCAAAAACUUAAAUAAAGGACUCUUAAGCAAAAAACAAAAUUCGAAAGGGGGCAAAAUGCAAGCUGAGGCUGCCAUACUUUCUUGCCUAUAAAGGCAUCUUUUCUUGGACUGAAAGGCGAACCCAAGAGCUAAGAGACCUGAAGGGCUAAAAAAUAGAAAAAAAAAACAAACGAAAAAAAAAGUUGGACUAUUCCAUUGAAAUUUCCUUUUCCCUUUGUGAUUUCUGGAGUUUUCAUGCCCUGAAACCUUUUUCUAAUCCAUAUGAGGGCUCAAAGGGUUUGAUUUGUUUGGUUCGAGAGGUUGGCCUGAAGUUCUGGUUGAUUUUGUUGUUAUUGUGCACUAUUUUCUGGAUUUGAGUUGGCUGUUUUGCUGGGAAUCAUUGUUCCAUUGCUUUUCCUUGCUGAUUUCUGCUGUCUUUGCUCGGCUGUAGCUAUUGUUUGUUCACUUUUGUUUCCUCUGUUAAUUUCCAAGUAUUUCCUCAUACCAUUGUUAACAAAUGGGGUGCUACAAGUUAGAACCAGACUGAAUCUCUGUACAUAGUUGAUAAUUUGGUUUGAAUUUGAACAAAAGCAUUGGUUAAUGUUGAACUUCCAUUAGCUCCUGCUGUUUUAUGUCCUUAAUUUCUCCUGUCCUAAAGUAAUUCAAUAUUUUACUUUCAAAAUAUGUUAGUCUGUUUAUUCAUGCUCAAUGGUUUAGGGUUGUUAGGUCGUUUGAAUGAGUGCUUGGAUUUUUGGGCUCUAUAAUUGUAAAUGGAAGCUCAUGGGUGAAUGGACUGUUAGGGUCAUGUUGCGCUUGAACUUUAAUUUGUUAUUUUCAGCUUUAUUGUGGGUUGAAUCUUCCUGCAAUUGAUGUUUUAAAGGGGGAUUUUGUGUCGAAUAUUGUGAGUCAAGAUGCAGUAGCUAAUUUACUCAAUUUGAGCAUGCUUACUUGGUUACGGAAAUUACCUGGGUUUGUUGUUGUUAGAAUAAACUGUAAAUACAGAUUUAGCACGUGCUUGCAUAAAGUGUGUUAGGAGUUGCAUAACUGAAUAACAGCUGAAUCCCUAUAAUUGUUCAAUUUUAUUCUCGUGUCUUUGUCAUGUAAAUCCAUAAGGUUGUCAAAUGGUUGUAGAUGUUUGAUUUCGGAAUUAGUAAAUUUCUCUAGCCAGUCCCAGUUCUUGAGUAUCAUUUUUUAGAAAUGACUUGAAAUUCAAGUUUGUUCAAGGGCUAUAGUUGCAUUCAUAUUCUAAUACAAGUGAUGGCUGCUUUUGAGUUUGGUCGUUGACGCUAAUGUGUGAGAGGUGUUAUUGCAUGUAAGGCUGUCUAGAAUCCGUGUGUGAAAUGUAAGGUUUCAAAUGCAUUUGAACGCACAUUGUAGCAGUGAUUACUCCAUUCAAAUUCAAACGUUGCAUUUUUGCUCCAAUGCCUGUGAUGGAUCGCAUUUUUGGGAUAUCAUUCUGGGCCUAACUGCGAAUUGCAGUCUUCUUCCACCAUAGAGCUUCCAGGCUGGGCUUCACUUGGAGCCCAGUAUUUGCACGCAUUAAGUCCACAACAGUGGUCAUUUGGCAAUCAAUUUAGGGCGAUUUCUUGCGAGUUUUGUUUUUAUAUUUUAUUGAAUCAUUAAUAUGAGUUUGGUCCAGAAUAAAUUAGGACUCCAUACGUUCUUUAAUUAAUUAGUCUUGAAUCCUUGUUUAAAGAUGGAAUUGAGGUGCGCCGCGCCAAGCAAAUCUCAAAUGUGUGGCCCUCAUUUAAUUGAUUGUUUUGAAAUCCCUAGAAUACGAGGCGUGCCAUUUAGCAAAUUUCCAUAGCCUUCGCAAAAGUUAAAAGCGCAUUAGUUGCUUUAGGCGCGUAUUUUGAUAAUAUUACCUUCCUAAACUCGGGUGUGCAUUUCAUGUGACCCAAAUCCAAACCUAAAAAUGUUGAAUAAAAUAUGUUUAGGAUGGCGGGUGCAUUUCAUGUGGCGCGAUCCAAAGACGUGUUUUAAACGACGUUCAACAUUCCUAAAAUUAAAUAAAAGCGGUUUGAAAAAAAAUGCACAAAGGUUUUAAAACUUGAACCAAAAUCAGAUAAUUAAGCCGAGUAUAACAGUUGAGCGACCGUGUUAGAACCACGGAACUCGGGAAUGCCUAACACCUUCUCCCGAGUUAACAGAAUUCCUUACUCGGAUUUCUGGUUCGCAGACUAUUAAACAGAGUCAAUCCUUUCCUCGAUUCGGGAUUUGAACCGGUGACUUGGGACAUCAUAACUCUCCCAAUUGGCGACUCUGAAUUUUUAAUAAAAUAAUCCCGUUUCGAUAGUCACUUAAAAUUGAAAAAAACUCCCUUAUACAUCCCUUCCGGGGGUGUAGGUAAAAAGGAGGUGUGACAUGUACGAUAAUAAUACAACAUCUGUACAAAAUGUAAAUAAGACAGGAUAGAGUAAAUAGUACGAUGGAGACUUUGUGGGAUGCGAUACGUAGCCUGAAAUGCAGCUCACCAUAAAUUCUCGUCAACAGUUGCACCGACACACCAAGAUAACCACCAAUUGAACCUGUCAGAUCCUGCACAUUUAGUGCAGAAGUGUAGCAUGAGAAUGUAAAUUAACUCCUACCAAGUAUCUAGCCUAACCCCGGAGAAGUACUGACGAGGGGUCGAUAUCGACACUAGAGGUCGAAUAAAGCAAUAUAAUAAAUCAAAAGCAGAUAUGAAGCACACAACAAUAACAUGGUAAAUCUGUAAGUUACAUAAUCUUCCAAAAACUUCUUUUAAAGAUAUGAAUUUCUUAGUCUUGAAUUAUACCUCAACAGCUCAGGUGUAUCAAGUGCCAGCAUCAAACGAAUCAGGAAUACUAGAUAAAAUGCCAGGCAUCAAUAGAAGGAUAAUUUGUGAUGACCCGAUUGGUUAUCUAGAGUUUUAGAACCUAAUUUUGUAUUUUAAAGCCUCAAAUACCUCAUUUUAGCCUUCCUCGAUUUGCUUGCAUAGUUCGGGUAUUUUUCUAGAAAGCGUUUAUGUUAAAAAUUGAUAAAAUAUGAAAUUUUGCCUUAAAAAUUCAUUUGUGUUGACUUCAGUUAAUGUUUUGAGCAAACUGAUCCGAAUCUAUAUUUUGACAGUCCCGGUGGAUUCGUAUCAUGAUUUGGGACUUGGGUGUAUGCCCAGAAUCGAAUUCGGAGGUCCCUAGCUCGAGUUAUCGUAUUUUGUUGAAAAAAUGAAGUUUGAAGGCUUAAUAGAUCUAAAAGUUUGACCAAUGUUAGAAUUUAUUGAUAUCGGGUCUGUAUUUUGGUUCUAGAACUUGGUAUAGGUCCAUUACUAUAUUUAUGACUUGUCUUUCAAAUUUGGUGAGAAACAAAGUUGGUUAUACGUGAUUCGGACAUCCGGUUGUUAAAAUAGAAGUUCAUGAGUUUUCUAGGUGUUAUGUUGGCAAUUUUAUCACGGGAGCAAGUUCGUAUGAUGUUUUUGGACUUGUGUGCAUGUUUGGAUUGGAGCUCCGAGGGAUCGUGUGAGUUACGAAUAGGCUACAGAGUGGUUUGAACUUAGAAAACACACCUGGUGUUCUUCAGUUUCUGGUGCAGGCCUAAGAUCUCGCAAUUGCGAGGUCUGGCUUCGCAUUUGCGAUAUGGCAGAAUCUCUGUCAGGUUUGCAUUUACGAGCUACUCUAUCGUAUUUGCGAAUAGUAGCUAGGGUAUCUGAGGUUCACAUUUGCAAACAAGACUUCGCUUUUGCGAAGUGGGGGGGGGAGGGGGGGACUUUAUCGCAUUUGCGAUCAUUUAGGUCACAAUUUUGGAAAAUCAUUGUUCGCAUUUGUGAACAAAUCAUCACUAAUGCGGUGAUAGAAGUGAUGCUGAAACUUUGCAAUUGCUAAGGUUUUCUAGCAUUUGUGGGGUUCGCAAUUGCAAACUACAGGUCGUAAUUGCGACAUCUGCUAUGAUCAAAUAUGAAUUAGAUGGGAUUUUCUCUCAUUCUUUAAAUUUUCAAAACAAGAAAACCCUAGAGGCGAUUUUCCCAAGAUCCCUUCUUCCCCAAUCCACUGGUAAGUGAUUCUAACAUAUUUUCUUUCAAUCUUUCAUUACAGUUCAUAAGAUUUCAACCUAAAAUCUAGUAUUUUCAUGGUGGAAAUUGGGGGUUUGGGUAGAAUUAAGAAUUUUUGUAAAAUUGGGAUUUAGACCUCGAAUUGAGGUCGGAUUUCAAACAAAUUACAUAACCGGGCUCGAAGAAUGGAUAAUCAAGUUUUGGUCAGAAUUUCGGGUUUGGACCAAAAAAACCCGAGAGUUGACUUUUGUUGACUUUUUCAAUAAUGACCUAAAUUAAAUCUUUUGCAAUCGUGGGUAGUUCCUUAGGCUUAAUUUGAAUCGUUUGGUUGGUAAUUUGCUAGAUUUUGUUGGUUUGGAGGCUUGUUUGAAAGGAAAACAUGUGGUUGAGCUUUGAGUUGAUCUUUGGAGCGAGGUAAGUGUCGUGGUUAACCUUGACUUCAGGGAUUAGGACUUGUUUGCCUAUCUGCUACAUGUUUCGAUGUUGGAUUCAAUGUAUAUGUGAGGUGACGAGUACUUGUGCAUUAUUGUUGGGUUAAAGCAUGUGGGUGGGACUUGUUCCUUGUAAUUUAUUGCUUACUUUGAUCAUGUUAUCCAUGCUUAGAUUAGUGACUUAUUAAAUUGAUCGUUCUUUCCAUGUUUAUGGGCUUUCUGUGAUAAUUGAGUAUUGUUUCUAAAGUUGAGGUUGGUAUUGUGGAACCCUUGUUGACGUAAGGCUUGUUCUUGUUUAUUUUAUCUUACUGUUGUUAUACGUUCAUUGUUUUAUGGUAAGGGAGAGUGUUAAUGCACGAAGAGUGAUGCCGUACCGUAUUGGAGUGUUGAUGCAUGAAGGGUGAUGUUGUGCCAUAUUGUGAGAGUUAAUACAUGAAAGGUGAUGUUGUCGUGCCGUAUCUAUUGAUAUAUGAUGAAAGUGAGAGUAAAAGCACGAAGGGUGAUGUCGUGCCGUAUUAUUAUUUCAUUGUGAGGUUGAGAGUAAAAGCACGAAGGGUGAUAUGGUGCAGUUUUAUUCAUUGUGUUUAUUUGUUUUAUUGGUUAAAGGCAUAUUGACUGUUUUGGUUAUCAUUUCAUGCUGUAUUUAUCGUAUCUUGUACCCCUUUCGCAUGUCCCCUCCCAAUAGUACAUGUUUAGCCUUUAUUUGUUGUUAUCUUGUACGCAUAUUGUUAUCUACACAUGUUAUUUACGUGGGUAUCUUUUCAUAGACUCGUCACUACUUCACCGAGGUUAGGCUCGACACUUACGAAGUACAUGGGGUCAGUUGUACUCAUACUACACUUUGCACUUCUUGUGCAGAUUUUUGUAGUGGUCCCAGUUGCCUGUGAGGUGCCUUAUCUCGGAUUAGCUGACUUGGAGAGUCGAGGCAGAUUUGCUGGCGUCCGCAGACAUUGAAGUCCCCUUCCAAUUCCCCUUAUUUACUACUCUUUUCAUUCGAGAUAGUUGUACUUAUUUCAGACUCUGCUUGUAGAAAUUCUAGAAACUCAUGAACUAUGACUCCAAAUCCGGGUUGUGCUAAAUAUUAAUGGUUGUUAUGUUAUUUUGCACUUAAUUUUAGUUUCAUUUUGGUUUACUUGACUUUACUUGUUGAAAUUAAUUAAAAUUGGCUUAAAGUUCCUCUAACGUUGGCUUGCCUAGCAAGUGAAAUGUUAGGUGCCAUCACGGUUCCGAAGGUGGAAAUUCCGGGUCGUGACAUAAUCUCGUGAAUAUUCAAACUGCCAGCGAUAUAACACACGAUUAUGUCGAGGUUGUUCGGCUUGAUCCAUAAUAAUAUGUACACUACCGAUGGUCGAGCGGCAUGAACCAUAGAUGUACCUAUUAUACUGCCGAGGCGCUCGACCCCCUCCGCAAGGAAGAAAAUCAUCGAAUUACGAGACACGUGCUUACAAUAAAGUACAUGAGCAUAAAGUGAAUAUAACCAUUACCGUUUAUCAAAUAACUUGCCAACAACUCAAGGUGAUAAGGCUCGUCCUAAUAUAUAUAUAUAUAGAUUCAAUUAUAAAUUCAAUUAAUUAAGCCAGCAGAAAUGAGUUCAGAUAAUUCAAGUAUUACAUGAUAAAGGCCUUAGUCUACCUGGACAUAACAUGCUUUAGCUACAUAGGGACUCUCGUCACCUUGUGCGCCUGUAGCUCUCACAACUAGUAGCAUAUAACAAUUACAUCGCCUGAGGGAAACUUAGGGGAUAGUUUCCCCCUCAUAAGGUUAGACAAGAAACUUACCUGGUUUCGAAGUUCCAUACCUGCUCCAAUGCCUCUCCAACUCUUCAAAUCAAAACCAAACGAUCCAAAACUAGUCAAAUAAUGCGCAAAUCAAUAAAUAUACUCCAAUGCGUAUAAUUUAACAAUUUAUAAUAAUUCCCAACUCCGCUCGAUAAGUCAACAAAGUCAACCCUCGGUCCCACGUGCCCGGAUUCCGCAAAUUCUUGAAGAUAAUCAUUAUCCAUAGCACCAAGAACUCGAAUAUAUAGUUUAUUCCUAAUUGAAUGUCCAGUUUCAUGGUCAAAAUCCAAAAAUACUAAAUUCUAGGUUUUCCUUCACAAUUUCCCACAAAUUUCAUGUUUAAAUCCAUGUAUAAAUCAUGUAUUUAACUCAAAACGUGUAGAAAUCUCUUACCUCAAGAUUGAUGAUGAAAAUGGUGCUAGAAAAUAGCUCCCAAAGUCGACUCCCAUGAAAAAAUGGAGUGAAAAUGAGCCAAACCCCCCUUUUCAAAAUGACACCGCCCAACACUUCCUUCUUCGCAAAAGCAAUACAAGCCUCCGCUCCCCAGCUCCUCUACGCGAACACGAAACAGGGCCCACGAACACAAAUCUUUACCAGCCUGCCCUUCGCGAACGCGGUUGCCCAAUUGCGAACGCGAAAGAAAACAUUCCACGGCCAGGCAAACUUCUCUUACACGAACGCGACAUGCCUAGCGCGGACGCGAAUUCCCAAUCACGAAAGCAUAGAACAAAAAGACCCAGACCCAAAUUCCUUCUUCGCGAAUGCGUGAGACCCUUCAUGUUCACAAAGAACAAAACCAGCACCAUCAACCCAACAACAGAACUCAACCAAAUUUGGUCUGAAGCCACCCUGAAACACACUCGAGGCCCCCGGUACCCCAUCCAAUCACACCAACCAGUCCCACAACAUGACACAAAGUUGCUCAAGGACUCCAAUCACAUCAAAUAACAUCAAAACUAAGAAUCCGUGAUCGAAACCCUUCUUUAAACUUUUAAACUUUGUCGAACGCAUCCGAAUUAAACUAAAACAUUUCGGAAUGACGCCAAAUUUUACAUAUAAGUCACAUCACGAUACGAACCUAUUCCAAGGCUCGGAACCACAAACGGACAUCGAUAACAUCAUAAUCCAAUUCAACCCAAACUUAUGAAAUUUUAAAUCUUUUAAAAUGCCAACUUUCCAUAAUAAGCGCUGAAAUGCUCCCCGACCACCCGAACACAUGCCCAAUUCCUUAAUCAUCAUACGAACCUAUUGGUACUUCAAAGUAUGAUUUCGAGUUCAUUUACUCAAAAGUCAAACCUUAGUCAACUCUUCCAACUUAAAGUUUUCGAAAUGAGAAUUUUCCAUUUGAAUCAACUUUGAACUUCCUAAAAUUCAAUUCCAACUACGCGUACAAGCCGUAAUAUAUGAAGUGAAGCUUCUUAAUGCCUCAAACUACCAAACAACAUGCUAGAGCUCAAAAUGACCGGUCAGAUUGUUACAUUCUCCCCCACUUAAACAUACAUUCGUCCUCGAAGGUGCCAAGAAUUGUUCCGGAGUUGUCCAAAAAUCACUGUUUAACACCUCGUGCACCUACCCGUGCCACUAUAACCCAUGUGAGCAUAUUAGCUCGAGCCAGACUAAAGAUCCUCCCUAUAACCUUAGCUAACCAGCCUUAGAACCAAAUUCCAACUUCCGGAAUUCUCCACGAGACCCGAUUCUAACAUAUGAACACCGCAUCAAUCCCUACACACUGUACCAAAACCUGAUCAUGCACCUAUGUUGAAAUCACACCACGCACCACAUAAGUCGUCUGCCUAUAAUAACAUCCUCCGACCACAAUAGCUGAAAUCCAUGAAUUAGAUGCCCGCAAUACACCUCAUAAGACAUAUAAGCCUUGUUCCAACUCUCGAAAUGCUUCCACGACGAAAGAGCUGAGUAGAAACUUAUUACCACCUGUCAAAUCAGUAAAUCAUGGGGUCUCUCCACCGGACAAGAACCAUUACCUCAUUCUGAACUAAACAAUGAUAUUUUCUCUUUAAUAUACCCUACAUAAAUGCGAUUACACUAACCUCGGGUCCAUUAACCUCGUCUCACCUAGUACAAGUUGCUCGGGCAAUAAGCCACCUCACACACCGCCUAAAAUCUCAUACAGCGCCAUUAAAAAUGCCAAAAAGCUACAACUCGAAUAUGACACAUAAGGAAAAACGAACUCUGGCCAAUAACCAUCCAGCUCGCGUAAUGAUUAAAAUGGCCAAAUCGAUGCUAUGGCUCUAUCUCAGAGAUGAGAAAAGAUGCAUACAAAAUAAGUGUAAGGAAUCAUACUUAACAUCUCGCUAUUAAGGCAUGCAAUUCCAAUACAAAUAUGGUAUUGUUGCAGCAUGCAACCCGAUCCAAACAUGACAUUAUUGCGGCAUGCAACCCGAUCCACACAACAUAAUUGUGGCGGCGUGCCACCCGAUCCAAACAAUAUACCUAUGGCGGUGUGCCACCUGAUCCAAACAAUAUAUCCGUGGCGGUGUGCCACCUGAUCCAAACAAUAUAUCUGUGGCGGCAUGCCACCUGAUCCACACAUAACAAUCAAGAAGGAAACACCCAUCAAUCCGUAAUGCUUAUACUUACGAAAUGCGCGAAUAUCGACCACAAGCACUUUAAGUACAUGAAUACAACCCUAAGGAGAUGAUUAGCCCCAUGCGCUACCAAAAACUCAAGCACGACCAAGGUACAAUAAAUGACAUGCAUCUCGAGAGACAUCUUGCUCAUAUAACACCAUAAGCUACACGGGAUCACAAUACAUGUGCGAAUAUCAAGCCAUAUCACAACCCACAUGACACAAUAGAGUAUUACAUGGAAUAACUAAUGACGGGAACAACUUCAGUGCUCGAAGACUCCUCCGGAAGCAAUGUUAUGCCGAAUGAACACAUCUGAUCUAACGUAGAGCACAUACUCACAUUAGUCCCCCCAACGAACCUUAAGCCGAUUCUGAUCAUACCAUGUUGGGCCAACAAAAUUUCAAAUAUCGACAGUGGCCCUAUCCAUGACGCACACGAGCAGCCGUCCAAUCUGAACCAAACUCCCACAGUCCACAACCAAAUUAAUAGAGCAUUUUUCGUGCAUAAACUCUCACAUUAGCGAUAGUACCAUAAUCUCCAUACUUGGUUUUGAUCUUUAACAAUAAAGUGACUAUCAUGUCACAUUUAUACGAUCUUCCCGUAGAUUAUACUCCCACGACCUUCUCUACCAGGUAGCAAAGUCUGCACAUCCACAUCUCCAACCAUACAAAUUCUGUAGUGCAAAUCGAGAAUCCACAAAUCAAUACACAAUGCCUCUUCCACAUAACACCAUUCUCAGGCGACACUAAGAUAAUGUCAGCUUACUUUGAACAUCUGCAUUCUCCCCUGCCCAAUUGAGCUCGUGACAUUCUAUCAACACUGAGUCGUAACCUCGAUCCUCAACUUCCAAUUCCCAUGCCGCUCACUACACCUAUCAUGCUGCUACGCAAGAGUACAAGAAUUCAUCAUAACCCCUAAACUACUAGUUGAAUAAAUAUUUCAUUGGCUAGAAACCUUUCACUUAACUCAUUUCAGAAGAACCAUUUCAACACGCGACUGAAUUCCCAUAAUCGCAGAAAAUACAAACCUCAAAUUGUGGUCUAAACUGCCAUAACUCUUCCGGGGUUCAUUUACACAUAACAAGGCCAUUAGAAUCAAAUACCUCCCAAAUUAAUCCAAUUAUGGUGGCUGUCAAGCCCGCACGUACAACCACCAACCACCAGUAUAACUUAACUCGCCGAAGGAACUGAUCAUUGGCACAAUCAUGUUGAUUCAAACCAUUACUAACUGACCCCACUUUCUUCAAUUUACUUUUGACUUGCCUUAGAAAUAAUAAUAGCUCCAUUCAAAAACAUAACGAAACUCAACAACACUCAUCCCGAGUGAUCCAAUUCACGAGACCACAUCAUCUCAAUACCCAUGAACCAUCUCACACCCUCCUCACGCACACAAUAACAUCUCCAACUGGUACACCCAUUCUGAAAGACCUUCCUCGAAUCCGAAAUUGUUUCUCCCAUUUCUCCAAUGUUGCCCUACAGACCCGGUGAUAAGAUAGAAAAUUUGCCAAGUAUUCUUCACACCCUGCUGCAAAAUCCCGAUCUUCAGCCACAUAACAAACCCAAAAUCCUUAGACAUUGCGCUUGUGUUCUUGAACCCAUUAGAACUAUUGUUGAGAGUCACCCACUCCCAAAGAAGCAACCAGAUGAAUUCUUUUUGUUUUACAUCACAUUCAUAAGAAGCAUAAACUCUAAGUCUUCCCAAAACCUUCACAUGAAUCAAUAAGGCGAAAUGUAGUGUGCCUUCCUAAAGUCCUUUGCUCGAAUUACCCCAAUGUUUUCUUUUCUUAGUCAUACAUAAUCCACCAAGGCACUGAUAACCAGAAACCACACAGGCACAAAACCACGCGAUCUAAUCAUAGAUGGUGGGAUCCUAUUACACCCCAUGUUUUUGUACAUGGAAGUACGCCACAAGUGAAUUUAUAUAAAAUUGGAAAUGAGAUGUUACGUGUUACAUCUCACAUUUCCGUACGUUAUUUCUUCUUCAGUUAAUUGACGUAGACUCGAGGAUAAGAUUAUCUUGAGGUUAAUGUAGUUACGCUAUUUUAUAAAAAGCGAUAAGUAAGUGACAUGAAGGAUAAAGGGUACACAAAUUAAAGAAAAUGAGUAAAUUCGUGAAGGUGAGAGGGGAAGCAAGUCAAGGAAAGUGAAUUUUCGUCCAAAUUUAGCAUGUUGGGAUAAAAUAUGGGCCAAGCAAUAAUACCCGAUAUUUGUGGACUAGUACCAUACAAGGUACCGUAUGACCAUGAUAGUAGGAUAUAUAAAGUGUAUUAAAACUAAGUAGAAUUUUAAGUAAUUUAAGACAAUUCUUAAUUAUGUGGAUAAUUGGUUAAUUAUUGAUUAGUGGAGAAUUACCAAGUAAAUAAAGAAAUUGGUAAUUAUCUAAGAUAUUUGGAUAAGUCUUUGGGAUGUCACGUGGAAGCAAUACAAUGUCCAAAUUGUGACUCUUGAUCAAGUUUCUUUAGGUGGCAAAUUAAUAUGCUAGUUACACACUACUACACUACUAAGAUAUUCAAUACUACAUUCAGAUGGAGGUUUGGCACCUUAGAACCAAAAUCUCUUAGAAAAAUCCUACAAAUAUUCCUUCAAACAAGAACGUUAGAAAUCCCUACAAAAUUUUCAACAAAAAAUUUCUUUCAAUCCAAAAAUGUUAGCCUUCAAGUGAUAAUUAUGAAGCACUACAAAUCAGAAAGUUAGCCAUUCCUCAAGUUUUCAACAAAAACAUAAAUUCUUGCAACCUUUUCCAAAAACAUCAUACGUAUUUUUCCUACUCUAGGUACGUUAAGGCUAUCCUUUUUUCUUUUUGGCAUGAUUUAUACGAUACAAAUAAAACGACCAAAAUACGCAAUUUUCAUAAAUGUCAUAGAAAUACUAGGAGUGUCUAUAUUCUUGAUUCCCCCUGUGAAUUAUUUUUAUAUCUUCUACUCACGGGUCUCAGAAAAAUACGUAUUUGAUAAAGUUUAUCCGAAAAGCAUAUUGAGUUUUAUGACAUUUCAAGAAAAUCUUAUUAACGUAUUUCUUAUGCAUUUCAUGCAUUUAUACAUGUACAUUGACCCAUGACUCAGACGGCAUUAUAUACGCGUAUAUAUUUAUGUAUAUGUAUAUGGGAUAUGGGAAAAGGUUAUGGCGUUAUAUACGCACCACCACCUGAUCAACUAGUAUACGUUGAUAAUUUGCCUACAGUGGCAAGAUGAUAUGAUGGGAUGCCUUCAGAGGCUUGAUGAUGUUAUGAACAUAUGUACCUAUGCACGACAUGACAUUCAUACGCAUAUGCAUGACACUAUAAGUAUUUCAUGAUUUACAGAGUUAUCCAGACUUACAAGUUGAGUCAUUUACUCUAUAUUUCUUCCAUGUCGUACUUAUUUAUGUGCUUUACAUACUCGGCACAUUAUUCGUACUAACAUCCCUUUUGCCUAGGGAUGCUAUGUUUCAUGCCCACAGGUCCCGAUAGAUAGAUCGAGAGCCCUCCAAGUAGGCUAUCAGCUCAGCAAAAGAUGUUGGUGCGCUCCAUUUGCUUUGGAGUUGCUUAUUUGGUCAGUAUAAUUAGGACAUGUAUUGAUUGGUAUGGCGGGGCUUAGUCCCGACCUUUAUGAUACUCAUGUACUCUUAGAGGCUUGUAGACAAAUUUGUAUACAAAUAUUUGUAUGGCCUUGUCAGCCUAUGUUUAGAAUUUAUAAAUGAUCAUGUUUUCCUAUUAGGCACGUAUGUCACGUGUAUAGGAUAAUGUAAUAAGAAAGAUACUUUACGUUGGUACUCAAUUGGGUAAGGUAUCGGGUGCCCGUCGCGGCCCGUCGCAAUUUAGGUCGUGACAGAUCCCCCACUUAGAUUUUAAGUUACAAGCACCAAAAUCUAGAACCCACAAAGAUUCUUCCUUCUCAAUUACCAUGAUCUCGCACCGUUAACCCGCCAAAUUUCUUGUAAUCUCUUGUUAAACUUUUCAUGAACAUUCCGAAUUAUCAGUCACAAUCGUAUAUUCGACCUUCUGCUGGGUAGUAAGCAGAACUCUUCGUAGAAACUUCAUCAAAAUCAUGCAACCACCAACCUGCUCAUAGGAGAUAACCCACCUGUGGAAUUCCAUACUGACAUCUUACAACGACACUGCACUGGGUACAACUACCACAAAAUUAGUAAACCCUCCUGAGCCUAUGCUCGUCCACCAACUGUAAAAGUCUGUACAUUCCCCAUUGACAUCAACUUAAAGUCCGACAAUACAUUUCAUACUCAAAGUCACGUUACAUCCAAAAAUGAUAAUCACGUUUUCACACCCCUCUUCAUUUCAAGCAAACUCAUCUCUACCAUAUUCAAUCUUCCUCAUUGCAGUAGGUAGCUGCUAUCUCAAACAAAAUCCGUAGACCUAGUCACUUUCCACCAUGAUUCCCAAUAGCUCUAAACUUUCUCAAGGCAUGUGGCUAUCCUACCACAGAAUCCAUAUUCUACUAUGUCACUCCCACAUUGGUUAAAUCACCUCCUUUAAGAAACUUCUCGACCUCUACUUUUCAUACUUGACCUGCUAGCGAUUCAAACACUGCGAGACGCUUCCUACCAUGUUCUACCUCAUCCUUUGCUAACCAAUAUACUACCUCAAAUAAAAAUCCAUCUCUGUAGCACCUGAACUAAUAAAUUUCUACCAACUCCAAGCCUCCUCAAAGGCCAUCUUUCUCGAGCAAUCAACAUCAGAAAUAGUGAUUCGAUCCUAAAACCGCUACUCAUUGCCGUCUCUGACAACUGCUUCCUAUGCAUCGUUUCACAAUACCCUGCCCCUAAGGCAAAUCAAAGAAGACCAUAACACCGACGAGCCUUAAUGCGUUUAAACAUGGACAACGACACCAUGUCACAAAUGAGAAUUCCACCAUGCUCGAAAAUAUCAAGUCUCGCUACUUCAUCAAACAAAGCCUGAACACCCAUAGUCCGAUUGCCUUUCCUCUGUUGGAAUUAAAUGAUGAACCUCUAAACCAUGAAUUGAGAAAUCCUCCUUUUGAGCCAUUCAUUGUUGUGAUCCAUAAAUGAGCAACCUGUCAUUCACAACAACACAACACAAUAACAACGUAUGAAUAUCAUAACAAUCUGCAUAUAACGUCAAAACCAUAGGCAGUACGGAUACAGUGCUGAAACGACAGAACUCCUUCUACAAAAUGACGAUAAUAACUCAUUCGAUACGCAGGGAGAAACAUCUUACACCACGUCUGCAGUACAACCACAACUCCUCGAUUCUCAAUUGAUAAUAAGCGCUCCAUGUCGCAUAAGAUUGAGUAGGAAGGAAAUGAAGGCAUAAGCUUCAAUGGAAUCAAUCGCAUGAUGAGGAAUCAAGAAGGGAAGUUCUCCUAACAACCCUGUAGCCUCUCGAAGAUAAGUACAAAUUUCUUUGUACCGAUCCGCAAGACUCUACUAGACUUGCUCAUGACUCGUGAGACCCAAGUGAACCUAGAGCUCUGAUACCAAGUUGUCACGACCAAAAACUCACUAUAGGCGGUGAUGGCGUCGAGCAUCGCCGUUAGGCAAGCCAAUGGUGAACUACCAACUUAAUUAUGCAUUUUAAUCUUAAAUUUUAUUAGAUAAUGAAAUCAAUGCAUUAAAAUCAUGGAAACUAACAAUUUAAAUAGAAUAGAUAAUAAAAGUGUGUAAAUGCUAAGAAAAAUCAAAAAUAGCUUCUAGAACAUCCCAAAACCCGGUGUCACAAGUGCAUGAGUAUUUACUAGGGAGUACGAUAAUAAUACAACAUCUGUCCGGAAUGUAAAUAAGACAGGAUAGAGCAAACAGUAUAAUAGAGACUUUGUGGGUUGCGAUACGUAGCCUGGAAUGUAGCUCACCAUAGUCUCCUCAGGAGCUGGGCUACGAGCCAAGAUAACCACCAAUUGGGCCUGGCUGUUCCUACACAUUUAGUGUUGAAAUGUAGCAUGAGUACGUAAAUCAACUCGUACCCAGUAAGUAUCUAGCCUAACCCCGGAGAAGUAGUGAUAAGGGGUCGAUAUCGACACUUACUAGAGGUCCAUUAAAGCAAUAUAAUAAAUCACAAGCAGUUAUGAAGCACACACCAAUAAUGGAGUAAAUCAGUAAGUUACAUAAUCUUCCAAAAAUUUCUUUUAAAGGUAUAAAUUUCUUAGUCUUGUAUUAAACCUCAACAGCUCAGGUGUAUCAAGUGCCAGUAUCAAAAGGAUAAGGAAUACCAUAUAAAAUGCCAAAAAUCAAUGGAAGGUUAAUCUUGUGAAUAUUUGGACUGCCAGCGAUAUAACGCACGAUUAUGCCGAGGUCAUUCGGCCUGAUCCAGAAUAAUGUGUACAAUGUCGAGGGUUGAGUGGCCCGAACUGCAGAAGCACCUAUUAUAUUACCGAGGCGUUCGACCCGCUCCACAAGAAAAGAAGGAAAUCAUCGAAUUACGAGACAGGUGCUUACAACAGCACAUGAGCACAAAGUGAAUAUAACCUUUACCGUUUCACAAAUAACUUGCCAACAACUCAAGGUUGAUAAAGCUUGGCCUAUAUAUAUAUAUAUAUAUAUAUAUAUUAAGCUAGCAGAAUGAGUUCAAAUAAUUUAAAUAUUGCAUGAUAAAGUCCUAAGUCUACCCGGAAAUAACAUGCUUUAGCAACGUACGGACUCUAGACACCUCGUGUGUACAUAGCUCCCACAACUAGUAGCACAUAACAGUUACCAUGCCUAGGGGGUUGUUUCCCCCUCACAAGGUUAGACAGAAGAUUUACCUCGCUCCGAAGUUCCAUACCGGCUCUAAUGCCUCUCCAACUCUUCAAUUCAAAGUCGAACGAUCCGAAACUAGUCAAACAAUGCGCAAAUCAAUCAAAAUAUACUCCAUCGAGUAUAAUUUAACAAUUUAUAAUAAUUCCCAACUCCGCUUGAUAAGCUAACAAAAUCAACCCUUGGACCCACGUGCCCGGAUUCCGAAAAUUCUUGACGAUAAUCUUUACCCAUAGCACCACAAACUUGAAUAUAUUGUUUAUUCCUAAUUCCAUGUCCAAUUUCGUGGUCAAAAUCCAAAAUUACUAAAUUCUAGGUUUUCCUCCAAAUCCCACAAUUUCCCAAAAAUCUCAUGUUUAAAUAUAUAUAUAUAUAUAUAUAUAAACCAUGUAUUUAACUCACAAUGUGUAGAAAUCUCUUACCCCAAGAUUUAUGAAGAAAAUGGUGCUCCAAAAUCGCUCCCAAAGUCCACUCCCAUGAAUAAAUGGAGUGAAAAUGAGUCAAAUUCCCAUUUUUAAAUUGACACUACCCACCACUUCCUUCUUCGCGAACGCGGCAAGGCCCUCGCAUUCGCGAAGCAAUACCAGCCUCCGCUCCCCAGUUCCUUUACAUGAAUGUAUGACAGGGUCCGUGAAUGAGAAGCAUUACUAGCCUGCCCUUUGCGAAUGCGACUACCCAAUCGCGAACACGAUGGAAAAAAUUCCAAGGUUGGGCCAACUUCUUUGACGCGAACGCAUCAUGCCUAUCGCGAACAUGGAGUAACACUGCCCAACACAUCGCGAAAGCGAGUUCCCCAUCGUGAACGCGUAGAACAAAAAGUCCCAAACCUAAAUUCCUUCUUCGUGAACCCGUGAGACCUUUACGUUCAGGAAGAACAAAACUAGCACCAGCAACAGUAACUCAGCCAAAUUUGGUCCGAAGCCACCCCAAAACACACUCGAGGCCCCCGGGACCCUAUCCAAUCAUGCCAACCAGUCCCAAAACAUGACACAAAGUUGCUUAAGGCCUCCAAUAACAUCAAACAAUAUCAAAACUAUGAAUCGACGAUCGAAACUCUUCUUUAAACUUUCAAACUUUUAAACUUCGGCAAACGCGUCUAAAUUAUACUUAAACAUUCCGGAAUGAUGCCAAAAUUUACGUACAAGUCACAAAUCACGAUAUGAACCUAUUCCAAGGAUCGAAACCCCAAACAGACAUUGAUAACAUCAUAAUCUACUUCAACCUAAACUUAUGAAAUUCUAAAACUUUCAAAAUGCCAACUUUCCAUAAUAAACGCCAAAAUGCUCCCGGACCACCCGAUACUCAACCCGAACUUAUGCCCAAGUCCGAAAUCAUCAUACGAACCUAUUGGUACCUUCAAAUCCCGAUUCUGAGGUUGUUUACUCAAAAGUCUUACCUUAAUCAAUUCUUCCAACUUAAAGCUUACGAAAUGAGAAUUUUCCAUCUGAAUCAACUCCGAACUUUUCGAAGUUCAAUUCCGACUACGCGUACAAGUCAUAAUACAUGAAGUGAAACUACUCAAAGCCUCAACUACCGAACGACGCGCUAGAGCUUAAAAUGACCAGUCGGAUCAUUACAAAACGAGCUUAAAAAUAGCGUCAUUAGGGGUCACUUGGAGACCUGAUGAAGUGGACCGGGUCUGGGCUUGUGUUGGGAUAUAAUUGGGUCGUUUAAACCAUUGAGCCCAACUCUGCAGAUCUCUUUUCCUUUGUUUAAAAAUGCAUUAUUUAGCCACCUAAAUUGAAACUCUAUUUCAAACCCAAUUCAAUAAAAAAUUAACUCAUGAAACUAUGAACUAUUAAACUAAGACUAAUUGAUUAAUCAAAAUAUCUAGUAUAUAUAUUGUGAUUUAGUAUUUAUUAAUGCAAUUAACAUGUAUUAAGAUCUAAAAAUAUAAAGAGCAAAAUAUGAAAUAUAUUUUGUCAUUUUUAUGAUUUAAAAUGCUACUUAAAGAUGCACCAAACACAAAUAACGCACAAAACAAAUAAUAAAAAAUAAGAGAAAAAUUCCUAAAAUCCUAUAAAAGGAAUAAAACUAUUUUUUACUAUUUUAGGAGUAUUUCAUACAUGGGACAAAAAGUACGUGCUUACAGCUGCCUCUCUUUACUCGUGUCACGAUCCUAACCCUGAACCCGGUCGUGAUAGUGCCUCUCGUGAAGACAAGGCCAACCAAUUAAACACAAUUCAUUUUAAAAAAAGUUAAACAAUACAAAAGUAGUCUAAACAUAAUUUAAUGAUAAUAAGUAGCGGAAAUACAACCCGACACAGCCCUAACCGGGGUGUCACAAGUCACGAGCAUCUACUAGAGUAUAAAUACAACUAAAAGUCUAAAGUGUACAAAUACAGACUAAUGAAAUGAAGAGAGAGAAAAGCAGUGUUGCGAACACCGGCAGCUACCUUGCUAAACUCCGAUGACUCUGCCUCCGAUCAACCAAAACCCACUACCGGGUGUAUAAAUACCUGAAUCUGCACACAAGGUGCAGGGAGUAAAGUGAGUACUCCAACUCAGUGAGUAAUAAUCAUAACUAAAGCCUGAAUGGUAAGAAAUCACGUAAAGCAUAUCAAGAUGCUAUAUAGAAGCAGUUCCAAAACCAGUAAGAAAGCAGUGAAGCUGUAAAAAUCUCUUAAAACAUCUUAGCUAAGUUUAAAAUUCUUUGAAAAUGACUUUUUCAACAGUUAUGCAAAUGAAUGCAAAAUAGUAAGUGCAGAUAAGCACAGAAAUCCGCCCCUCGGGCACAAAUACCAUAGUUUAAUAGGUAAAUGACAGGUAAAUAUGAAAGAUAAAUACAUAAAGGUUUGCCCCUCGGGCACAAUGUCAACAACUCCGCCCCUCGGGCCAUAUCUCAAAACAAUACCAGCCCCUCGGGCAAUCACAUAGAAUGGUACCAGCCCCUCGGGCAAUCACAUAGAACAAUAUCAGCCCCUCGAGCUAUCACAUAGAACAAUAUUAGCCCCUCAGGCUAUAUCUCACAUCACAAUGGGUACCCGCAUUCACUGGGGGUGUACAGACUCCGGGAGGGGCCCCUUACGGCCUAAGCGCAAUAUCAAGCCACCUCGUGGAAUCAUAAACAGGCUCUCAGCCUCAUAUCAAUAUCAAGCCACCUCGUGGCGCACAAUCUCAGGCCCUCGGCCUCAUUAUCAUAAUCAGUAUCUCACUGUUGCGGCGUGCAGCCUGACCCAAAAGUGUCCUCACAAUACAGGCCCUCGGCCUUACUCAGUCAAAAAUCACAUAAGCCACUCGGGCAAUAGUAAAACAUAACGCUCAGCCCAAAAUAUUAUUUAAAAUAUCAUUUCAAGUGUUAAAGCAAAGUAAACAUGGCUGAGUUUUGAAAACAGUGGAAAUAACAUGACUGAGUUCAAGUAUAAAGUCAAAACAGUGAGGAAAUAUCAACAAAAAUCCCCGAAGGGUUCAAAUAGCUGGCACUAGGCCCAAAUAUGGCUUUCAGCCCAAAUAAUAAUGAUAGCAAAUAGUUUUCAAUCAAAUAGGCAGUAAAAUUAUCAAUCGGGACGGACCAAGUCACAAUCCCCAAUAGUGCACGACCUCACGCUCGUCAUCAAGCGUGUGCCUUACCUCAAUAUAGCACAAUAAUGUGCAAUCCGGGGUUUCAAACCCUCAGAACAUCAUUUACAAUCAUUACUCACCUCGAUCCGGUCCGAACUCUAGCCCGCGAUGCCUCGCCCACGCGAAUCGACCUCCGGAUGCUCCAAAUCUAGCCACAAUCAGUACAUAAUAAUUAAAAUAUGCUAAGGGAGCGAAGCCCGCUCGAAAAUAUCCAAUUUAACAUCAAAAUCCCAAAAUUGCUCAAACCCGCCCCCCCGGGCCCACGCUUUGGAAUCCGACGAAACUCACAAAAUCCGACAACCCAUUCAACCACGAGUCCAACCAUACCAAAAUUACUAAAUUCCAAUAACAAUUCGGCCUCCAAAUCUUCAAAUUUUAUUUUCAAAUCCCUAGGUCCAAAUCCCCAAUUUACACCUCAAAAAUAUGUAAUCUAGUCGGAUUAUUCAAUAAUAAUUCAAUAUUAUGGAGUAGAAAUGAUCACAAGUGACUUACCUCAAUAUUUCCCAUGAUUUCUUGCUCAAAAAUCGCCCAAGCCAUGUUCUUUCACCAAAAAAACAUCAAAAUGAGCUAAAAAAUGUAACAGCUUUAAUAAAUCCGAUUUUGGUCGCUAAAGGCUUAAUUCCCGUCGCUAAAAGGUCCAAUCUGGUCGCAAAAAGGUGCACACCAGAUCUGAUGCACCAACAGUCUUUAGUUUCACUAAAAAGGCUCUAACUCCAACAUAUGAACUCGGAAUUCGAUGAUUCUUGCUCCUAUGAGUCACAUAUAAUGAUAUGAACAUAGUCCUUCAAUCGAAACUCAAUUCGGAGCUCGUUUGCUCAGUGCGAUAUCCAUUUCGCUCGUUAAAUAAUUAACUCAUGAUUCAAAUCAAAAACUCAAUCGUGACUUGAUGAAAUUAGACUAAACUUUCCAGAUCACUCCUAUAAUUCAUUAUCAAAAUUUCGGACGUCUCAAAAUUAAAUUUCGAUCUCUAGAACUAAAAAUGGACCUUUGGAUCAUUACAUGGUUAUGCUCAAAACACCAAAAUCUUCCAAAAACUCUUCCAAAACAUAUCCGAGCCUCAUGGGACCCCUACCAAACAUGCCAACAGACCCAUAACAUAAUUAAAACUUGUUCCAAUCUUCGAAACGCUCAAAACAACAUCAAAACAUCAAAUCACCCUCGGAUUCAAGUCUAACAAUUCCAAAACUUCCGAAUUCCGAAUUCGAUCAAAAAGUCUAUCAAACCUCGUCCGAAUGACCUGAAAUUUUGCACACACAUCACAAAUGACACAACGGACCUACUCCCAUUUCCGGAAUUCCAUUCCGACCCCGAUAUCAAAAUCUCACCUAUCAACCGGAAAACGCUGAAAUCUCAAUUUCACCAAUUCAAACCUAAACCUUCCACGGACUUCCAAAAUGCAUUACGAUCACGCUCCUAAGUCCCAAAUAACUUAAUGGAGCUGACCAGACCAUAAAAAUUCCAAUCUGAGAUCAAAUACACACAAGUCAAAUCUUGGUCAAACUUUUCUAUUUUAAGCUUUCAAUUGAGACUGUUCUUCCAAAUUCAUUCUGAUUAACCUGAAUCCCAACACCAACGAUUUACAUAAGUCAUAAUACACCACAUGGGGCAAGUCAUGCCAGAGAACUGGCAAGCGAAGUGCAAAAGCUCAAAACAACCGGUCAGGUCGUUACAUCCUCCCCCACUUAAACACACAUUCAUCCUCAAACAUGCCCAGAGUUGUUCCAGAAGCCAACCAAUUGCUGAAUAACUUUACCAUGCAUAUACUUGGGGGUGAUCCCACGUCACCAUAUCUCAUAUAGGUCCGAUAACACAAUGCAACUAAAAUUUCACAAUCUAACCUAGCCCAUAAACCUUAGAACCCUCUUUCCACUUCUGAAAUCAUCCACAAGAUCAGAAUAUCACAUCUAUAUUCAGAAUAAGCCCGAACCAGUUGUAAUAACCGAUACCUGCAACCUCAGGUGCAAUUACAUGAUAAACCACGUAACUCAAAUGCUCGUAGCAAUAACUUCUAUUCACAGCAGCUGCCCACAACAACCGAAUACCGGUAGAAAACCUCUUAUCAACUAAAGUCCCAUUUCAACACUUUCAUAUACUACCAACGAUAAAUAAAACACGCAAUAAACCAUAACCAUUUCUCAGAUCAACCAUUCAUGAAGCCACUUCUCCUUUGGCAAAUACCAUAGCAAAUUUCUGAACUGAACCUCGAUAUUAUCCUUUCAACAUGCUGAAAUCGAAUCCAUUCGUAUUCAUUAAUGAUCCCAACGAUAUCCUCUAAUCCAACACAACACUCUGGUGACAUGACACAUCAAUAUAGGCCUAAGCCACAACUUCCAUAAUACGCGCACCAAUAAGCAACGGUCCGAACAUACUCAAAUCAUGGAAAUGACUCAAAUGAAAGAGUUGUACCUCAAGCUCACCAGUACCACUACAACACAAAGCUGAGAACCCGUCUCACAUCAUAGGAAUAGAACACACGAAUCUAACCUGCAAGGUCAUACCUCCACAUAUAUUCGCUGCAAUGUGCGACCUUAUCCAAACACUGCUCCACAUAGAACACCUCAAGUCACUCUGCUCGAAAUUGACGACCACGCGCAAUUGAUGUCUAGAAUCAAAGUAAAUCAUCAUAACCACGAUAAAGCAAGUACAUAACACCGCAUAACUCGAAAGGGCUAACAGAUGCGCCAUCCGCCAAGCAAUGUCCAAUACUCCUCUCGCUCGAAUCCUGCUGAGAGACCCCAAUAACACCGCACCACAUGUGCCGAUAACCAAUAAAUCCUAAUGCCUCACAACACGUAAAGGUAACUCACAGGCCUCCCUGGAUUACUAAAAAUCUCAAUAACCGAUGAAUCAACACCUCUCUCAAUAAUACAAUUUGGAGCCAACCAAGCUGACUCAAGUUAGAACACGCAUCCACAUUGGCCUGCCAACGAACUCCUUAUCAAUGUGAAGCUGCUCCUUCCACCCCUUUAACUCUGUCGGUGCCAUACGAUACGGUACCCGAUAUCAAAUCAAUACCAAAAUCAACAACCCUGCCCAGCGAUAUGCCCGGCCACAAGAAACACAUCCGAAAAGUCUCUCACCACCGGAACUGAAUCAAUUGUAGAAGCCUCUACACUGACAUCCAUCACAAAAGCCCAAAUAAGAAAGACAAUCCUUCCCAGCCGUCCGCUGGGCCUUCGAAAUAUAAAACCACUCUACUAGGGCAUAAUCCUACGGACCUCGCCACUCAAUCCGUGGCAUUUCCGGCAUAGCCAACAGUGCUGCCUUAGCGCAAUAUCCCAGAAUGACACAACACGGAGACAACCAGUCUAAACCCAAUAUCCCAUCCAAAAUCUAACAUGCCAAGCACAAAUCGUGUCUCCAAACCCCGAUAGUCACUAAACAGUGCCGAUACACACGACUCACAACCGCAACAUAGCUUGAAUGUAAGAACUUCCCUGUCACCAAAUCCAUAUGGCACAUGAAUCAACAUACCUAAUCCCAAUUCCAUCGUCCGAAUGUAUACCGCACCUCAAAUACCCAAUCAUUCCACGAAAGAUACUCUAAAAUUCCCCUGUGUCACCAAGCAAACUCGAAUAUCAGCAGUCAAUCUAACAAGAAAGCGCCGCAAUUCUACCGAAGUACCAUCAACUUAAUCACAUUGCCUUUUCUGAAACAUAUACCCUCGUCAAAUCACUCCCAUUUAGCAAUACCAUUUCCUUAAUCAUCUGGAGAUCAUCCCCCUAAUCAUCUAAAACUCAUUUCUCUAAUCAUCUGAAACUGCCCAUGCUGCCUAAGAAUUUUAUGACUUUCUAUUCGAAACUGAACCGUAACCUUACACACGCAAAUUUCAAUCCUCCACAACAUACCGCAUAUACCAUACCAUCCUAGGAUAACAUGAGAACUUCAUCUCCCUUCUGAUCCACAAACAUCUACCUACUCCACUAGUCAAGAACUUUACAUUGAUCCCAUCUAGAAGGAAAUCACUAUGCAUCUGAUGCUCCUCAUGCCCAUAGAAAAUANNNNNNNNNNNNNNNNNNNNNNNNNCACCCAAGGAACUAAUCAUAUCCUUACCAUACCGAUCCGGCCUACUACCCAACUAUCCCAUCAAUCCGAGUUUCCUUCUGAUUUACCUUCAACUUGAUAUCACCUCUUGUUGUAGCACCACAAUUCCUCAACCCAGACUUACCACACAAGACCCAAGCAUAAAACCACACUUUUUAAGGCUCAUAAGCCGCUGAAUACUCUCUUAAAUGUUUCCAAAAGCACCACAUUCAAAAUACCUACCCCGAAGGGACUUCCUGCAAAUCUGGAACCAUUACCUUCCUAAUACUGAUAUAUAGAAUCUCAUAGUUAAUGUAGAAAGUACCACAAGUCUUGGCAUCUUCCAAAUGAAAACUCAAUUCCUAACCACAUAUACAACUUUAAAAUACCCAAUUGUUACAUGUAGAAUCUUGAACACGUUAGAACCAUUCUCGAGAGUCAUUCACUCUAUUCAAACUGCAAUUAGUCUGAUCAAAUGACCCGAACAACUCAUGCCUCAUUGGCACUCCGACACCGCAGAAUGUAGCCUCAUCCCAAUACAACCAAGCAACUUCCUGCUCUAUGCACCGAGCAUUCUUUCCAAUAACAACUCAAGACAUCCCGUGAUUCUCACACACCUAUGAAGCAUAAUAUAAUCUUCGUCAAAAUUUUCCUUUACCUGAGCCAUCCUCGGUCUCAACCUCCGUAUGCCAUAACUGAUUCACCCGAACGUCUUAAACCAAAACCAACAUAGCACAUAACCGUGCAAUCGCUUAAUCAAUAACAGACUCCCCCACUUGGCUCGGAGCUGUAGACCAAAACACACACACAAUAACUCAUAACGCAUAUACUCUAUUGCUGCCACAAUACCAUAGUGAGAUUAAACUCAAACCUUCAUAAGCUCGUGAAACACAGACCAUCUGGUACCUUGAAUAUUCUGCAAUUCUCGCAAUCAUCCUUGCAACAGUCAAGCCCACUCUCUUAAGCGACUCAAAAUUCAAAAUUCAAAUUUCAACACUUAUAUUUCACUUGUAAAUGAGACCUUCUAAAAGACACAUAAGGAUCACACAACCUCGGAACACUUCGUAGGAGAUAACCCACCUGCCUUGUCUUCAACUAACAUUUCUGUAUACCUUUCACCGUCACAAACAUUACGCAAUCACUUAGCCUUCCUGAGUCUGAACUCAUACCGCAACAUGAAAUUUACUUCACUCCCAACUAGGACACAUGAAAAGACUCUUCGCACAUCCAUAACUUGGGGCUAUACCUCAAAUCAAGAUGAAAAUCAAGCACCGAAUAGUCCUUUUAUCCUCCAGCAGUCCAUCCUCGUCACUUCCAAUUCAUAAGAAUACAUCUCGCAAUCAUAACAUACUCAUCACAUAGCCAUACAGCCGUCACUUCCACUAAUAGGGACACUACCGAACACUUAAGCUCUCAUUUACGGACUAAGUGUCCCAAAACUCUCCGAAACUUAAAACCGAACAUCCCGGCAAAUCAAAAUAGCAGAAAUAAACUUGGGAAAAGAAGUUAAUAAGGAAUCGGGGCGUUAAUUCUUAAGACGACCGGCCGGAUCAUCCCAGUCAUUAGAAUAUAUUUUCUCAUGACUGUGUUAGGAUAACCAAAAUGAAGUAAUGUCUUUUUUCUUUUCUUUUUUGUAGUUCUUUUUCCUUUACUCGAGGGCGGUGGUGGCCAAAAGAAAAGGAUAAUAGAACUGUGUGUAGACUCGCAGGAUUUUCUAAUAAGAGAGUGAUCAACAAAUGAUCUCCUGCUGUGGAAAAGAAAACAAAAAGUUCUUCAAACCAUUCAAGUUGUCCAAUUUCAAUGCUUAAGCAAACUAUGUAUGUUAUUCAGGAAAUUAGAUUACCAAUUUGAUUCUAGUUUUAGACCUUAGAAACAUUUGGAUUCUACUUAGAUCGAUUUGAUCCUUAAUAAAAAAAUAUUUGAAAAUUUUUCGGGGAGACCCACAACUGCUAUCCUUCGAGUGUGCACUGGACUGUUCUGGGCAAGUCCGGUGCGACUAGCUCUGAUAUUGAGAGACUGUUGGCGAGGGUAAUUGAACUCAGGUCUCUCGUGUGGAAAACCACUCACCCAAUACUUACGAGCUAUCCUUAGUAAAGUUUAUAAAUUAUAGUUUGAGACCCUUCCUCGAACAACGUGAGCUUAGUACACGAAAUUGUUCUUUUUCAUAAAUAUAUACAAUUCGGUCUAGUGUUCGUGAUUGUUGAAUGUGCACCUAUGAGAUGACAUUGACACCAAAUAGAAGAUGUUUAAAAUUAAUUGAUAAACAAUUUAAAAUGCAAAGAUGUUAAACUAGAAUUGAAUUUCCUCUAAAUUCUAUAGAUGCUUUGCGAUAUAAGAAGUGUAGCCUAAAGGGAAAGUUGGAAACACCUGCAACCCGAUUCUUCCUUGUUAGGUCCAAAAUGACUAGCCAAAUAUAGAAGAAUUAUAUUUUCCUUCUAGAAAAAGAAAAAUAUAAUUAUGAUAAAUAUAUUGUCCUUUCCUUUAUAAGAUAGGAAAUCAAUUAUCGUAAGAAAAUUUGGACAAAUACCUAACAAUUCUUUCCCUUGGCUUGAAUUUUCUGAAAAACUAAAUUUGAUCCACCUUCUUCACAUAGCCUUCAAUAGGUUGCAUCUCCAAAUCUCCACCACAAAGUUUGUCUCAGCAUGCAUUGCACUCUGGUCAAAUUUCUCAGACAAAAAUCACGAUUAUCAUCAAAUAUGUUGCUGCUAGAGUUAAACUCGCCAAGAUAAACUUGUCUUGAAUCUCGCUCUGAUACCACUUGUUAGGAUCGAAAAUAUCGGGUGUCAUGUGGAAUCUAGCAAAGCAAACCUUCAACGAUGAUAAUAAGACAACAAAAGAGAAAUCUACCAAAAGAGAUACAAACAUUUAACGUGGUUCGGUCAACUGACCUACGUCCACGGUGGAGAUGAGCAAUCCACUAUAAUAAAAGAGAGUACAAAAUAUCGAGAGAACAACCUCACGAAGAGGCAAACACAAGUGAUACACUAAAAUUGUUGUGUCGAGAAAGAGGCAAACCUGAAAAUAAAGAAGAUAAAGAACACCAAAUUUUAACGUGAAAACCUUUCAAAUAGAAGGUAAAAACCACGAGAUCACAAAGAUCCAAAAAACUCCACUAUAAAAAUAAGAUAGUUACAAAAGUUUUUCAUAUUAGCUACACAACAAGUGCCAAAUACGGAGCAACAAUAGCAAUAAUAAAUCAAUUGAAGAAAGAGGAGAAGUCACAAAACUGGAGCUACUGUUCAGGGCUCGAAAUCAGAUUCUACAUGCCUCUAAAUUUGAUUUUCACCGUUCAAAUCCAAGGCCAAGAUGUUACAAAUACUCACUAAAAAAUUCAGCCCGAUCCAACGGUUAACGAAUUGGAAAACAUGAUUUGAAGUUGAAUGGUCAGAAUUAAAAUCUACAGCAAAAACAAAUACUUUUCUUCUCUCUUCUCUCUUGAUGAAAGCUCUCUAAAAAAUCACUCUUAUAUGCUUAAGUCUUUCAAAGACUUGUGUCAAUGAGCAUAGAAUAAUUCUCCAAGGUUGUCAUAUUUAUAGAUCAUGAGUUGUGCCAGAUGAGGAUCUAGAAUUUGAUAGUUGUGGGUGCCACUGUAUUUAAUGUAAACUUACCAGUAGUCAAAAAGGUUGAAUUUGAGUAUACAUGCAUUUGGACGGUUCGCUAUAUUUUAAAUUAAUUCGGUUCGGUUCGGUCCAUUUUAAGUUAAUUUGGUUUGCUUUACAAAAUCUUUUGGUGCAUAAAUAAUACAUGAUAACAAAACUAAAUAUAUUUGGUCCUUUCAAGAAAAAAGUAAUUUUAACUAGAUAAAAAAGAAAAAUAAUUAAAAAAAUAUAUUCAAAUAAAAAAAUUUGAGACCUAGAACAAGAAAACAUAGGCAAAUAUACUUUUAUAAUUUAAAGAAUUAAUAAAAACGAGAUUGUAUAUGGAGAGAAAAUAUAAAAUGAAGAUAAAAAAAGUUAAGAAAAAGAGGAGAAAAGAAAACAAUAUGGAAAGAAGGAACAUAAAAAAGUAACAUUGGCUUAAUAUGAGUGAGAGGAGGAUCGAUCUUGGGUAUUGGGCUUGGGAAGGGCUACUUUGCCUAUGACACCUACAACCAUUUUGUGACUUAGGGUGCCACUAAUUAUUUAUAUACCUUUUCUACAUGAAAUACUAGUGAAACACUAAUUCGUACAUGAAAUUCUGCCCAAGCGAGCGGGUGGCGUACCACCCCGUCACCUCUACAUAGAUCCGCCCUUGAGUGGUGCUUUCUCUUAAAGCCAAAACCAACUCUAAAUAGGAAUAAACACCGAAUCCAAUUCCGGAUAGGAAUAUAAACCAAAAGAGAAUAGGAUUAGUCCAUUGGGUCUUUGGCUAGAUAACAAGGGCAUGUACCCUCCUCUAGCCAAGAGGCCAAAUGUGUCUUCAAGUAGAGGAACUAUUGACAGGCUUCAUGCCUGCCAAUUUUCUGCAAAACGCAUGCUUAUCUGCAAGCUUAACGACGAAGUCCUCAGGCUACUCCAUAUAAAUCUCCUCGUCUAAAUCACCAUGAAGAAAAGCAGUCUUGACAUCCAUCUGCUCAACCUCUAAAUCUAGACUUGAGGCUAAGCCUAGAACCACGCGAAUAGAAGACAUCUUCACAACUGGGGAUAAAAUUUCAUCAAAGUCAACUCCCUUAUUCUGGAAAAAACCUUUAACAACUAACCUCGCCUUCUAUCUAGAUGCAGAGGUAUGGUUAUCUUGCUUUAUUUUGAAUAUCCAUUUGUUAGAUAAAGCUCUUUUACCUUUCGGCAAUUUCACUAACUCUUAUGUGUCAUUCUCAUGAGUGACUUCAUCUCAUCUUCCAUGGCUUCAACCCACUGAUCUUUGUGAGUAUCUUGCAUGGCUUCAUCAUAAUUCUCAGGUUCUCCCAUGUAAGUCAAAAGUACAUACUCAUCAGGAGGAUAGCGCAUGGAUUUUUGCUUAUCCCUUUGUAGAUAUUCUAAGAGAGGUUUCAGGAGCAUUUGAAGUAGUUACCUGAGCAGGAAUUGGUUGCUGAUCAACCACAACUUCAUCAACUGAAGCAUCUAUAACAUCUAUACUAUGAUGAUCAUUAUCUCUAUCAUAGUCUUGGGUUCCUUCAUGUGCAAUAAGUGCCUUAACAAUAGAAAUUGAAUCAAUAUCAACUAAGCUCUCAUUACUCUGAGAAUCUAUCUUUUCUGCUUUGUCAAUAUCUUCAAUAGCGGUCUUCAAAGAAUAUUGCAUCACGACUUCUAAUAAGUUUAUUAUCAAUUGGAUCGUAAAAACGAUACCCAAACUCAUCUUGACCAUAACCGAUAAAGAUGUAUUGCUUAGUUUUGCAAUCCAGUUUCGAUCUCUCAUCUUUAAGAACAUGCACACAAGCUUUACACCCAAAAACUCUUAGGUGAUCAUAAGAAACAUCUUUGACAAACCAAACUCUAUCUGGGGCAUCACCAUCCGAAGCAACAGCAGGAAACAAAUUGAUAACAUAGGCAACAGUGUUAAGUACUUCUACCCAAAAUGUAUUUAGAAGUUUAGCCUCUGAAAGCAAGCAUCUAACUCUCUCAACUAAAGUUCUAUUCAUCCUCUCUACCAAACCAUUCAAUUGAGGUGUCUUGGGCAGAGUUUUCUGAUGACGAAUUUCUUGUUCUUUGCAAUAGUUAUCAAAGGGACCACAAUAUUCAACACCAUUUUCACUCGAAUACAUUUUAAUUUCUUCCCCGUUUGUCUCUCAACUAAGGCCUGAAAUUCCUUAAACACAUCAAGUGCUUGAUCUUUAGAUUUCAAAGGAUACACCUAGAGCUUAUGAUAAUGAUCAUCAAUGAAGGUGCAAAGUAAAGUGCACCACCUUUUGACUUUACUUUAAAAGGACCAUACAAAUCAAUUAUACUAGCUCUAAUAAAUCGGGCUUUCUUGAGGGAGGAUGACUAUGAAAGGAAACCAUUUUCUUUUUGCUAUAAAAAAUGGAUACACCUUUUCAGCUUUGCUUGUUUCACUCUAGAAAGCAAACUUUUCUUAGCCAAACACGUAAUCCCCCUCUCACUCAUAUGACUCAAUCUUCUGUGCCAUAAUUAUGAUAAAGUAUUACUUUCUACCAGAUUUAUGGAGUCAUUAAGAAUAGUACUUUGUGUCACAUAUAAAUAAUCAGACUUGACUCCUCGAGCCACUACUAACGAGCCCUUGGUGAGCUUCCAUUGGCUAUUAAAGAGGGCAUUAUGGUAACCUUCAUCGUCUAAUCUUCCUGCGGAGAUCAAAUUGAAAGGAACGUCUGGAGAUGCUUGACAUCUUGAAGAACUAACGUUGAAACAUUAUUAGUUUUCAAACAAACUGUGCCAACACCAAUUACCUUAACUUCACAAGCAUUGCCCAUCUUUAAAUACUCCAAAAUCAACAUGAGUAUAAGAUGAGAAAAAGUCUUUUCUUGGUGUGACAUGUGAGGUAGCUCCAGAAUCUACUAUCCAGCUCGUCUCAUGGGAUACUAAAUUGAUGACGUUUUCAUCAUAAGCAAAAAGAAGGUCAUCUCGAACAAUAGCAACGACAUUAUUUUCGUAAUUUUCAACUUUCUUUCCUUCUCUAAUGUUUUGCAACUACUUGUGGCAAAACCUUUUGAUGUGUCCUUUUUUAUCACAGUGGCUGCAUGUAAUAUUAUGGUAUUUGAACCUUGACUUACUUCUACUUUUACCUCUAUUCCUCGAGCCUUUUGUUCUAUCUCUUCCCCGGUCUUCUAUAACCAAGAUAUUUGUUUGUGAGGACGAAUCUUGAGAUUUUCUCCUUACUUCCUUGUUCAACACACCACUCUUGGCAUAUUCUGUAGUUACCUUACCUUUAGGUGCUGAAUUUGUCAAAGAAACACGAAGAGUUCCCCAAGAGUCUGGUAAAGUAUAAGAAGCCAAAGUCCUUGUAUCUCAUCAUCAAAAUUAACUCUCAUUCCAGACAGCUAAUCAAGGAUGCCCUGAAAAUCAUUUAUGUGAUCAAGGAUAAGGCUGCCUUCCUUGUAGUUAAAGGUCAUCAAUUGUUUUAGCAGGAAUAACUUGUUGUUCCCAGUUUUUGAAGCAUAAAGAGUAUCUAGCUUUUCCCACAAUGAUCUUGCAAGUGUCUCAUUCACAAUAUGGUUGCGAACAUUAUCUUCAACCCAUUAUCGUAUAUAUCCACAUACUUGUUGGUGGUAUAUAUCCACAUACUUGUUGGUGCUCAAAAUCCCAAUCUUCAUCAAAUAUACUCUCGAGUUUAUGAGCUGCAAAAACUGGUAGAUGCAUCUUCUUCACGAAUAACAAAUCUUUCAUCUUGCUCUCUGAACAUUAUAACUUCUCCCAUUUAAACAUACCAUCUUGCUUAUAUUCGCCUCCAUUCCGUAACAACUCGGAUAAAUAACCAAGGCUCUGACACCACUGUUAUGACCGAAAUGACUAGCCAAAUAUGGAAGAAUUAUAUUUUCCUUAUACGAAAAGAAAAAUCCAAUUAUGAUAAAUAUGUUGUCCUUUCCUUCAUGAGAUAGGAAACUAAUUAUGGUAGGAAAAUCUGGACAAACACGUAACAUUCCUUUUCUUUUUCCUUGUUAGGUUAGCUAUUAGGUAAUAAAACGAACAAAAUGUUUAACUGCAGCAACAAAUCUAGUAUUUACACUUCCUUUAGUAUUUGUUUAACAAAAUCAUAAAUUUUAUUUGUAAUUACUGUACAUGACCAACCUGGGAUAACUUAACUUUUUAUUGUUUUAAUAUAAAUAUUAAAAUUUAUUAGCAUUAUACCAAGUACAUUAUGGAAAAUCGAAAUAGUGAAAUUGUUAGGUCAUUUCAAUUAGCUCAUAAACCACGCAUUUCUCGAUUGGUUGAGAAACCACAUAUUUGUGUAGAAUAUCGUCUCAAGUUCAUCUCGACGAAAGUCUCAACUUCUUUUUCUGAAAAUUAAUUAGAUAUUCAAUCAUUUGCAAAGAUUAAUAAAUUACUUUUUUUUAUCGUAACUUCCAUCAUAUAUUGGAUUAGAGAAGAACUUGACUGAUUGAUCAUCAGAUUUUCAAGUACUUAAUGCAGUUCAGCUUCUUUGGAAUAUAAUGUUGAGAAAAAUUUCUUCAAAAAAAAAAAAGGAUCUUCGCAUUUUCGGUUGAGUAAAUUUAGUAGUAAUUAAUACUACUAGUAGUUAAUGUUAAGAAAAGUUGGCAUCUAUGAUUACACCGAGCAAAUGGAAAAGAAGAACACUAGUUGCUAAUUUGUAAAAAUAUUGGCAUUAAAUAGAACAAAAAUCUGUACAAGUUGGGUGAGAACCGCAGUGGGUGUGCUGAAUCAUAUCCUCUCCUGCAUCACUAACUCUCUCUAUUUGGAUAUACAAAAUAAAAACGUUGGCACAUAUACAUAAUAAAUACUAAUAUGCUAGCUAUUACAUCAAAUGGCCUUCUUUAAUCUUUAUUAGUAAUUCCUUGACCAACAAGGCUGCAGAUCUCCUUUGGAUAAAUCUGCGAAAAGCAGAACAGUCACAAGAUAAAGUUAGUUACUCCUAUAGUUAUUAACCACGAAUAAAAGAACAAAAAGCUAAUUUUUUUUCUUUAAAAUAUAUAAAGCAGAAGGAUGUGGCAAUCUUAGUACUCCCUCCACAAUAAGUGAUCAAUUUACUUUGGGCACAUCCAUUAAGGAAAUACUAAAUUCUAGACAAAAAUAGUUAGUGUGACUAAACUACCCUUAAUUAAAUGUUGCAGCAUAAUAUAAUGUGAGGAGUAAAAGACUUUUUAGGGAUACGUACAUCAGAGUAAUUUUGAAAAAACAAAUUGAAUUUUUUCUUGAUUACAUAAAUGGAUACUUAUUUUAGACCAAAAUAAAAAAAAACAAAUUGAUCACUUAUUGUGGACAGAAGAGAGUAAUUAAGAAUCUGAUAGCAGCACAUGAUUUUUGAUUAAAAAAUGUGGGAGCACGAGCACCAAGAGAAAAUAUAAGUAAAUAAAUAAUAAAAAAGCCUCCGGCAAUAUUUACCUGAAACCUAGCUCUAGGAGAACUGGACAGGUCCAAAGGAACUAGAAUUGAUGUCUUGUGCCUAUGGACUCUUUUCUUUUUUACUUUUCACUUCACUCUUUCUUCUUGCGCUAAUUUUGGUUUUCUUGAAAAUGAUCCUGUCUUGCAUGCCGAAACCUGCAUCCAUAUCAUAACAUGUUGGUCAGUUAAUUCACCAAAUGAAUUUAAAAAAAAUGUUAAAUAAAAAAGAGGGGGAAAUGGAAAAUCAUGAUUUUUAUUUUGAAGAAAUUUGUCUUGUGCGUGUUUUAGCCGUGUGGGAUUCCAAGCAUAUGGCCAACUUACUCCUAAUUCCUGCACGUUUUCUGCUAUUACAGUUGUCUAACCAAACGGCAGACCAAACUCGAUAUAGUUAGUCCUAACCAUAUGACUCAAUUAAAUUUCAUAUUUGACUAUUUCUAUUCCAUUCUAAUGCGUCUCAGAUUUCUUGAUUUGUCCUCUACUUUUUGUUCCUUCUCUAUCAUUAGGACUAAGGUACUAUGUGACCAAGUCAAACGGCAGAAGGAAGCAGCAAUGGGCUAGAGAGCAAAUACCAAGGAAUCCUAUUUCAUAAGAGACUAGUAAAAUAAAGGGGAAGUAUCACUUUAGCCAACUAUAUAUAUUUGAUAGCCGCAAAAGUAUAUAUAUAUAUAUAUAUAUAUAUAUUUAUUUAUUUAUUUAUUUUUAUUUUCGGAUACUAUUUUGAAAGCGGUUAUACAAUGUUAUUUUUCCUAAAAAAAAUGGAGUUGUUCAUUUGUUCUAUUUUAUAUUAUGGUAUUUGACUAUUGAAAAUCUCCAGCAUAUAAUAGAAAUAUUUUAAACAUUUUUAUGUCUAAAAAACAUAUUUAUUAUGUAUGAUAAAAAAAUUUAAAAUGCAAAGAUUUUUUUUUGUUUAUAAAAUGUAAAUGAAAAAGCAAUUACUCGGGGUUUUCAAGUUGGUCUCGAGAAAUUCUAGAAGGAAAGCAAAAGUCAUUUCUGGGAACGUGAGGUCAACUAAUGAACACUGAAACAACUAACAGGGGUUAGUCGUCCUUAUACAGCCGGUGGACCCAGAAAACAACUUGCAAAUUACAUGUCCAAUUUGUCCCAAAAACGUUCAAAAUUAAUUACGUAGCUGUACUAUUUCGAGAAAUUAAAAAGAUGAGGGAAUUUCGGUGUGUUUGGUAGGAACGAAAAAUAUUUUUAAUGUUUUAAUAAUUGGUUAGCUUGAAUAUUUACAAAAUAUUUUUUUCAUGAAGUAAUUUUCGAGAGAAAAUUACUUUUCUUACCAAAAGGAAGGGAAACUUUUUCAACCUUCCCACCCUAUUUCCCACUCCAACCACUCUAUUCCCACUCCCCAACCACCAACCUCCAACCCCCCCAACCCACCCCUACCCUCGCUCCUGCCACCCCGACACCUAGACCUCGACCUAUGACCUACGACCCUUCCCCCCUACUCAUUUUGUUUCCGAUAAUGUUUAUCUAAAUUAUAUAUUUUUAAAAAAUAUUUUAUGCUAUCUAGUCAAACACUAGAAAAUCACUUAUUUUUUAAGAAAGUAUUUUUUAGGAAAACGUUUUACUUGGUACCACCAAACACACCCUUAAAGUUGGCGAUAUUUUGAGUUGACAUGUGCAAUCUGGUCAUCAAAUUUAGCACAGGUGGUGAGAAAGAUAUGGAGACUUACAGCUUCAAUAUCAAUUUUGUAAAGGAGAAGUUUUCUUCUUUCUCUGCAGCUAAUUCUGUAAGCCACCACCACAUGUGCGACGGCCAACGCAAAUGAACACACGAAAAGUGCCAUUUCCAUUACCCCAACAUACCCUUCUCUAUCCAUUCUUGAACUGUUCCCAAAUACAUAUGAAGCUUUCAACGACACAAACACCAACGAUGAAAUCGAACACAUGGUUGCAAUUCCCAAAUAUGGCCCUCUUGACAGUCUUGGACCAUCACAUAAGCUAUAAACACCUAUAUAUAUUCACAUCAACAAAAUUAGUAUACAUGAGUGAGUAUUUUUUAGUAGUAUCCCAUCACUUGAUAUUUAACAAUCACAACUAAACUAGUAUAUAACUUUAUUUAACCGACUACCCUUGGUCGGCUGAAGCUCCGCCAGUGAGAACUACUAUGCCUCAAUCCAAGCACAUUAAGAUAUGAAUUCUCACUCAUGUUCUCAAUUUAAAAAAAAAUACUUGAAAGGAAAAUACGAGGAUUUGUGUUAAAAAAAAAACUUACAUAGAAUGAGGGCAGACCUAAUGAUGGAGAUGAGGGGAAUAUCGAUGAGAGAAUAGCGGAAAUCAUAGUUAAUUAGAUGAGAAGAAAGGGUUUGAAUUGAGAGGGAAGAAGGGGAGAGAGAAGCAGACAAAAGGGCUGAAGGGAGAAGGGUAUCAGCGAUUACAAGAAGAAUUGGUGCUGAGAAAAGGAGAAGAGAAAUCAACAUAGAGAUUAAGAAAAACAGAGUUUUGAUCCAUCUCACUACUCUUGUUCUUCUAUCUUCUUUAAACCCCAUCUCUGCUUUUCUUUUCCAAUGGGGAGAAUUCGGACUUGAUCUUAAAUUCUUAUAUGGAUUUAUGUUGAGAAAAAUUGGUGGGAAAGGGGCUUUAAAAGAAGGGACAAUUACCAGAAAGAUGGCUAAGGUAAGGUUCGAUGAUUUGACUAAUUGUGGGGUUUGGGAAGGAAAAUGACUUACAACUUUACAUAGAGGUCAAAUAUAGGAAGCUGCACUCCAUCUUAUGUUUUUCGUCAGCAAUUUUUUUUUUUCUUUUUUUUUGAGUUUCUUAUGUGGACUAACGGCAAUUACCGAAUAGACUUUCUUAAUGACAAUGAAUUGUAUCAUUAAUUUAGUAUUAAUGUCAUAUACUACUCCCUUGUCCAUGUUAUCGGUAAGUAGAAAUAAGAAUAUAUAUUUAGAUUAUUCUUUAUUUUUUUCUUAAUAUCUUAAUUAAUUAAUUAAUUAAUACCUCAUUAAUUGAAGCACUAAAAAUAAAAAUGAACAAAAAUAAUAAAUUAUUUUUUAUUUUCUAAAACGUUAAAUAUUUUAUAGCAAAUAAAAAAAUUAUGUUUCGGAUUGGGUAUAGUACUAAGAAAGAAGUUUCAUUGGGUGGCUGUUAUUACACGAAAUGGUGUUAGGUGGUUAUACUGUUUGAAAGUUUAGUGGACAGGUGAAAUUGAGAUGGGAAUUUCUGCAACUAGGUUUAAUUUGUCACAUAAAAAUACUGAAAAAAGGGGUAUCGCAAAGUCUUCCAUUAAAAAGAAGUUCACACAAUUUUUUUUAGAGAUUCCUUGCAAAGAGCAUAUCUUUUGCAGAAUAACUUUGUUAAGGUUUUCUUUUUUAGCUGUUUUUGCUCAAGAAGAAUCGAUACUAUAUUUAAGAGAUUUGCAAGGAAACAGCUAUUCUCAUGAUCUUAGUAAUUAUUUACAAGGAGAUAAUUGAAGGCAAGAAAUUAAUAUAUAUCUGCUGAUAAAUCUUCUACAGCGUGCUUCAAUGUUUCAUUUCCAUAACUUUCUAUGUAUGAUUGAAAAUUUUGAUACAAUGCCAACUAGUGAAUAGGAACUAAUUGGGGGUGAAAAUCAAGCUUAAUGCUUUGCGGUCAAAUAAUAGUCAUGUUUAACAUUAUUGCUUCAACCGAAAAAUAGUACUAAGUCACAUCUUUAGUGAGAUUUUCCAUGAUAUUCUUCUGUCAUUUUUAAGAAAAUAGUCACGUAUACCAUAAUUGAGCACACCUUUUUUCCCAUUAAUUCUAUUAUUAUAGAAUAAACAAACCAAAAAAAUGGAACGAGAGUUGGGAAAAAAUGGAAAUAUGUGAAAACAAGAAAGAAAAUAUUCCAAAGCAUUAAUUAGUGUUAUACGUGACGAUCUCUCCAAAUAGCAUCAUGAAGAAGCGACAGGUAGUUUGAUUUAGAAAGAAGUACUGAACAAAUUUCUGACAAUGGUGAAUUUUAUGUUUAGAUAAUUAAGUAGGCAUUUGGACAUAAAAAAUUAUAUUUUUUGAAAAAAAACAAAGAAAGUAUUUGAGUUAAAGUUAAAAAAUAAUAUUUGAAAUUUGAAAUUAUGUUUGACAUGCAUUUCACUUUAAAAAAUAUUGAAGUUUUGUGUAUGUUUUUUGAAAAACUCAUUUUUAAUUUUUUUUCAAAAACAUGCAAAAUUGUAUAGACAAACGUACUCUUGAAAAGAAAAAAGAAAAAAAAUUAAGAACAACUGGGGCCUAAAUCUCCUUGUCAAACCAACCAAAUGACCCCUACUAAAGUUGGCAAGCACAAGCAUAAGGUCUGAAGUUCAAACUAUACUAGUUUAUCGGGCGGGCUGGGAUUGGUUGAACAGAAAAAACUAGCCCGUCCGUUAUCGGAUCGGGUUGGUUAACGGGCUGGGAUAACGGGCUGGGGGCAGGUUGAACUUUUUCGGGUUAUUUAGGGCCCAUUCGAGUUAGGACGGGCGGGGGGCUAUUGUAAUAUUUUUUUAAAUUAAAUUUUAUUUUUCUUAUUUAAUGUUAUCGAUACUUAAGUGUUUGCAAACUUUUAAGGCUUAGAAUUAAACUUUGAAGUUUAAAGUUUAAAGUUUUAAAUUUGAAUUUUGUAUUUUAAAAUUAUAAAAUUGAAAUUAGAAAGUAACUAGCUACAAAAAAUUAUUUAAUAAGACCAAUAGACAAUAUGUAAGGAACAAACUGCGAAGGCUUUCAUUUUAUAUUUUUAUUACUUCAAAUUAAUUUGCAAGUUCUUUUUUUAUUUUUUUAUUUUUGAACUUGUAAAAUAAAAGUUUACAACAAUUAUAAAAAAUAAGAAAUAGUACAUCACAUAUUUUGCAUUAGUUUUGUAAGUUCUUCCAUGUCAACAUGAGGUUCUUGAUUUCCGGCAUUGGUUGAAUCGGAACCAUAAACCAUUAUAUCUCCAAUUUCUUGGUCCUCCUCUUCAUCUACCUCGGCACGCCCUUGAUUUCGCUGUUCUGAUCUUAUCCAAUCUCUGGAGCACACUAAAAUUUCCAAAGCGUUGCUGCCCAAUGAAUGAUGGGUAUCUCCUAAUUGCUGCUUUGCUUGGCUAAAUGCGCUCUCUGAUGCGACUGUUGAAAUCGGCACAUUUAACACAUCUCGAUCCAUGGCCGAUAGAACAGAAAAUUGAUUUGAGUUGCUCUUCCACCAACUCAGUAGUAGAAAAUGCUUUGUGAGGGGCUCUGGUGACUUUUGCAAGUAGAAUUGGAGUUCAUCAAUAUUCAUGCUAUUGGUUUGUUGAUGUUCUCCUAGUAUAGACCAUAUCAAAUAAUCUUGAACACAAUCAUCAUCAUCCAUAGUUGUUCCAGAUGUUGAAGGAUUACUUGAAGGANNNNNNNNNNNNNNNNNNNNNNNNNCCAAUAUCCAUAUAAGUAUAUAAGACUCUAAUUAAUUAGGCGACACUUUAUCAUUUUGAUAGUAGGGUUUAAAAUAGCACCAAUUAGGGAAAUAUGGAGAAUUUGGUAGAAAUAUUUUUUAAACUUAUCUAGCAUAUAUUCUUCUUUCUUCUUCAAAUUAUGUAGUAAAAGAGAAAUUUCAGCAAUAUGAACUAAACCAUUUGUAAUAGUAGGAUAAUAAGCUCCAGAAAACUCAAGUGUAGCAACAUAAAAUUUUUGUAAAAAUUAUACAACAUCAUGAAUGACAUCUCAAGUUCUAGAUGUUAACAAACGGCUAGGAUCGUUACAAUGAGAAUUAGCAACUUCAGUUAUAGGCAUUCUAUAUUUAUAACAUCUUAAGAAUAAAUAAGUAUAAUUCCACCUAGUAACUAUUUCUUCAGGCAUGAGUCUUGGUUUUAGUCCAUAGUGUACACAUUUUUUCUUAAAUGCAUUUAAUCUAACACUUCUAUUAUUUCCUUGAAUUACAUUAACAAGUCUCCUAACUAAAGUAAUUUCAUCUCUAAAUAAUUCAAGGCCACUAUUCACAAUCAAGUUAUAAAUAUGACAUGCACAUCUAACAUGAAAUAUUUCAGGAAGUGGUGGAUAUAAAUGUAAUUUUAAUAUUGUAAUAGCAGCAUUGUUGUUAGAAACAUUAUCAAAUGACAUACACAAAACUUUUUCUGCAAGAUCAUAAAAUAUAGCAACUUCAUGGAUAGUAUUACUUAUAAAUGCACCAGUAUGACUUUGAUCUUCAUCAUAUUUAAAAGCAAUAAUACGUUUUUGCAUACAAGAAUUAUCAUCUAUCCAAUGGCAUGUAACAGUCAAAUAAUCAUUUUCAUUUAGAGCACGACCAAUAUCAUAAGUAAGAGAAACUCUACAAGGAAGACUUGCGAACAAAUAACGUAUAUAUGUCUGAUAUUGUUCAAAAAGCCUAAAGAUAUCAGCUCUACAAGUACUUCUAGGAAUACUUUUAAACACAGGGUUAUAAAUUCUUUGAAUAUAAGUAACAAGAUAUGGUGAAGAAGCAAAACUAAAAGGUAAACAACCUAACAAUCAUUUUAGCUAAUUCUUCCCGAUCUUUCUUAAUAUCGUAUUUACCAAAUAACCCCCAGUACUUGGGUUAAGUUUUUGUUGCCCAGAUUCCUCAUCUACUCCCUAAUCAAGAUGGUGUUUCUCUUCCAUAUGCCUACGAAGUUGACCCAUUCCCCCUCCCUUACCGGGCUCAUGUUUAUAAUGUUCAUUACAAAUUUUACAUUUUACAUAAUUUUUUUGAUCUUCUAGUCUUUCAAAAAACAUCCAACACUUACUUCUUAAUCGUCGAUUCUUCUUAAUAGGGAGAGGAGGCCUAUUUGUUUCACCCCUAAUAUUUUGAGUUUGACUAGCAUUACCAGGUGUAGUGGUGGUGUUUCAAGAUUAUCAGGUGAUUGAAUAUUAUCUAAAAUAUCAUUUAAAUCAUCAUCCAUACCAUACUUUUCUUGCAUUCGCUCAUAAUCUACAUUGAAAUUUUCAGGUGAACUUUCAAAAAUAUGUGUAAAGCUACUAGAAGAACCAACACCACCUCUUGAUCUUUUGGAAGUUUUCUUACUACCACCUCUACUAGUGCACGCUUUUUUGGCUGCUCUAAGUAAAUCCAUUAUAUAAAUUAAAUUAAAAAAUUAAAUUAAUAAUUCUAAAUAAUAAAAUAACUGUACACCAAAUAAGAGAAAGAGAUGGAAUGAGUGUACCGGGAUUCCGGAUGCCACACUAAUUUUGAUAUCAAAAAUCAAACUUCAAUUGAUAGACCGAAACUUGAUAGUUGAUACUUGAUAGUACUUGAUGCCACACUUCACUUGAAUACUUGAUAUUUGAUAAUAAUAAUUUUGUAAUGACUAAACUAAAUAAUUGAUGAAACUUGAAAUAAUAAAUAAUUGAGAAUUUGAGAUUUGAGAAUUUAAGAACAAUAAUAUCAAGAGAGAAUUGAGAGAGAAUUAGAGUAGUAAGAGAGUGAAUUGUGAGAAAAAANNNNNNNNNNNNNNNNNNNNNNNNNAAGAAGAAGGGGGCUAUUUAUAGGUUUUAAAAGGUUAAAAAUAUAAUUUUUUAACUAUUAGGGGUGUGAGGGCUAUAUUUUUAAUGGGGGAGCAAGAAAUGGCCAUUUCUGCAAAAUCUGGUUGUUCCCUAAUGGUCAUUUUUCAAUUCGACCGUUGGCAACGGUCCAAAUAAUUAAAAAAAAAAUUCUCAAUGGUAAUUGGGCUGAUAACGGGCUACAGCCCAUUAAUGUGUCACAGGCUUAGCGGGUACGGUGUACCGUUAUCCAAAACAUGUUCGUCCAAAACCUGUCCCCUGACCAACCCGUCCUAGCCCGCACAAUAAGCAACAGUAACGGGCUGACCCGGGCUGACCCGAGUUGAAGCGGGUUGAAAACGGGGCAGUCUGGCACGAUUAAUACCUAUAGUUCAAACUCAAUGGUACUAUGGGGUCAUCUAUUUUGACAACUCUGUGUAAGUCAGAGGCAGAUCCACAGUUUUAAGCUUAUAGGUUCGUAUAACAAUUUCAAGUUAAUCAACAUGAUAACUGGACCAACGAACUGAGUUUUAAGCUAAAUGCUCUUAAUACUUUUUAUGAAUUUUUUAGUACAAAUAUAGGGUCUAUGCAAAAGUUACUGGGUUCACGGGAACCCGUAACCAUUGAUCUAGAUCCGCCCUGGUGUAAGUUACAUAAUUAUUUGUCCAAAAAUAAAAGAAACCAGAUAGAUUUGGGGGCUGGAAAAAGUCGUAGUCAUAACUGAAAAGUUUGGUCAGAAAUUUUAGAAGAGUAGCAAUAGUGGAAGUCUAGAAGCAUUGAAACGUUAAACACGAGUAAGAAUAUUAAUGUUCUUACAAAUUGUCUAAUUGACGUUCGACUUCCUAUUGCGAAACUGCCAUAAUAAUAAGUGUCUUUAGAAUUGAAAACAAUUUUGUCUUGUCGUUGCAGUUGACUAAUCUGGGGAAUGCACCUCAGAUAGUUCUAUGAAUCUUAUUGGCAUGGCUAGUUUGACCAGCCCAAAAAAAUUGGGUUCAAUGAUGAUUAGCGAGUCUGAUUACAAAAUUGAGCUUACCUAUAUAUAAGAUUGUGAUGAGUACCCCUUCAUUCUUAAUCAGAGGUCUCGGUUCAAGCCUUAGGAAUGAAAUCGGCUUUAUUAGAGAGUAUUUUACUGCAUAAUGUGGGACUUUCUGGUGUGUAUUCAAAUUUAGUCGAUUUUUAAUGCAAAUACACACUGUGUGUAAAAAGAAAAAAAGAUUAUAAAAGUAAGCUUAGUCAUUAGAAAAUUUUAAUUUUUUUUAAUUCUUAGUAAAUUUUACUCAAUUAUGAAAGAAGCGGGUAUGGUGGAACCGACUGCUAAAUGAUCCCAUGUGAGCACAUGCAAACUUUUGUAUUUCCGAAUCUUUCGUUUGGUUCGUCUUCAUUAAAAAGUUUUUGAUCUUAUUGUUUAAUCUAUCUGCAUUUGGAUUUUGCAAUGUUUAUUAGGUUUUGAGCCGUCGCUGCCAGACUAUUGUAGGUUAGUUGUUUUCUUUUCUAAACAUUUUGAAUGUUGCGGUGUUUGGUUUAUUUUUGCUUAUAUAAAAUAUUUUCGUUAAUUAUAAUUAAUCUUUGUUAUUAAAUGUGAAAAUUACUUUUUUAUUAGGCAACUAAAUUGUAAUGAAAGUGAUCUACUGUAACACCCGCAAACAUUUUGAACUCGUUUAAGCUUAAUACAUGCCCAAAACCUAAUUAUGUGCUGAAAGAUUGAUAAUAUGUGGGGAUGCUAGGCGAGGAUGUUAAAAUUGUGUUUGAGACAAUGCCGCGACUGUUGAAUAUAGUUUGGAGUUGAGUUGGAAGCGCGGUUUGUUUGUUAGCUUUCGCAUGACGUCAGGUUAUUUUAAUCCCAACAAAAAAGGGGACAAUCAGUAUAAUUAAAUCGUGUGAAUAAUGCGAGAAAUUAUGUUAGAUAAGUGAGAUCUGGAAAGGAUAUACGAUGAGCUCGUGUUGCGCGAGUAUCCCGUUAGAUUUUGGGCAGCCAACUCCUAUAAAUAGAAUUAACUCGGGGGGAGAGAAACAAGAAGGAGAUUUUGGAGUUAGGCCACGACUUUUAGGGAUCAACUAUCAUGUAAUUACAAUUAUGAUAUUUUGGACAAGUUAUAGUCAAUUAAUGCUAACCUAACACCCAAAUUCGUGAAAAAUCUCUUGAAUUCUCAAAAUAUCUUUCAAAGUUGAAAAAUUAAAGAAGUGUUUAGAUAAUUAUACUUGGGCUUCAUAUAUUUAUGAAUAUAUCUAGGUUGCUAUGGAGUUGUGUCUAGUAAAGUCCCUCUUAUCGGUGUGUCAUAGAUGUCACUUACAAUUGGGAGGCAGUAGGCAUUUAGGAAAAUCUUAUGUUUACUUAUUCUAAUUUACAUUAUGCGAUCAGACUCAACUCGAGGGAUUAUUUCUAAUACAUGUGAUGUUCCGAAUUCUUAUAAAAUCACUAUUCGCAUACUAAAAUAAUGGUUCGAAUGAGUUGUGGAGGUACUUGUAGCACCAAGAGGCCAAGGCCAUGGGCUGGGCCAGUGAGUCGAGCUUGGGCAAUAACUUGGGCCGACGUCCACAACAUGCAGCAAUCAAAAAUCAGAGUCGAGGAUGACCAACUCGGAGCCCCUUCCAGGUCUGUUUAUCCCAUUAGAACUGAUGACAGGCCUAAGAGAAUCGUCGAUCAUGAAUCAAGGCCGGUCCGAGAUCGGUAUCAACCAUAUAGUGCAGACCGAAGGGAAAACGGGUCCGGGCGCAACUCUACAAGAAACGAAAAUAGAAAUGAUCGAGGGCCCAAUAACCGAGGCCUAAUGAGCAAAAGUGGUUUCGACAGGCCGCUUAGGGGAAGGGAAGCUCUAAAAUUGUUAGAGUAUAACUUCAAAGUUGACGCAACAAGCAUUGUAUCAGCCACUGGACGCAUCAAGGAGACCAAGUGGCCUUGACCAUUGCAAUCCGAACCUACCCACAGAGAUUCUAACAUGAUGUGUAAGUAUCAUGGCACUCAUGGCCAAAGGACCGAGGACUGCAGACAACUGAGGGAAGAAGUUGCACGGUUGUUCAAUAACGAGCAUCUCUGGGAAUCCCUGAGUGAUCGAGCCAAAAAUCACUUUAAGAACAGGGAUUCCAACAAACAGGCCGACCAAGAAGAACCUUAACACGUCAUCAACAUGAUCAUUGGAGGGGUUGAUAUCCCUCAAGGUCCCAUGAUAAAAGCGCACAAAAGUAUCCAUCAAGAGGGAGAAGCGCACCCGAGAUUAUAUCACCGAGGGAGCCAUUUCGUUCAGCGAUGAGGAUGCCAAGGGCAUCGUGCAGCCUCAUAAUGAUGUACUGGAAAUAUCCGUACUUAUAAACAAAUCCUGAGUUAAACGUGUGUUGAUUGAUCCAGGCAGUUCGACCAACAUCAUCAGAUCGAGAGUCGUAGAACAGUUGGGGCUACAAGAUCAAAUAGUGUCGGCGGUCCGGGUGUUGAACGGAUUUAACAUGGCAUACAAAACUUCCAAAGGAGAAAUAAAUUUUCUAGUAAAUAUCACCGGGACGAUUCAAGAUACCAAAUUCUACGUGAUCGAAGGGGACAUGAGGUAUAACGCCUUAUUCGGAAGGCCUUGGGUUCAAAACAUGAGGGUAGUACCCUCAAAAUUACACCAGGCACUGAAGUUCCCCAUACCGGGAUAAAUCAAGACGGUUUAUAAAGAGCAGCUGGCCUUAAAAGAAAUAUGCGCAGUAGACGAGGUGAUCUCGUUGCCCGUGGUCUCGAUAUCAAAGAACAUGGAUCUAACUAGGAAGAAAGAAACUAAAUAGCAAUUGUACACGGCAAAAUCAGGGGGGGGCGAUUUCUUUCUAUUAGUUAACUUCAGAAGAACACCUCGAGGCCUCGAGGACACGAAGCUGUAACCAAAUUCUCUCCCUCAAAGCUCGUUGAGGCCUGACCUAAAGAGAACAUUGAUUGAGGCUAGAGUAAAAUAGGGGAUUCCCAAGGCACGCAGCUAAGUCUGACAAAGUCGGCCUGUAUCAAGGUGUUGCUUCUAGCCGUCCCAUCUCCUUACCUUUACAAUUAAUGCAUUUUGUACAAUGUUGGAUUUUUCCUCCUAUAUAAAGGGGAUCCUGACCACUUUGUAAAGGGUGGCUAUUGCUCCAACUAUUCUACACGAAAUAUACAAGAACUCUUUCUUUUCUCUCUAGCAUAUUCUCCAAACAUUAUUGCUAUUGCUUACUUGUUCUUCAUUUAUUGCUUGUUAUCGGCCAUAAAGAGCCUCUUUUAAUUAUAUCCUAACUAUUAUCCCCUUCCCGAUUAUCCCCGAUAACUCGAGCCCGAACCCAGGCAUCGACUUCGAGGCCCCUCAUCGGUUAGUCCGAGGCCCGGACAGCUAACCCCUUGGUUUGAUUAUAACUUUAUUUUAGCUCGCAUUUCAUCUUUUAUUUUCACAUAACUUGCAUCAAAUGCUUUAACAACUAGUAUAAAAUUAGAUCACAUAUUUUUAGAGUCCCAUCAACAAAUUUAAUUGUUAUUACCAUUUUCAUGGUAAACAGUUUGGCGCCCACCAUGGGGCUAAAAAUAAUAGUGAUAAUUUUCUUGCUGGUUUCGUUACACAACGCAAGUUAUCUUUCACACUUUUUCUUGUCCAAGAUCAUCGAUUUCAGGUCAAAAAUGUCUUGCUCAGUGAACAGAGUUGAGAACGACAACCUUGAAGACCACGGAGAAAACGGUGUGGCUGUUCCAAUUAUUAUCGCGCCGCCACAGAACCUUGAUAACACACCUGGACCGAUUACAGCGGACGCGGGUUCGCAAGACGCACAACAGGUCGACGAAACCUCACACACCGACAGGAGCAUACAACAUGACAACCAACAAGAAGCCCAAAAAACCCCAGCUCGGGAAGAAUGUGAAGUUAGUCUUCAUGUUAUUUUUGAAAUGUUGCAGGCACAACGACUGGCUAUCGCUCAGCUGCAAAGCCACUCGAAGACUCCCAUCACAAUAGCACCGGAAAUUACUCCCCCGGUCGAACAUGUACCGGAGAGAUCAAGCAAUAACGUCUUCGAUCCUACCAUCAUAAAAAUGCUCGAGGACCUCACCAAAAAGAUCGAGUCGGGUGAGAAAAUGAUAGCAGCCAAUGACAAGAUGGUCGAAACCUAUAACUUCAGGGUCGAUCAAAUCCCGGGCACACCCCCGGUCCUAAAAGGUAUAGAUUCGAAAAAGUUCAUGCAACAGCCGUUCCAAAAGGAAGCGGCUCCGAAACCCAUUCCAAAGAAGUUCGGAAUGCCAGAACUCCUAAAAUACAACGAGACCUUAUAUCCCAACGAAGCAUCACUAACUAUACAUGCGCAGUAAAGGGCAACGACAUAAAGGAUGAUAAGAUUGAGUUCAUCUUACUGAAGAAGUUCGGAGAAACGCUAUCGAAGGAGGCCAUGAUGUGGUAUCACAACCUAGCUACCAACUCCAUAGACUUAUUCGACAUGCUAGCGGUCUCCUUCAUAAAGUCACACGCCGGUGCCAUCAAAGUAGCAACAAGGAAGUCCGACGUAUUUGAGAUUAAGCAGAGGUAGAAUGAAAUGCUGCGAGAAUUCGUAUCUCGCUUCCAAAUGGAACGUAUGGAACCACCCCCGGUAUCUGACGAUUGGGCGGUGCAGACCUUCACUCAAGGCCUGAAUGAAUGAAGCUAAGUGGCCUCAAGACAGCUGAAAGAGAAUCUGAUCAAGUAUCUCGCCGUAACCUGGUCAAACGUCCACAACCGGUACCAGUCAAAGAUCAGGGUCGAGGAUGAUCAGCUGGGAGCACCCUCGGGCUGAGUAUAUCCGAGCAGACUCCUGGCAAAAGAGUCGAAACCGAACAAAGAGAGUUAUCAGCCGUACCCCAAAGAUAGGAGGAAUGCCCCGAGACGCAAUCCGCCUCACAAUGAUCGAUUGGUGAACUAAGGACAGAACCCUCGAGGACUCGUCAACAGAGGCGGAUUCGACGGGGACACGGGGCCAAUGGGGGUACCUCACCUAUCAGAAUACAACUUCAAUGUCGAUGUAUCAGACGUCGUUCUCACCAUCAGCAAAACCAGGCACACCAAAUGGCCUAGGCCUAUUUAGUCGGAUCCUUCCCAGAGGAAUCACAACUUAAUAUGUGAACUUCAUAAUACGCACAACCAUAGGAUCGAGGAUUGACACCAGCUCCAAAAGGAAAUAGCCAGGCUACUCAAUAAAAGUCAUCGCCGAGAAUUUUUGAGCAAUCAGGAUAAAAUUUAGUUCCGAGAAAGAAAGGCGGCCAAGAAUCACGAAGCAAAUGAGCCACGACAUGUUAUCCGUAUGAUACUGGAGGGGCAGAGACACUCCCCAGGAACCUGUGAUGGGGAGGACAAAAGUAUCCAUCGCCAGAGAAAAAUGAACCCGGGGAAAAUGCCCUCACAUUCAGCGAGAAAGGCUCCGAAACCUCGCCCCAACCUUAUAGCAACGCACUGGUAACCUCUUUCUUCAUUCAUUCAUUUCGAAUAAAACAUGCACUUGUGAAUUCAGGUAGCUCGACCAACAUUAUCAGGUCGAGAGUAGUAGAGUAGCUCGGACUGCUAGACCAAAUCGUUCCCGCCUCUCGAAUCCUUAACGGAUUCAACAUGGCGACCAAAAUAACAAAAGGAGAGACCACUCUCCCAGUCACCAUGGCCGGUGCAGCCCAAAAUGCCAAAUUCCAUGUCACCGAAAGAGGUAUGAGGUAUAACGCCUUAUUCAAACGGGCAUAUACACUGCAUGAGAGCGGUACCAUCCACUCUUCACCAAAUGAUGAAAUUCCGAGCAAAGGACGGAAUUAAAACCGUUUAUGGGGAACAACACGCGGCAAGGGAAGUGUUCGCGGGACGUAACGUAGCGCCGACACCAAUAUCUCCACUCUUGAAAGAUCCAAAGGACAAUUGAACUACAUCUUCGGCUAAGCUCGAUUAAACACAGUGAAGGACCGUAUCGAAUCCUCACUCCAAACAAUAGGGACACAUCAGACCUCGGAACAUCCCUGGCGCAUCCCACGAUAAGGUAAGACCACCUCCCCUUUUCAUUAUUUUACACUGACCCAUAUGCAGGCGCCCGAUCAGGGCAGUCGAAAGUACUAACCCAACCCGAAGAUCUCAAGGCCUUAACGGUAUUUGUUGCACUCUUUUCCUUUGACCGAGCUUUUGUCCCGAAGAAAACUUCACCAGCAAGGUUUUUAACGAGGCAACGUCCACGUGAUACCUAAGGAGGAUCCGACAAGCGUACAAGGCUUCUUUUGCAAUCAACCCCGAGCACUGGAGGGAACGCCCUUGGGAGGUUAUCCACUUGGAAGAACCAGGGAACGAAAAACAAGGUUCCAAAUGUAUUGGGCCAAACGGUCAAAUGAACCGUGUCUGCAUGAGCCGGGCUCACGACAACAAAACAACUUGUACUUAUGCCAAACAAUCAAAGAAUGUCUUUCGCCAAAGCAUCUCUUACUCCAAAGAAAAUUCAGCAUUUUCACAGCGAGGAUCCCUCUACCGAGAAAGGCUAGUCCACGUAGAGACCUCCUAGGUUCAAUGAUCAAUACUAUGUGUGGUGAAAAACUAGGAUUCAUGACUUCAUCAUGGCUGAAGACUCUGAGUUAUGGGAUAAAAUAUGUGAUGGACCCUUUGUCCCUACAAAGAACUUUAGGGAUCCAGCGAGGGAACAACUCAAGUGAAGCAAUCUAAGAUUGAUAUGCUUACAACAGAAUAUGAGCACUUCAGAAUGAAAGGUGAUGAAUCCAUCUAAGAUAUGUACACUCGAUUCACCUUCAUCAUUAAUGAGCUUCACUCACUUGGUGAAAGUAUUCCAAGAAACAAGCUUGUCAGAAAAAUCCUUAGGGUACUACCUAGUUCUUGGGAAAGCAAAGUUAAUGCCAUUACAAAGGUUAAGGACUUGUAGACACUAACCAUGGAUGAACUUGUUGCAAAUUUUGAAACCUAUGAAAUGAAGAAGAAGAAGAAGAAGAAGAAGGACAAUGAAAGAAGAGCCCAAGAGGGAGAAAAACCUGGUCCUCAAGACGGAAAACAAUGACUCAAGUGGUGAAGAUGGGGACAUGGCUUACUUGACAAAAAUGUUCCAGAAGAUGGUUCGCAGGAAUGGAGGCAUUCCAAAAAGGGGAAGCUCUAGCAAGCCCAAAAAUUAUGACCUUUGUCAUAAAUGUGGCAAGCCAGGACACUUCAUCAAGGUUUGACCUCUCCUAAAGCAAAAUCAGUAUAAUAACAACUUUGACAAAGCAACAAAGAGGAACCAGGUUCCCGACAAACGCUUCAAGAGAAAGAAUGAUGUCGACAACAUUGUAAAGCAAGCUCUCGCUACAUGGGGAGACUCCUUGAGGGAAUUUGAAGAAGAAGACGACCAUGGUGGCAAUUCAAUGAUGGCAGUGAAAAAUGAAACAACUAAGUAUGAUUCAAUCUUUGCUCUAAUGGCUCAAUCAGAUGACGACGGUGAUGAGGUAAACUUUUUGGAUGUUCAGAGAAAUCUGAAAUCUUACUCUCCUAAAAAACUCAUGUUAUUAGAAAAUGUGCUAAUUGAUGCUUGCCAUAGUCUUAUAAAUGAUAAAAAUGCCUUAACUAUGGAACUAGGGGAAGCUGAACAAACCAGAGAGAACUUAGUAGUCGUUUUAGUUGAUUUAAAAGAAAUAAUAGAGAACCUAUAAAGAGAAAGGAAUGCCUUAGAAGAGAAAAUUGCUAUCAUAGAACAUGAACGAGAUGAGUUGCUAUCAUUGAGUGUGCAAGUAAAGAAAAGGAAACCUUGACUGAGAGAGUUGCUAUCAUUGAGCAAGAAAGAGAUGACCUAGUAUUGGUGGUAGUAAACUUGAAAGAAACAAUUGAAAAAUUUAAAACUGUAAAUAGGCCUGAAAACUCUGAAAAGGGAAAGGAAGUUGCAAGUGAAACACACAUUAAGCUUGAAAAUGAGUUAAACUUGGUAAAGAUUAGUCUGUGUGCUGAACUUGAGAAAAAACACAGCUUCAUGAAGUACUAGGGAAAGUAAAGAGUGAUGUUGAGAAAUCUCUUAAGUGGACCUAGUCCUCGGAUGAUAUCACUGCCAUGUACACCAACUCAGGGGGAAACAGGCAGGGGAUUGGGUUUCAAAGGGAAAAUAUUCCCUACAACCCUCAUAGAAAGUAUGUUACUAUAACUCAAUAUUGGCUAUGUACCCACUGUGGCAACAAUGGACACCUCAAGGAAAAUUGUAUGGCCUGGGUUCAGUCUCAUCCGAGAAAUAAAGUCUUUGUUGAGAGAGAAACUACUGCAAGAGGACAUGGUCCGUCAAAUAGGAAAUGUAUUUUUCCUUCUUGGACUAAGAGAGCACUUAUUCAUCCUUUUUCUCUUAAGAAGGGACCCAAACUUGUUUGGGUUCCUAAAUCUAACCCUUGAUUUCCUUGUGCAGGUAACAAUGAAGGGAAGCAGCCAAUAAUGACACAUGAAUAGUGACUGCUCAAAAGGACAAGACUGGAAAUA